Molecule: long non-coding RNA, 167965 nt
Filed under: Coffea arabica (coffee)
Lineage: Eukaryota; Viridiplantae; Streptophyta; Magnoliopsida; Gentianales; Rubiaceae
Description: long non-coding RNA (CARA_LNC006102)
Source: RNAcentral
GGGAUGAGCUUCAUGAAGUCGAACUCUGAUGCAACAAGGAUGUACAUAAUGCGUUUUGCUGCUUCAGCCACUACGUCGCACAGCCUUGCUGAAAAUACUUUCCCGAAUGGCAGUGAGCUAUAUUGAAAGCCCAUACGGAGAAUCAAAUAAUUUUCUUUUUCCUCGCAGUUCAUACUGAAAACCCUCGAAAAGCUCCUCGUUGUAUGUCAAAAAGCAUUUGGGUAUGUCAGCUGUUUACCAUAGUUUAGACAUAGGUUAUAUUAUCUCGUGGAAUCUGGUAUCUUAGGAGCUGGUGUUCUUAUAAAAUUUCAAAGAAAUUGCAAGAGCACACCACUGUACAGUCAUUUGUUCAUUUAUUCAAGAACCCCUUGAAGAAGCAAGAAGUGAACUUCUCAAGGGAAAAGGAUAGUGUAUUAAGUUGACAAUAAGGUGCUUUCUCGUUAGUCGAUUAUAGGGUCUCAGAUCAGAAAUUCAAGCGGCUCAACAACUAAGUGGUUUGCGGUGUACUGGGCAUAUACUUCUACUGAUUUUGCUUGAGAUCCUGGGGCAAGAACACCAGCCCGCGCAUCUGUAAUUGUUUUAUGACAAGUGAAAUCAGUCUCCGUGUCCGUUGUUUUUUAUGGGUUAUUUUCACUUCUUUGUCCUUUUUGACGUGGGGGCUGGGGAGAAUUGUUGCUUGAGACAUCGCCUUUUCUAAAAGGUAGCCUUUCGAUCGUUCCCAUCCAACAGUAGGAACCACCCCUACCCACCAAACAAAUAAAGGAAAAAGGAUGUGGGAGUAAAAGGCUCAUAUUUUUCUUUCAGAGUUUUGCUUCAAUUGGAAUGUUAAAGAUGAGGUUCGUCCGGUUUCACGUUUCAAACGUCUGAUACAGCAUUUGAGUUAGAUUUGAGAGAUUCCUUCAAUCAAUCAUAGUACGUCUCAACAGAAUCCAUUGCAUCUGAUCGUUUCCAGUCUAAAAACAUGCCUAAAAUUUUAAGAACUCAACUUCACGAUACUCCAGUGGUUUUCUCAAAGGCUUUUGACAUGGAGAAGGCUCCUUUCUUUUACGAAUUUUCUUCAUUUUUCCCUUCUUUGCAUGUUAUCUUUCCUUUCAGAAGAGAGUCUUGCUUAUUUCACGACCAUAAAAAAAAAAAAAAAACCAAUCUCAAGAACAGAUCAACUUCAGAGUUUAUUUAUUAAUCUUUUAUGUUUACUAAGAAAUCGCAAAUAUCAGGAAGACGACCCUCACCUCAUGUGCUUACAAGAUUUCAACGCAGUACAAAUGACAGCAGCUACAAGAUCCCAAAGCAAUGCUUAUCAACGUAACCCAUAGCGCUGGAUGAUUUUUCUUGUUUGCAAAUUUGCAUCUUUUCGUAGCAAAAAUCAAGAGCCCCCAGAAAGUUUUUGCGUAGUACCGAAGAAAAGUAGGUGGUGUGGUGUCAAGGAGAACUUUUUCGAAGGGCCAAUAUGCCAAAAAAAAGAUGAUGAUGCCAGCUUCUUGCAAGAUCAUCAUCCUCCUCUUCUUGCAUGCAAGAGGAAGAUCAUCGCAAGAAAAUUACGAAGAGAGUUACGGUAGUAUUCUGUUCAAAGGUGAAAUUCUGUUCAAACUUCAAAGAGCGAAAAGGAUCGUGAAGAAAAGAUUCAGAAAACGAGAUGUCUGUUUUAGUAAUAGAUUAGAUACGGCAUGAGAAUCCAUCGUAGCGUAAAGACUUUUCAUGCUUUGUGGUUAUAAAGAUAACCAAAAAAGGAGAAGGGAAAAAAAAAGUAACAUGUUUGCAAAUUGAACGUUUGCCACUACUGGCUUUGUGCGACAUGGUCAAAACACUAAUAGGAAUUGUAACCAGAGUGAAGCAGACACCAAAUCUAACAAAGAAACACCAAGAUAAGGCACUGGAAUAAAUUCAACUACAGCAUCUGACUUAUCCAUGUAACAAAAGACAGAGGUGAUGAUCAAAUUUAAACAAAUGAUUGAUCUAUCAAUAUCUCUCCCCUCCAAAUGGAAAAGGCUAAUUAUGAAUGACAGGCAUCGCAUAUACUAUGUUAUGAACCUUGUGUAACAAAUUGCUAACUACUCGAAACAAAAUUUUUUACCGUUCGAAUCUGAACUUGAAUCUUCUAAUCAAAAUACAAUGCGAAACUCAGGAGGAUAAGCCUUGAUGGGUACCGACUACCAAGGUUGAAUCAAAGUUACUGCAUCUCUGAAGUCGGCGACACUAAAAUUCAGCAGAUCCAGGCGUUCGUGGAAAAGGUAUUGCAUCUCUUAUAUUAUCAAUACCAGUUGCAAAUUGCACUAGCCUUUCAAAACCUAAGCCAAACCCAGCAUGAGGCACUGAAAAGCAAUUAAAGAACAAAACAGCAUGUUUAGUCAAGGUCAUUCAAAUUAACUCCACAAGGUACCCUGAAAACUAGCUUUCAAACUGAUUCCAUGCCAAGAGUGAAUGCAGCAUUUAAUAAGGCAGUGUAUUGGAACAUCAAUGAUAAAAAUUAGUAGCUGCAAGUUAUCAUCUGCCACCAUUUGAGACCAAGUCAAACCCCCCCCCCCCCGGGCCAGGGGGGAUGAUGAGCUGCAUCUGCAGAACUUGUCAAAUGAAAGGAAAAUUGAAAGACUAACCUGAACCAUAACGACGCAGAUCAAGAUACCACCAGUAGCUCUCUUUGUUAAGCUUUAAGCCAUCCAACCGCUUUUCCAAAUACUCAAGGCGUUCCUCCCUUUGGCUUCCACCAAUAAGUUCACCAACCUGAUAAACACAAGUAUUUUCCCCAGCAAUUAGUAUUGCAGAAAAUGUUUCGCAGCAGUAACAAUAAAGGUCAUUUCAUUUUAAAUUUACUUGUCAACUCCUAUACUUAAGCAUCCAAGGAAACAUAUAACCCAGGAAAAGGAUAACCUGGUCCAAAUGAAUUAGCAAAGCCUAAUGCUUGCAAAGGGUACCUUCAAUUUCCUUUUUUCUUUUCCCCAUUUUUCAAUCUAAAAGAUAAUGCUAAUCGCUAGCUAGGAAAAAUUGCAUGAUAGGUUGAACUCUACAAAAACAGAAGUUUGCAACAUAUCAUCAACCCAUAGUGACCCAUCUCACACACCAUAUGCAAUAUGCAAUGCAAGUUUCAUUACAGGUAACAAGAUGAUGUACUAUGCCACAUUGGGGCCUUCAGAAUGGAUAUAGCAUUUCAGAAAGAUCCAACUUCCAAAUGAGUCUAAUUCAGCUGGUGAGUAAUUUAAGUCUAUAUAUACAUCAACCUACUUCUUCUUCAAGUCGCUACCAAGAACAGAAAAACAAGAAAAAAAAAAGCACAGAAUACCUGAGGAACCAGCAUGUCCAUGGCUGCAACUGUCUUCUCAUCGUCAUUUUCCCGCAUGUAGAAUGCCUUAAUCUCCUGAAAGUUAUUUCUCAAAGUCAACUUAAGUUCUUAAUGCUUCUACUGUCAGCAUAACUUACGACCCUUACGGAUCAGCAAAUAAACGUGCCUUUGGAUAGUCUCUAAUAAUGACAGGGCAUCCACCAAAUGCCACUUCAGUGAUAUAACGCUCAUGUUCACUUUGCAAAUCACAUCCCCAUUUCACCUGUCAAUGCAGAACUGAUACAUAGUUAUGAUAAUCAGAUCUCAUUCGAGAGCUGUCUAAGUAGUCAAUGAUAUGAUACAAUCUUUGCAAAUGAAUUGUUUUAGAAAGUGAAUUGUAACGAUCAGAUUCGUAACAAUAACUUCAUAAUAUCAAGAUUUGGGCAUAUCACAAAUUUCAACUGGCAGCAUAGCAUGUCCAAGAUAGGAAGACUAAUAGACAAGUCUAAGACACAGCAAAGACUGGUAAGGUGGGAUGAAUACCGGAAAUUCAAAUUUCUUCUUCGCUUUUAAUAGAAGGUCAAUGGCAUCAGUAUAUGUCAGCAGCACAAAACUUUUCUCAACAACAUCCUGUUGGACAAAAAAAAUAAGAAAAAGUAAUUUCAUGGCAAAGCAAAAACAAGUCUACAAUCUUGAAAUGAAUUUCUUCAACAAAAUAUUAGCCAUGUGCUUUCAUUAUUCGGUGAUAGACAAUUUUGAAUUUAAAAAAAAAAAAAAAGUGCCCGGAAUAGCCAAUAGUUCAUACACUUAGUCGACUGAUGAUUCCUUUUUCUAUCCAUGUGUUGAAGAAAUCCAUAUCUUCCUUGCAAUUCUCUAGAAUAUAUUGCACCUUCAAUGAAGAGUAUUAUACUAAUUCACAAGUCCAAUAUAGAAAAAUCAACAGCAAAAGAGAACAAGUGCAAAAAAUAGUUGUUGCAUAAAAGUCUAGAAUAGAUAUGAAAAGUAACAUACUACAUACUGGAGAUAGGCAGUUGCACAGGCCAUGUCAUCAUCUAAAUCAGCAAAUGCCAGUUCUGGUUCAAUCAUCUUAGAAAUGGAGGAAUCAGUUUUAGCAUUUAGCUGUCAGUUACCUCAACCAUAUACCAUUAAUUUCUCCCAAGGUAAAAAAGUACAUGAAUUGAAGCACGAGAAACAGUAGCAGCCUCAACAUACCCAAAAUUCAGCCAAGUGUCUAGAAGUGUUAGAAUUUUCAGCUCUAAAUGUGGGGCCAAAUGUAUAGACCUGCCAGAAAGUACAUUACUUAAUUUCGAGUCAAAAUGCACAAAGCAGAACAUGCAACAUUCACCAGAUGCUCUUCAGAACAGAAUUCCUAAAGGGGAAAAAUAAAGAAAGACCAAUAGCUCAUCAACUAGAGGAGUCUUAAAAAAGAGGACGUACAUCAGAAAGAGCCGUUGCAUAAGUUUCACCAUUCAGUUGCCCUGAUACUGUCAAGAACGCUGGUUUUCCAAAGAAGUCCUGUCAUAAACAAAAUUAAAAAAAAAUAAUAAGCAAAUAACUAAUUUGAGGUGCAUCCAAACUAUUGUAUUUAAUUGACAGCUCUACUCAAGCAAAUUUCCUAAAUAGAUAAAUCAUACCUCCUCACCAAACACCCAUUUUGCAACAGCCAAAAACCCCAAAAACAAAUAUAGAACUUAAAAAUGCAAAGAGGCAAAACAUGCAAAGGGCCCCAUCACAAACCUAAGAGAGAAGGAAGAAAAAUUAGGACUCGAGAGUUUCCUGUCAUAACCUAUCAUUCAGCAAUUAAAAAAAAAAAAAAGCCAAAGAAACAGUCCAAACAAACUUUAAACAAUCUGGUUAAAAAUUCACUUUGACCAUUAGACCACACCUGAUUCUCAUCCAUCCCAAACAUUUUAAAAUACACCUUCUAUAGGCCAAUGUGCAAAAUAUAGAUGUAUCAGAAAAUCCGUCUAAUGAUUGAAAGAACCAAAAUCCGUCUAAUGAUUGAAAGAACCAAAACAUAGGCUUUUUCUGUACUCACUUGAGACCAAUCAACAGAACCAUCUUCAGUUCUUGGAAUUGCAGCCACUGGAGAAUCUGUGGUUUCUCUGGAACUAGGAAUCUGUCCCGUGUAAAGUAACAUUUUAGAUGCAAAACUUUAAAAAUACUACAAACAGCAAAAAUCUCAAGUAUCAAACCCAAUAAAACACAAUUCAAGAGCAGAAUAAAAAUUUAUAAUGCACUGGUGAAGGAAAUUAAAGAAUCAUCUAACACAUCAAAGAUCCCUCUUUAGAGAAUGGAAGAAAGGUCAGAGAGAUAGCACUCAGACAUGGUAACAAUAAAAAAGAAAAGAUUAUAACAAGGAAGAAAAGAAGACAAUUCCAAUUAAGAAACCAUCGAAGUUUACACAAACAAAAAAUUCCAAACAACCACAAAUCCCCUACCGUAAUGCUUUCACGAACUCCUCACAGCAUCAUGGACAAGAGGAAGAAUGAAAGUUAAGGAGUUCAAAUAUGUAGUCUCCAAUAACGAUAAGAGAAUCAGAUACAAAUGCCAAGCAGGAAAGAGAGAAACAAAGCCAGUAAACUUAAGUACAGUCCUAUGCAGGUUGAAUGGCAAGUAAAAAGAGGCAGAGCUCAACAUAAUUUAACCUGUGGUCUUCGACCUUACGACCGGAUGCAUAUAAAAAGAAACAUCAGCUCCAGAAAGAGCAUACCAGGGUAGUGACGCAAAACUGCUCACCAGCUCCUUCACAGUCCGAAGCAGUGAUGAUUGGACUGGACACCCAGACAAAUCCGUUCUCUUGAAAAAACUUGUGUGUGGCAUAAGCCAAAGCAUUUCUCACCCUCGCAACCUAAAAGCAACUCAAACAUAAAAUUCACAGGCAUCCAGUCGACCAAAUAAAUCCAAUAGAGUUGUUGAAUACAAAAUGUGUGAAAGUAACACAAUUAACUACCUGCAGACCUCAAAUUUACGCAUAUGAAAGUAUGGAAAGAAACAAAACUUCUGAUCCAGAACAUUUGUUUGAGUAGGAAAGCAGAGAAAUUAGGAUAGAAAAUUGAGCAGAAGUCAAAAUUGAAAUCAACUCAGUUCUCCAUUUAAUAAGCAGCAGUCCCUUAGCUAACAAACUCCAUUCCCUGAAGCAAAAAGAUUAGCACAGAAAAAAGCAUCCCAAGGAAACAUAGAUUUAGGCAAAGAACUAAGCUCAACAGUUACUAGAACACAGCCCUACACAUCUUCAGCAAUUUCAGUUACUCAAAUUUUGUUACUCAUUUUAACCUCCCUUACCCUCAUCAUAACACAAGCAUGGAAGAAAAACAAAUAACGACCAAAAAAAGAGGUUCAACUACAGAAAAGGGACUGUCAAUCUACUAUGUCUAAAUACAAAGUAAUGUUGCUUUAUGGCAGAAAUGGAAUGCAACUAUUGAAAUAAUAAGGCAGAACAUAACAAAAUGAAAUAAUCGAAUCUAUGACUGAUAGUCUAAACCAGAAAUAACACAGGCUAAAUAGCAGAAAGUAUAAGAUGAAGAAAAUAUAAAAUUCUAAUUAUAAACCAAAAGCCCAAAAUGACAUGAAAGAAAUUCUAAGAAAAAUAAAUUAAAAUCCAGUUCUCAACCCAGAUAUAUAUUGAGGAUCAGAAAGGGUAUGAAAAUCACAGCACAAAAUCAACAUAUGAUAUCCAAUGAUACUGUCUUUGACAAUCCAAGUUAAAUCACUCUUUUCAAAAGUACCCAUUUCCCAAACCAGAAUGAGACUGAGAUCAGGUAUAUUCAAAGUCGACACAUUAAGCAUAUAGCUUUACUGAACAACUUCCGCUUGUUGAGAGGAAAAAAUAAAAAUAAAAAACAUUGCUCAGAGAUAUUAAAUGCACUUAUGGCGCAGCAGAAUCAAAAUACAACUAAAACAAAAAGCCAAAUCAUACCGCACCAAAAGUGUUUGUUCUUGGACGAAGAUGAGCCUUGGUUCUCAAAAAUUCUCUGCUGACCCUUUUCUUUUGAAUGGGGAAGGAAGGAUCACUUGUCCCCACCUAUGAGAACAGGUACACAGAAGUAGUAGUUACAUAACCAUUACAGCGAAAUUUAGUACUGGGCAAGACUCUUCCACGGCAGCAUGCCUAUUAUGCCUCCAGUCACGUGUGAAUAAAAUCCUAAGGCAGACGUAAGCUGACCAAUUUAUCUAGCGCAAGAGCAAUGCUCAUUUUUUAAAGAUAGAAUUCCACUUGCAAUACUCAAUGCAGUAAAUCAUCAAUACUUUUAGAACAAGUGCCAUCUGCAGAUCAACUGGAUAUCAAAUAAGUUAACAAGAGAGGAAAUAAAUAUUUUACCAGAAUAAGUUUUUCAACUUUCAGCUCUACUUUCUGCUUUGAGCCUUGGCUCUUUACCAGAACACCUUGGACCAAUAGUGAUGCACCAGUUGAGAUCAAGCCACUUUCUAUCUGUCAAACAUGUCAAAAUUCAUGAGCACUGACCAUGAUUUGGACAAUAAAUGUCUCGCCUGCCUAGUCACCGAUCACCUCACUCUUCAAGGUUCAUACGAACGAAGGAAAACUACUAUUACAAGAGGUUCUCCAUGAGAUAAAGUACCUGAUCAUAACCCUCAGCAUCAGAAGUCAUCACGCAUUGCAAAUUUGAAAGACAAGAUCCAUCAUUGACCUGCACAAACCCGCGUAUUAAUACCCAAACGAAAUACUAACACACAAUCCAAACCCAAAAUACUGUAAACUGAAGCUUAACAUUAGCAUAACAGUAACAAAUACGAUGAUUAAAAAAUGAAAACUUUCCCCUAAAAUAUCUGAACUUUGAUAAGAUGCAAAAGAUAAAAAUCAAAAUUAAAAUCUCUUGACAUGGAACUUUAUAUUUCACAUGCAUGCGCUCAAAAUACACACGUUUUAGGGCCAUUUUUAUUCUUUACUUGAAACCCCUUUACUCGUGAACAUAUCAUAGUCAUGAAGUCCGAAUUACCUCAAUAAAAGUGAUGCCGCUCUGAGCACGAAAAGUCCUGACCCAACCCCUGACAACCAAAGUCUCAUCCAAUCUAUUCAGACCUUCAUCGGGGCCACCUUUGACAUCAACAAUUCUCAAUCUUUUUCGAAACUCCCCAACUCUUUCGCCUUUUUGGAGUUCAUUUUUCUCAAAAGUUUCAGUCUUUGUGGCUUCGCCGGAAGAAACAGCGGCGGAGAUUACAGAGCAGAAGCUUCUUGUACGGGAAUAGUGCAAGGGAAGAAAUGGGGUGGAGUUGGAAGUAGAGGGCUUGAGAGGGAAGUGGAAUGUGGGGGUUAGGUGGGUUUUCGGUGUUUUCCGGUAAAAAGAGAAGAAACGGACGGCGGUGAAGGAUUUCAGGCGGAGAGAAGUAGCCGCCAGUGAGAGCGCCACAGCCAUUUGCUUACAGCUAAGUUUGAGCUCUCUGUAUUGCCACCGGUAAUUUCUAUUAUUAUUAUUAUUGUUAUCUCCAAAAAUACCCUUGGUAUUUUUUGCUUUUUUCUUACGUAUCUUUUAUAUAUAUAUAUAUAUAUAUUUGAACGAAAUUAAGACAAAUAGCGUAACUAUCAGACUAUGAGUCUAUAAAGAGAAACAAUAAAAAAAUCAGAAAAUUAGAAAUUACUCUCCAAUGGUCGGAUAAAUUCCAUCCCUCUAACUUCUAUAUUUUAAAAAUAAUCAUUUAUGUAUUUUUAGAUUGUAAAAAAGUGUAGAUUGUUUUCAACUUACUCUACAAGUAUCCUAUCCACCCAAAAUCUUGUGAUGCAAACUAAUUAGUACAAUUCCUUUGAUUUGGCAAGAAAAGUAUAAGAAAGUGAGAAAAAAAAAAUUUUUUUUUACCUAACGAUAAUAGAGAAAAAACUUUUUGUGCGCGUCAAAAUUUGCAAGAAGUGAAGUUGAUUACAGCACAGGGGGCAAGUUCCUAGCUAUCAACAGGGGUAUCGUUUUGGCUAUAAUUUUCUAGUCAAAUGAUCAAUCUCACGGACCGAAAUUGGGAAAAACUUCGACCAUUAAUUUGAUCACUGAAUUAAAAACCACAACAGUAAAAUGUCGCACACAAUUAAAUAAAGCAGAAAGAUAUUACUUUGUUUCCUGAAAGUCAAGUGCGCCGGAGAAUUAAUUGCCAGAUUAGUGGGUUGCUUGCUCAACUGAACCAACAUAAUUCGCACAGACGUUUUCAACAUAACAUUACAUCCAGAGAAGUCUUUCUUGGCCAUUGUUGAUGAUGUUCAAAGACCUUCCUUUAGAACAGCAGAAACAUAUGAAUUAAGAUAAUUCCGUACCAGGAAAAGGAAUGUACUUUCGUCGGUCCCAUAAACACUACUAUCGAUGCAGUGCUUGGUACCCACCUGGCUGAAAGAGGAGCAUGCAAGGUUGCUUACCGUUCCUGACAGUUCAGGAUCAAGAUUUGGGUUAAAAAAAUUUCAGCAAAAAAAAAUUAUACGAUCUAGAUCUUAUCUCUAGAUCUAGAACUCACAAAAUUUUAUUUUAAAAUUAUACGUUAUUGAAAGUAAGUUAUAUUAUGUGCAAACAGAAUUAUGUCGUGUACAAAAUGCACAAAACCUUCAACCGUUUCUGCCCUGAUCCAUACCGACCUAGUUAAUGCCUCGCAUCCAAUCCAAUACUCGCAUAAUAAGCAUCGACACGACAGCAGCAAAACGUUGAAUCUCGGCCGGAGACCCGUUAGCAAGUAAGGAUAGAGAAGAGGAAGAGGAAUGUAGUCGGCGAAGCCAAUCAAUACUACCUGGUUACAUAGACGUUUUCAGUAGUAGGACUAAUGUUCACUCGCUUUAAUGCGCGCUGGAUUUAAAAAAAUUGUAGCUACAACUGCUGCACUUUUAACAUGUUGCAAAUGAAAUAGAGACCUUUAAAAUAACUGGAUCAAUGCAUAUUCUGGAAGAAAGUGGAGUCAAGCAUCACCCGCCUCCCGUAAAUUGACUACCUGCACACUUAAAAUUUUUACAGAAAAGCGAGAUGGAAGGUGUUUAUUUAAUUUGCUUUUGUUUGGAAAUAUACCAUCAAAUCCCUAUCCAAAAUUAUGUAGGCUGUUCUAGAUGCAAUUCCUCGAGGGCAAAUGCAACCAUUUAAUUUAGAUGCGAGAUCCUCAACCUCUCCUAAUUCUCUUCAUAGGUUCUCAUUAUUACUACCCAAAGAUAUAAACGAAAAUUUGGCCAAAAUAAACUUUCACCAAACCCACCCCGUCCCCCCCCCUCCCCCGCCGUUUGAAAUAUCAAGUAUGAAUCAAUAUCUCACAUCGAAAAGAGAUGAGUAAAAUAAAAAACAUGUAAGUGGGAAUGAUCCAUAGACCCAAUAUCUUAAGGUUUUGGGUUGGAUGUGAUGUCAAACCCAUGAUUGUGAUUCCCAUUCUAGCUCAUGGUUAAAUUCUCCCCGAGUUUGGACGCGCUAGCAGUUAGAGAACAAACCAAUUCAUUGAUUUAUCUAAACCAAUGGUAGAAUAAUAAAAUCUAGACCACAACAAGAAAAUAAUUAAUUUAAUUACGAUAAAAAAAGAGGAACACGACAGGAGCAACAAAACGAACAGCUUUGCGCAGUCAAUUCAAGAGUCAUGUAAUUGAGACACCCAUAUACAGAACCACCAAACCAUGCUCUGCUCCCCGUUUUUCAUUACAACAGUAUUCCGCCAAAAAUAGCAAAAACAAAUGGGUUUCUCUACCAGGGAAACAAAUGUCAUUUACUCAUGUCCAGAAACACAACCAAUGCACUUACCUAAAUUGAGUGCUCCUUUUCCAUAGUAGUACCCAAGCAACUGCAUCCUGAAAAUUUUGAAGUGGUAAUUUAGGUUGAAGUAGUUUAAGCAAGAGACCCACAUGUACAAAUCCUGCAUUUGCCAUCCUACUCAUCUAAGGCUACAAGCUCAAAAACCUACACCAAUACCUAACGGACAAAUUACACAAAGGUAAGUACUAAGAUUCCCAAGUGCCUGGCCCAUCACGAUCUAAAAGGCCUCGCUCAAUGAAGUAUAUACAUCUCCUACCUAAACCUGGCUGAAGUGAAAACGAGCAUAAGAAGCCACGUUGCUUAGAUUUUUCAAGGGUAAGAGCUACUCACCUAAGAUAACUCCAAUACACCAAUCAAUAUCGAUUAUAGGCUUUCCCAUAGUCAUCACGCCUCUGACGCUGGAAGUCACCAUAAGUGUUGUGAGACCGCAAGGAAGGAUAAUCUUCCACAGGCUUUGGGUACCUGCCUCUAGAUUCCAUGGGCAUAUUAGAUCCAGAAUAGUGAGAAUUGCCCACAGAAUUUUCAUAGUCUGAAUAACUGGAUUGUUUAUGUCCACCAAACCCAGAAGCUGACAUGUGCUGUUGCACCUGUUGUUGCCUCUUUUGGGCAUCAUGCUGAAGAAACUCUUCCCACUGUUUUGCAUGAGUCUCCCUCAAAAGAGCCAGUUUCUUCAUGUAAUUCUCCCUUAUUUCUCUAAUAGUCUUAGAGUCCAAGAACACAAAAAUUUCAGAGUUAAUCUCCACCGGGUAAAUUAGAGCAACAGGGAACACAAACACCAAUCAUAUCUUGAUAUGAUUGAAAAAGAAUGCACCUAUCCUGUAAUGCACCCAGACAAUCACCAGGACAAUCUAGAUACUAAAAGGAUAUUCCAGAAUUAAAACAAAUUGAUCACAAUCUACUUUGAUGAUUUCAGCCCCUUCAAAUGGACAUCAAAAUCAGAAGAUAAUUAUGAUAAUAUGUUUAACCAACAUUCUCACCUCAUGAUGCCUGUAAUUUUCUUCAGCUUCUUCCUUGUCCCGCAUUCUUUCAAGAUCCAUUGCCUCUUUCUUAUAUUCCAACUCGAAUUCCUCUAAUGUCUGUGGAAAUGCAGGAUACUCAACCUUACGUGCCAACUGACUGUCAGAUGAACGUCUCUCAGCAUCCCACCCAUCUGUCCUAUAUCCCACCCUGCCUUGACUAUGACCAUCAUAUGAACUAUAUGCAUUGCUUUGAUAAGGGUGACGUGCUGGAGACCGCGAAUGGCUUGACCGACCUCUAACUCCAUCAUUACCAUAAGCUUCACCAAAGGAAGAGUGUGUUAAGCACGUCCAUUCAAGAUCUCUAAGAACGAGGCCAGCUUAAACAUGACAUACUAUCUCAAAUCCCAUUGUGAAGCCGUUUGAAGCAAGACAAGUCUGAAUAGUCUUUUCAGUAAAAAUUUUCAAUUGGCAGACAACCCUUUUCAAUUCAGACCCCCCAGGAAACUUACAUCAGAACCAACAGAAUUCUUGAACAGAACAACUUACCUCUUGCUGCAAACAACAUAGUUGGGCAAGAAGCAUUAUUAACAAUGAAUAAGCAUCAAAAAACAAUAAGUACAAUAGAUAUCAUUGUAGAUGAAAGGUUUUACCAUCUCUACAUGACAGCAAAAAUUAUCUAUUGAACUCCUACCUUGUGGAGAACCUCUAGAUAGCUUUUGCAAAUUCUGGCGAACAAUGUCUUCCACAGCCUUAUCCUGUCUACCAAACCUAUUCUGAAAAUGAGAGGCACCCUGUGGGCUAGGAUUAGAUCGCUGAGAAUCAGAGCGUGCAAAUCGAGAGCCAACGGGACUUCUCCUUUCAGGUGACCUUGAUCUUGAUAGCUGAGAACUUGAAGAACCCUUUUUCUCACCCUCUUCUUUAAUUUUAUGAACAGCAUCAACACCUUUUUUCAGUAUCAACCUAUCCUUGCCGCUGACAAUAAUAAAUUUUUCCUCAAUUUUGAUUUUGCACCCAAUGUCAUUUUCAAGUUGGCUUACCACCUUCUCAGUAAAUAAUGCUUUUACAUGAGGUUCUCUUCCAGGCACUCGUUCAAAGAAAUCCUGGGACUUCCGAUUUGCUCCCAGUGUAGAUGGACAACCCUACAAUCAUUUUCUGUUAGCAUAAUAGCAGACACAAACCUAGAAUUCUAUGAUCAUAUAAAUGUGUAAUUGUUCAUUGAUGUGCUUGUGGUAAAAUACAAUGAAGGGUGUGAGAGGCACAGGGAUGAUAGAGAUAAUGUCUAGCAAAGUCCCUUCCAUCAAAAAGCAUGGUCAUAUUCACUUGACAAGAAAGCAAACCUUCUCCCCUCACCAUUUACAGAGUACAAAUUCAGUUACCAAAAACCCAAAAUAUAUCACAUAUAUGAAUGAUAUAAAUUCCAAGGGGAGAAGGGAAUUACCUGGGUAAAAUGUCCCGAUUCUCCACAGAUUUUACAAAUCAUUUCUUCCUCUUUCCUUUUCUUCCAAUUCCUCUCGGUGGCUUUUGACUUAGCUUCCCAAACCUUAGCUUCUCGACUAGUAAAAUCAGUUGGAACAGCAUUAGGGUCCCGAGCAUCCUCUUCCUCGUCAGACCCAUGAUGUGACCUUUUAUUUGUUGUAGUUCUUUCUUGUGCAGCAGUGUUGGGUUUCGAAACCCCAGGGCCCGUGUAUUCCUUGUAAAGGUCACUAAAAUCAUCAUCUAUAUCUGAAUCCUCCCUACUUCCCAUUUCGUCAAACAAACUCAAGUCCACUCCUACAUCAACCAUCAUCCAAAAAAUUCAGUUCUGGUCCUUAUACAAGUUUACUCUUUUGUCUUUUUACCCAAGAUUCCCAGUCCUCACAAUAAUAGUCGGUGCUAGAAUUUUCACCGAAAAAAAACAAGAAACAUUUGUUAAGGCUACCAUCAGCAGGUUCUCUUUUUUGUCAAGAAGAAACAACAUUUCCUCAAAAACCUUGGUAAAUUCUUCAGAAUAUUCUUCAACUAAUCCAGUAAACAUUACAACUUCUCAAUAAAAAUUAAAAAAAAAGGUGGUCCAACCGAGAAGCCAGUAGGAAGGUUAUUUAUGUACGAGCUAAGUACCACAGAGAUUAUACACUAUAAUCCAAUUUUGUUUUCUUUUUCAUUCGUUGGUGCGGAUAAAUCAGAAAAGCUUGCUCCGGUAAUCAAGAUACCCAGCCAAGCAACCCUUUUUUUAUUUUCGUCGGUGAAUUUCUAGGGUUUUUUCUAUUUUAAUUUGGCUAAUGUAACGUGACUACAAAAUGAAAAAGUUAAAGAAGUAAGAAUCCUAUUAGCAAAAUAAAAAUAAAUUAAAAAUGAAUUACGGUAAAAUUGAGAAAUAAUAGGGGUAAUAAUCGGAGAGGGAGAAGAAAAAUCAUUACCUGAAUGCAGAGAAAUCUGAUGAACGCUAAUAAACAGACAUUCGCUUAGAGCCUCGGAGCGGCGAGGAGAGUGUAGGUAAGGGGAGUGACGGGGGAGGCAAAAAAGAAGUGGCUAGGGCUCGUUUGGUAUUUGUAAUUUUAUGGCUUCGUUUACGUUACCUUAAAUAUUUACGUAUAUCUCUUUCUACUCCGAGACAACAAGAAGUUAGGCUGCUUUGAUAAUUUAUUAACUUAUUGAAUUAUUAAAUAUUAAAUUAAAUACAUUUGAAUUAUUAAAUAUUAAACACAAAUAUAUUUGAGUAAAUAUUACAGUCAGUAACGAAUGAACAGUUUAUCACUUAUUUUUUAAAAAUUUAAAUUAAUUAAUUAAUUAAAUUAUUAAAUAUUAAAUCAAAUACAUUUGAGUGUAUAUUACAUUCAGUAAUAAGUGAAUAAUGUAUCACUUAUUUUUAUGAGCAAGUUUUACUUAACAAAUUCAAUGCUAUUUAAUUAAUUUAUAUGUUCAAUUUUUUAUUAUUAAACGGAUUUAAAUAUAUUAAAAUCUAAAUUUAUUAAUUUUAAAUUCUAAAUUGUGCUAUCAAAUAGGGCCAUAAUACUUUUUGUGCUGUUGUGCAGUUCGUUCAAUAAUUGCACAUGUUUAAGUUUAAAUUUUUAAUGUACAAAUAAAACAUAAUGUUAUUUGUAAUAUAUAUCAAGUAUUUUAUUUAUAUACUCACUUUUACCUCGUAUACAAUAAAAAGGUAGAAUAAUGUAAAAAGAUAUAAUAAUCAGACCGAAUCGUACCAAACCCUAACCGCACUGGCCCUUCCCAUUGAGAGAUAGAACAAAAUACUUGUAUCAAGUCUCGGGUGAUUUUUUUCUUUUUAUUUGAAAAAAGUUUUAAAAAUUUAGAGUGGGAUGCAUUUUUUUUUAAAUAUAAUUUUACUUGUAUUAUAAAUAUAUUUUUAAUUACUUUUUUAUGUUGCAUAUAUUACACCACAAAAAAAAAUUACUACUACACUAUUAUUUUUUCAAAUAAUCUUCUACCCAAAAACAGAGUGGAAUUUCUUGGAUCUUGGUGCAUUCUUGGCAUAAUAUUCUAGCACAAAAUAGUUGGUUUAUUUGCAUAUAAUAGUCUACUACCAAAGCAAGUGAUCUCUUUAGCCUAGCAUUUGAACUUAUAACAAAUCUAAAAUGUGGAAUUUGUCUUUUGAGAAAUCUUGCAAGGAUAGAAUCUAUAAUGGAUUUAUCUGGUACUUACCGGAUGUGAAACAGAAGAUUCGUUACGAGAUAUUUAUGUGUUAUGAGUAACCUCAAACGUAUGAAAGAUAUAUCUCUUACCUCAAAGUCAGACAACUUACAUUAGUAGCAUUUGGUAAAACUAUACUCUCGAACAUUUUAAACUAUACUUUUCCUUAUUUACGACUUUACGUAGCAAACAAAAAAUUUAUUGCUAGAAUUAUAGCAUUAAUCUUAACCAUAAGCUUGGGACAAGCAAAAGAUUUUACUAGUUGCAGGUCAAUUGCAACAUUUGAAAACAUUAUAGGAAGUUUGUAAUACUAUAGUCAAAUUUAAACACCAAAUUCCAUCAUCUGUCAAGGGUCAAAUGCCCUGCGCAUAUUACAUACUUGCAUCUGUUCUGUAGUCUAUGUUUGGCAAUUCUAUAAUCCAAGGGAGAAUUUGUGACCAAUAUUUUCAAAACUUCAUGAAGAAAAAGAGAAGUUACCAUUACAUGCCCCUAACAAGCUACACUGGGGCUGCCGGUUGCCAAGUAUGAAAAGAACAUUUGCUUAACCGAAUUGAGGAGUCCCAUUUGAUAUCUGCUGAUUGGGAUUUGGAACUGUUCGGGAAACCAUACAGGUUGCUGCAGAAUUUGCAUUUUGACUGGGUGGAGAUAUAUCAGCUCCUAAAGGAGUACAUGAAGCUUGUCGAGGACCCUGUUGAUGGACAAGGUUUUGUGCAGCAGAACUUGGAGGGUAUAGAGCUUGGAGUCUCAGUGCUCCAUACAUAGCCCGGUAAGCUUCAAAGCGCUUAAACUUGGAGGCGUGUUUCUUACCAGAAAGGUGACGAUUGAACACCUCUGUUGUGUCACAUAUAACAUUGCACAAGUCGCAUAUGAAGGGAAACACAAUCUUGGGUUCUUGAGGUUUCAGCGACCCGCUUGGUGUAUCCACAGUUUUUACUUGCUUCCUGCCAUGACCACUUCUUCUUUUACGCUUCAGGCUGCAUAUUUGAUGGCCAGGCUGGCUCACAAGGCAAUCAGAUAGUGAAUUGCCAGAAGUACGAGGUAAAUCUGCAUUAUCAUUUGACCGUUGUAUCUCCAUCUUAUCAAGUACAGUUGUUAGCAGAUGUUCUUGCAGGCUUUUCCUGUUCUCAUCACCCUUUGCAGUGACUUCAGGCUGCGGAGCUACCUCAGGAUUUGAAUAACCAAGUGGUACACUUUCCUUACCUCUUUCAGCACCAGGUUUGUUGGCAUUAUUCAAUACUGCAGUCUUUGCAACAACUUCUUGUGUCGCUUUCCAUUCAUGUGCUGCUUAAGUAUUUCCAAACUAUUACAAUCAACUUUACACAGCUCACACAAUGCACCUCGAGUUGGUUGCUGAUUUUUAGCUGCACUCCCACUCGGUACUAUAGGCGUUUGUCGUUGAAUAUCACCCUCUUUAACAGAACUAGCUAAAGGCUCUACACAUUUUUCUUUUGAUUUGACCUUCUCAGCAGCAGUAGAUGGUUCUGAAUGAGAGGAAGAUGCACCAUGUUGUUGGAGAUCGGCUGAUCCUCCUGUUUCCUGAGCACAUCCUGUCUCAUGAACCAAGUCGCCUGUCCUCGACUGGUUAUUACCCAUAUGACCCUGACCACUGCCCCUAAAAGAACAGCCAUCCCUUCUACCACCACCUCUAUAUGGAGACGAAUGACCCUGCAAGUCAAUACUCAAAAUAGGGCACAGAUAUUAUAUGCUUAUCAUGCAAAUAGACAUGUCUCCAAACUUGAGAGAAAAUGAUGAUUAUAAAGAUUCACAUGAAUACCAAAAAAUGAGAAAACAAAACCUUGGAUACCUAAAAAAAAAUGAAACUUUAUGAUGAAAAACAUCUGAUUUAUUUUUUUCCUGCAUUCUGAAUCCAAGAAUUACUGAGUGUUAGAGACUGAGGUGUUGAAACAACUAUAUCCAGAGCUUUGGCCGAAAGGCUCUUUAGCUGAUUCAACCUUUUGGCAGAAAGGCUCGAGUACAAGGAGUGUAAAUUACUGUGGCAGGGAACUUCGUAAAGUUUAUAAAGAAAAAUCAAAAGCACCAUAUUCCAAGGAUACUCUAACCAUACAGAGAUUUCUUUAUUUUUCAUAAACCUCCCCACCAGACAAUUAAACUUGGAAAUAAAUUAAUUCAUACAUCCAUUUGUACAACUAAUUAUCAUGCUUCAGCCAUCAGAUCUUGAUGUUCCUUCUUUACUGAAAAGAAAGUUGAUGUAUAGUCAGAAAAGAGAGAAAAAAAUUGGAGUAUCCCUGUAUGCAGGUCUAUCUUACAUAAACUUCCUCUGAAGCUCGCAUCAAGAAGGUUCUUGGGAUCAACAGGUCUUUUGUUUUCUACAAGAAAAGUUAAUGGCUUGGACAAGUAGAUCCAUCAUCAGACACAAGGCUAAAGAAAAAGUAUUACCAUCUUAAUUUACUAAUUUCCAUCUCAAGAAUAAUGAAUGAGUGGAACAACCUUAACUACUUCAAUUUCUCAAAGUUUUUGUGGCCCCAAGUUCUAUAAACAAGAGGAAACCAUUCAACUCGGUUUCAAUUGACUGAUAAAACUAUCAAGGAGCUCUUGUACCUCACAGACUGCAUCUAGAUUGCUCAAAUCUGAAACAAGCAUGGCUAAAGAAAAGAUGGGAGAUAAAGCAAGCCAACAAAAAAUCAGUACAACAAAUAUUUUCCAUAAUUAUGGAUAGGUCUAAGGUGCAUACAGUCUGUAUACAAUUAUAGCAGAAAGUGUCCGGGCCAACAUUUAUUGGAAGAUUUCAUUUUCUUAUUACAUUUUAACAUUCAGUUUAGACACAGGCGAGGCGAACAUUUCUUCCAGCAUCUUUUAGUAAGAGAAAAGGAUCAUCUUUGAAAGGAAACGACGGUCACAGACACUUAAGGUGAUCAAAUGUGAUCUGAAACUAAAGAAAAGAGCCUUGGUAGUUAACCUUAAGGUGUUGCAUUGAAGAAAGAACACCAUAAAACUAACAUCUACCAUUGCUUCAUGAAAACUAAGCACUUGAUCAGCAUUAGAUGACAGUUAGAAACAUAUUGAUGGCAUUCAAUAACACUAUUACAGCUCUCCAAAUGCUCUGUUAUCCUUUUUUUUUUUUUUUGAACCAUCCACCUUCUCCCUUCUCCUAGUCCCUCCCUACCCCAAACCUGGCAGUUCAACUCCAUGGCCACUAGCCCCAUGGCUAGUGGUUAAUGUUGCGAGAUCUUGCACCCAACAGUCGUCAUACUACCCAGGCAACUAACCCAGCUUAAUUGCAAUGCAUAUAGUCUAAAGCUCCGCACUUUGCUGAAGUUAUCAGUUCUAUGCAAUCCCUUUAGAAACUAUUACUAAACAUAAACUUUUUUUUGGGCGGUAAGUAAACCGCCAAUGCUUACUCAUAAACAACUGAAAAUUAAUUAAAUAUUAAAAGCUCUUCAAGAAACCACCAGUGCUUACUCAAACAACUAAAAAUUAACCAAAUAUUGCAAGCUCUUCAAGAAACACAUUAUAGCGCAUUGGACAACGAAAUCGUAUCUAAAAACAUGAAAGUUGAAAGCAAAAAUUUCACACUCGAAGAUCUAAAGUAGCAGCACCAAACUAGAAUAUCACUUCAACCACUUAAACACAACCAUGAAAGCAAUGAAUUAGAUUGAAUUCGUGUUACUAAAAACAGCAAAAGCAGACAUUUCACCGCUUAAACAUAAGCAACAUACCGCUGCAUGCAUUGGUCUUGUACCGAGGCCUGGACCCGAAACUAACCCAGGGCCUCCCAUCACGGGGAACUGGGUCCCCAAAAGUGCUCCUAAAGCUCCGACAAUCUGUGUAAUCUGCGCCAACACCACCGCUGCUGCUGCCAGAUUAACACCCUGUACAGGAUAAUACACGUUCUGCUGGUCCGGCACCUGCCUUGAUUCCGAUAUCCCUGGCGCCACCCUAGGCGCAGCCCCAUUACCACCCUGAGCCGGCUGUGAUGGCGCGUCUGGCUGGGCUGAUGGCCCAGGAGGGUGAAUUACUGGACUCUCUGAUUCCGGCUGGGAGAAUUGCUGUCGCUGUAGCUGCUGAAUUUGAUCAUAUCCAUUAACGAAUUGGGUAUUAAAAAAUGAUGAAGAAUCUUGCAUUUGCUGUGGAUUUUGGUAGUGUGGAUAACACGCUGGGUGAUAAUAGGACUGAUUAAUCUGACACGGGUCAUGUGCUUGUUGUGUUGAUGCACAUUCUGGUUGAAACUGAUGCUGCAUUUGCUGAGAAUGAGAUGAAAAACUCAUUGGGUUUGAUUCAUAGUUCAUUGUUCAUGGGUCUUAUGUGUUCAUUUUUGUUUGGGAUUUCAUUAGGAGUGGGAAGUUGUUUGGACAGAAGCGAUAAUGACUGGGGAAUAUCUGAGCUUUAAACCUUUAAUUACAUGCAAUGGUCUGGAAAGUAUCUGAGCUUUGAGUACUGUUGCAGGCCGUGGUUGCAGGUUGGCGCCAAUGUCGUGGGAAUUUUUAUUGCACAAAUUGCACUUAACCCCGUCAAGGAAACAAUAUUUUUCUUAACAGCCCCUCCAAUUAAGCUUCACUAAGGACUAGAUUUUCUGCAACUAGUUGAUUUGAGACACAGAUAAACCUCUUAAAAACAUCCAAAGAACCAAAAUAUCUCUAAUAUGGAGUCAAGUGGAGAAGAAUCCAAGAAUGAUUUCAGCUGGAAUUGGAAUAUCUUAUAUUUAACCACAGCUGAUUUUGUAUUUCUAAUCCCUUACAACAUUGUAAUCACUCUAUUUUUUUUUUUUUUUGACAAACUAAAAUAUCAAUGAAGCCUCAAUAAAAUUUAGGUUUUACAAUUGGAGUCUUUACAUGUGAUCAAAGGUAAUGAUAUUAUCACCUAGGUCAAGGCUAAGAUAAGUUAUUCAAAAUUUAUGUGAUCCAAUUUAUAAAGACUCAUACAAGUUUUAAGUUAUCAAUUAAUCGAAUCAAUUUAAACAUUAUUUUUUGAUAAAUAACAUAUAAAAAUUGAUAUAAUCAAAUUCGACUCCACUGAUUCAACUCAAUACCACAAGUAUUGUAUGGAGUCUACAAAAUCAAACCUACAUUCAAAUUCUUAGGUUUGGUUCAAGUUCAAACUCGAAUUGUAUAUGAACUUUAAAUUUAUGCUCAUGUUCGAUUCAAUUUAUUAUUUGAUAGGCUCAAAUUCAAAUCCAAAUCUCAAAAAUUUAUUUAAUUCUUUUAAAAUUAAACUAUCACUAAUACAUAUAUAAUAUUUAUAUAAUAAAAUAAUAAUAUAUAAUUUUAUAUAAAAAAUAUUGAUAAGUAUUUUAAAUAAAAUAUUAAAAACUAUUCAAGUUGGCUUAACUAGCCAAACAUGUACAAGUUUGAACUCGAUUCAACACUUAAUAUUAAUUCAUAAUUGAAUUCGAGCUAAAGUUGAUUGACAAUUGAACUCAAAUCCAACUCUUAACAAAUCUAGCUCUUGACGAAUCAGGCCGUUUGUUAAAAUUUGGUUCGUUUACAGCCUUUAUUUUUUUUCCUUUUGUCAAAAUUUCACUUUCAUUAAUAUGUUAAUCUUUACAUUCGGUAUAAAUGGAGCAACUGCUGCAUCAAAGAUGUGGACUUCUAAUAAGCCGCAUGGGGAAAGAUAUUUCCCCACUUGCUAACCUGUACUAACUUGGUAGCAAAUUUGGCCAAACUUCUAUCGCUUGUCAAAAUGAUGCCUGUCAAAGAAUGAAUUUACACUUCCAAAAGCAUUUUUUUUAAUUGUAAAAUGUCCUUAUAUGUUCGUUUACAGCCCUUAUCGAACGGGAAAAGUUAUAAAUCUCGGUGAAUUCGCCGGAUAACGUGACACAAUCGCAGACAAAAACCCGCAUCAGAGAACAAAAGCAAAGCCCGCUCUUGCCUCUUUUCUCUUUCAUUCGCACCUUUCCUUGACGCACCUUUCUUCUCCCCAUAACAUACUUAGCAGCAGGUCCCCCUAUAGGUACAUUUGUCCUACAUCGGGGUUGGGGUUGGGUUUGGGUUGGGAUAUAAGUCCCUGGGAUUGCCUCAAGAGUUGCCGGCUUUUGAGGUUAAUUCUGGGAUUAGGUUUAUAAAACAACAAAAGUCUGAUUCAGGCUGUUGAAAAAAAUAACAUACUUAGCACAAAAGAUCAGAAGGAAAAGGUACCCAUAAGUUAUAUAAAUAGCGUUUACUUCUUUUAGUCUUCUAUCCAAGCAGAUAUCUCAAGGUAUUUUAUUUGCCCGUAGAGGAAGAAAGAGAUAUAUUUACCAAAGCGGAUACAGGGGAAAGAGGUGAGGAAUCCAUGGCUGACCACUCCGAUGAUCUGGACCAACUUCUUGAUAGUAAGCACCUCUGAGAGACAAAUACGCAAACACAGGGCACUUUAUUUUUUUGCCCCUUUCCUGAAUUUUGUCUUUCAAUUUUUCUUUUUUGGCAGAUGCGUGUUUGUUGACAAAAUUGAAUGAACAGUUGUUUCUCGUUGGUUUUUAUUUAUUUUCAGGUGCUUUAGAUGAUUUUCAGAGCCUCAAUCUUACCUCCUCUGCUCAAAGGUUCAAUCUUUAUUUGCUGUAUUCGUUUUUUAUUGUCCAUAAUAGUCACAUAUACUGAUAUAGGACAAUUUUUUUUUUAAAAUGGAUUAAUCAGAAUAUCUGUGGAUUUUGAUUGCUUAUGUAGUAUGAACUAAAAAGGGUUAGUUUUUAUUGGCUUCGAGAAGUGGGGAUAAUGAAGGGAACAAGCAAGAGAAUUCUUCGAUGCCAAGUGAGGUACAGGGGCUAGGCAUGGGAUUGCCUGAUUUGAGAAGUAAGAAAAAAGGGAAGCAAAAGGUUUCAAAGGAAUCCCAUGUUUCUGAGGCUCUUGAUAAGCUAAGACAGCAGACAAGGGAGGCUGUUAAAGGGUUGGAAUCUGUUUCAGGGCCGAAACCCAUGGAAGAGAACAUUGGAAAUGAUGCAAUGAUGGAAGAUUGGGUUAAGCAAUUUGAGGAGCUUGCUGGGUCUCAGGUAUUUUUGUUGUAUUUUUUUUAGUAUGUUAAGUUCUUGGGCAAUUGUGUCAAUUUUUCAUUUCGGAGCAACUUGCUUAACUUGUUUUUGUAUGGAACACGUUGGAAUCUUAACAUGUGUCCCUAAUUUGUUAUUUUAUCGUCUUGGAUUUUCAGUUUAAUUUUAAAUCUCGUGGUUCUAGAUUAGAAGAGUUUCUGCUACCAAGCAAGAUGAUGGAGAUAUAAAAAUGAAAAUUUGGAGGUAGUCUAUAAUUUCAAGUUCUGAGCUUCUGAUAUCAGAAGUGCUGGUUACCUUUUUGUGUUCCAAUCAAUGGCCUGUCCCAGGAAAUGUUAGCUUCUGUUGUCUGCUUUAAUGAACAGUUAUGGUUAUCUGAAUAUUGACAUGGAGGGACAUCAUGAUCAUAAGGGGUGAUAUCUAGCUCAUGUUCUCUGUAUUCAAGAAUUUAGAUCGUAGAUGUAGAAAACUACAAAGAUUAGGCUUAUAGCCAUUUUUCAGUUGUUCUGGUGCUUGGUUGUUCAAAGAAAUACUGGCUUGGACUAACAAACUCUGAAAGAGGAAAAGAAGCUUGAUGAUUUGAUUAAGAGUUUAUAGAGUGAUUCAACUACUGUAUUAUCUUAACAAAAUUCAUGGGUAUCCUCCAUGGGCUGGUAUUAUUCGGAUUUUGUUCUUUGCAAAUGAUAAAUUGCCUAUUCCACUAACAGUACUGGAAUGCUAGAUGCUUUAUAAUGCACUAGGGCCACCAAACUUCUCUGACUGUUAACCCAGUUUGCCACAAUUCCCUUUUGAGGAGUCUGAUUAUACAUAAAGUAUGCAUAUGGCUCUGCAUGUGUCUUUGUGGUUGCAUAUCUGGCCAAAAUUGCAUUGCCGGGUUGUUACUCAUGGUGGAUGUUAGGCUACUCGAUUAUGUGAAUACCAAGUACUAACGGUUUAGUUGGAAGCUCCAUGUUAGCAAUAUUGAAAUUGUCUAACUAUGCUGUCAAAAUUCAGUUAUUAUUUCUAUGUGUCUGGGAAUCUGUUUUUCUUCGUUAGGAGGGAGGGGUUAUCCCCCUUUUUUUGUUUUUAUGUGUUUUUUUUCUUUUUGUGUUGGGAGAGGGGUUAUAGUUAGGGAAAAGGCUUACUUUUUUAGGCUAGUGAUGCAUUUGGAAUCCCUUGAGUGCAAGGGAUGUGCUUGUAUUGUAGCUUUAAGCCUACAUAUGCCUAUGCUAUAUCAUAGACAAAGCUUGUUCCAUGUAAAACUGGUUGGCAUUUUGCUGAAAGAUCCUUGUACUGCUUAGUUGAUAUGAUCUUGGCCAGCAUCCUCUCACAUGGGUUCUUAUGCACUGCCUACUAAUAAUCCACUGAAAGCUGGUGUGUAACUUUGUUCUCUUCUAUAUCAUAGGACAUGGAGUCUAUUGUGGAGACAAUGAUGCAGCAACUUUUGUCUAAAGAUGUUCUUCACGAACCUAUGAAAGAAAUUGGUGAAAGAUAUCCAACUUGGUUGGAAGACAAUAGAACCAAACUCAGCAGUGAAGAUUAUCAACGGUUCUCGCACCAGUAUGAACUUAUAAAAGAUUUGAACGAAGUUUAUGAAACUGACCCUGGUAACUUCAACAAGAUUGUGGAGCUCAUGCAGAAAAUGCAAGAAUGCGGGCAACCUCCCAACGACAUUGUGCAGGAGCUUGCUCCGGAAUUUGAUCUAUCAAACUUUGGACCAUUGUAAGUGUACUGCUUGUGUUUAUUGAAAUUUGAAAAUUAACAUGAUAACAACAUGGUUUUUGGCGGAUUAGAUAAAGAUUUUCCAGGGUUGGGAACGGCUUUGACUUGAGGAGAAUGAGAGGGAGAGAAGUUUUUCCCGGGGUGGGGGAUUCUGGGAUGUGGGUUUUCAUUUUUCAUAGUGGCAUGAGGAGUAGAAGAAGUACACCAGGUCACUUUUUGCACUCUCAUUACAAGAAGGCCAACCUUCUUUGUCUUCUUCUUCACCUAUAUUGUUUUUUCUUCUACAUCUUGGCAUAGCGAGCACUGAUUGACAAAUGGUUUGGCUGCUUUUGCAGAUCUCCGGAGACGCCUGAUGCUCAACAAAAUUGUUGUAUUAUGUGAGAUGAUGUUUUCUAUAUUUCUCUAUUUUCACGCCUUUAGAUUGUCACCACAGAAGAUUUUUACGGAUUGUUUGUAGCGCCUUUAUAUCAUUAUAGGUUCUUUAUCUCAAUUAUUAUUUUUUCUCACGGUUAAUAUAAGGGGUUUUUUCUUUAAAAAAAAAAAAGGGAAAAUAGUUGGGAUGUUGUAAUUUUGAGGUCCAUGCUUCUCCUGUGGGGGAAUUAUGUUUGAUUCAUGAAAGGCCCCCAGGAUCAGGAAAUCAAUGCAAUCAUGAAGAUUGUUAGGAUGAGACGUCAAAAUUCGUUCAUUUCCAUUCCAUUUUUCUUUAAAGUUAAAAGCUUUUAUGAACCUCGUGAAUACGGAUGUGCAUUUAUUUGUUCAGGUGAUGCUUCCAUAUCAGUGAAUUAAAUUUGGCCCAAUUUCGUAGUCAGUUUCAGAACUAAUUAUAAAAAUUGAUUAUGAAAGAUAAUCAAAUGCGAAUUUUUGAAUAAUAAUAGAUUUUAGUUUUUUUUAUCAAUAAAAAAUCUAUAAUUAGAAUACAAAUGCAAGUAAAAAAUAUUUCAAAAAUUGAUUAUCUAAAAUCAGAAUCUAUAAUUAGUUAAAAUAAUCAAUGGAAAAUAAGCCCACUAAAAGAAAUCUGCAACUUUUGUGUCAAGUUUACUACACCACUAAAAGAAUGACAAUGAGAAGGUAGACUAUGGCAAGUACAUAAAUUAAAUUUGUCACUGUUUUCUAAUCUCGAAUUGAUCCUAAAAGUGAUUCUUUUUUUGAAAAAAAAAAAUCUCAAAUUGAUCCAAAAAGUGAUUCGUAAUUGCAAUGCAUAUUAUGGUAAGAAUAGAAUAAAAGAAUAAAUGAAUUUUAGCGGGCAGUGUGGGUGAUCCAAAUCUCUAGGCAUCAUAUGGUGCAAUCCAGUGCCUUCCAUUGACAAAACUCUUGACAAGAAAUGGAUGGGCCGCCUCGAAAUCAAGUUCCCUGGCCCAUGAUACACCGCGGACCGCUGCAGCUCCAGGACCCCAACAUUUGUAGACUCCAAAAAACACGGUCCUAUAUUAUCAGGAAUUUUAAGUCAUAUUCUCCUCAUCAUUGUAGAAAUGUAAUUAGGCAGUCAAAAACUUUUGCCUAGCAACUUUAGGUAAAAUAAGAGAGUCUAGUCCAAAGGUUGCCUUUGUUAUUAUUACAAAGUAGCUUAAAAAGAUCGAAAAGGAAUUUCAUCUCUAACCCAACAAACAAGUUUUCUGAAUUUACCUCACAAAGGAAUUUUGAAUCUAGAAUUUUCUAUUUAUAAUCUCUCUCCUUUUAACACCCAACCUAAUAAAAAAAGUGGCUUACUUGUUCUUGUUGCUAACAUGGUCCCAAUCAUCCCAUCCACCAUGGGCAACCACAUCAUCAAAAAAUGUAUAGGAGUAAACAAUCCUGGAGUACUGGCCCAUAGCACGGCCCACAUAUAUUUGUCCAGAUCCUGUCACUCUACAGCGCACAAAAGCAAACCCAGUCUUCUCAUCAGGCGACUUUCUCCCUUGGGCGGCAAUGGAUCCAAAUCUAGCGGCGAUCGAGUGCAGUUCACAGUCCUGAAUAUUUUCAUAUGGGCCAAUGCUAAGCAAAGUAAUACAGAAAGCAAAGAAAUAUACAAAAGUGAAAUGUUUGUGUACAAAUCGAUCAUUACAAGGUAAGUAAUUUUUUUUUUUGAGUGAAAAAUCUUGAAUUCAAAACCAUCAUUACCAGUUAAUCUUUUUUUAAAAAUUGUUUUCUAUCAUUAUAAAGUUCUGAUAGCUUAAAAACUUUGAUAGAAUUGUCCUAAUCUGAAGAAAAACAGUAGUUUAGAAAAGAAAAAGUGAUCAGCCUGGAUAAUUAAUUACGCAUAUUUAAUAUUCUUUAAUAGCUAAAACAAAAAGUGAUCAGCCUGCUGCUUGUGGAUUGUGCUACCAAUACCAUAGACAAGAAGAUGAGACAAAUGGCAACAGCUUUUGUCAAUGGGCUCAAUUACCCAUCACCUUUUCAAACAUGUACUGGUAAAAGCACUCAUCUUUUCUAAUUGAUUUAAUCUACCAAAGAACGCCUUACCAGUUACCACCACCACCAAGAGAUGAAGAAAAAUGUAUGAAUUAAAUACUUAAAAUCUGCUUAAAUUACCUUGUACAUGGAGCGACCAUUUCCAAAUAUGAAGUCGAUUGAGCCUUCGAUGUAACAGUCCUUGAAGUAAUGGCGUCCGGCGUCGUCGCAGAGAGUGUCUUGUGCCCCGUAAAAUCCACACCCGGAGAAGUAUGCUUUGUCGCCGGAUAUCCGGAAUGCCACUGCUUGCCAUCCCUGCAUCCCCGGCAUUGGUGCUGGUGCUGUAUUCUGACCCCCAAUUUGCAGAGAUUAACUUAAUUCAAAUCUUUUUUUUUUUUUUUUACAUUGUAAUCAUGUCUUUCCCCCCCCCCCCCCCUUUGUGUUUUUGGGAAGCAUUUGGUGUUCAACCACUUUUGGAGCCAUUUUACUGCUCUUUUUUUCUUUUUUUUUUUACCUUCUAGCUUUUGAGUGAAUGAAAAGUUGCAACUUCAAUAAUGUACCUUGAAUUAAUGGACGUGAUUUUUGCAUGUUGACAGGAUAUAUACAAGCCAAAAUGGCACAACUUGAACGAGAAAAAGGAGAAACUUUCCAAGUAAGCACAGACAAAAUCCUGGUUGCACAUUGAAAACUUUGAGGAAAUUUUUAGCUUUGGUUGGAAAAAGUGCAUCUUUUCUACUAGCAAUUAUUGCGCGGUACAAAAAAAGUGGUUUUUUGACUAAGUUGUAGAGUAUUUACUGUUCGAGUUGGAAAAAACGAAAAGGGUCAUCAGCAGUAGUUGCUAGGGUUUUAUAUACUCAACUUAAAAUUUGUGUGGUAAUUUGCUAUUUACUCUCUUAUUCGUGAAAAAUGUGGCCUAAAAAAUACUUUUGAAAUUUAAUUUCAUGAUUAUGCUCCGACCUACUUAGUCUACUACUACUGGUAGUAAAUAGAAUUAUUAAUAUGUCACUACACGAGCAUUAUUAGAUUUUGUCCUCAGCUGGAGUGGAACUGAGGACGGAGGCAGCAGACAGUGACUGGUCAUGAGCUAGUGUACCUUGAAGCUGAUAUUUCUGGCUGAAAAAUAACUUGCGAAAACGGAGACAGAAGCCGUAUGAUAAGUACGCAGCUGCUGGCCAUCUGGCCCCCGGUCACUUGCCCUAUCAUGCCAUUCUAUCACCGUUGCACCCCUUCCUGCUCCUUCAAACGUAAUAUACGGUUUUGAUGCCGGCACCACCACCUUCUCUCUGCACCACCGCCACAUUGUCAAUCAUGGCAAAAGAGCUUCAAAAUGUAGUUAUCAUAUUCCAAAAGAAAAAUAACAUAUUUAUAAUGCUUUAGAAAACCAAAAAAUAAAAAAAAAAUAAAUCACAGCUUGAUUUUGAGCUAGCAUGCUGCAUGCUAAGCCUCUAACCACGAGUAUGAAAUACAUUAACAACACCCCCACGGCCACAAUCGCUUGACUAGCUAAUGUAGUAGAGUAUAACCAACGUCUUCUUCCUACUAGGCAUGUAAUAAAAACUCAUAACAAUGGUUUGAGUAAUUUCAAAAGCUAACAUAUAUAUACAACUUCAGACGUAGGAAAUUUUCGCAAAAUGAAUGUUGGAGAAUUGAAUCACAGUUGACAAAAGUUUAUUUAGACUAUCUAUCUUUAAUGACAAUUUAAAACUAAACAACUAAAGUUUGUUCAAGAACCAAUUAGUGCUCCAUACAAUGGCAUUCAACGCAUGCAUGCCAAAUGCGGAGCAGAAUAUAAUUAUUUUCUUUUUUCUAAUUUAGAAGAAGAAUUGAGACGAAAACCGAAAUCUGAUAAGCAUUAUAUUACAUGUAAGAACCAGGACUUAUUCGGAUGAGCACAUUCUCGCGGUUGCUCUCUGGGACAGAAUCAACGGCAGCUUGAACUGAUCUGAAGUUUCCGAACCCUUCAAGGUCGACUGUAAUGAGACGGUUGCCGGAGGGCCCUAUAUAUCUAUGGCGGUGGUGGUGGUUGCUAGAGUUAAAAGAGGGUUCCUGUGUGCUUAGUGAAUUGUGCUUGUAGAAGUGGUGUCUGCGGUGAAACCUGGAAGAAGCACAAGAAUUUGGAACCAAGAAUAAUAAUGUUACAAAGGACACGAAGAAUAGAGCAAAGUGAGAGUUAAGAAAAGCCAUCAAGAAAUCUUCAAUUAAUGACGUUCAGGGAAGGGAAUGUUUGCGAAGAAGGGAAUGAGAGAAAUAAUUGGACCGAGGAAUGUAGUAGUUCUGAUUUCUGAGAAGAUCGAAAUACAGAUUAAUAUAUAGAGAAGACGGGGGGCGUAAUGGCAUACGGAGGAGGGAACUAUUUACUACAUAAAUCAAGUGCGUUUCCACAUUCCAACGGUCAUAUUUUCUGUGCAUGAUUCCCUUGCAUUCAGGAAUUAAUUGAUGAUGAAUAUGCUAGCUAGGGUCAUAGGCUAACACCGAAGGGAGCUGAACUGCGAGUGGAUCAUCGGACAAGUGCCUGCCUGUAUUAGAUGGACAUUAAUAUCAGGGACUGAACUUCAAGCGUUUUACUUAAUGAAUAGCGUAAUGUUAUCUACAGUACCCGUCCAAUGCAAUGGGUCGUUUUCUACGGCUUGAAAAAAAUACGAACUACUAAUUAUUCUCCAUUGAUCCCUUUUACAAGACAUGCUGGUGUGAGUCUUUGGAUAACCACAUGCAGCUUCAAACAAAGCCUCCAGCCAUGUUAAUUAUAGCCGAAACUAGAAGUAGUAGCAUUACUAAUCAAGCAACAUUAAAAGAAAGAAAAAAAAUUAAAUUAUAAGCAUAAUAAUAUUAUGCUCUGAAAUUUUGGUGGUAGUUAAUUUGUUCUCUCAGGUGUUAAUUACGGCCAGUAAUUUUGUAGCGUAAGAUUGAGAAAUCAUCAUUAACAUCCGUCGCUAAAAGAUUGUAUUGCAAAUGUCAAGAGCUGUGUUGUAAAUAACUUGUCACUAUCCUUUAAGUAAUCGAUGAUGGUUGCAACAACAUAUUUUGAUUGAUCCGUGGUGUUAAUUAGAACUGACUGAAAUCAUCCAAUCUUUGUAACAUUAAAAUAUAUAUAUAUAUAUAGAUAUACUCUCUCUCUCUCUCUCUCUGCGGAAGAUAGGAUAGGAAUUAACUCAGGCUUUAGAGACACAGAAAAACCUUUUCUUCUUGUUCAGAUCAAACAGAAAAACGGUCCUUCCUGCGUAUUGGGGUGGUGUGCACGAUGAGGGAUGGUCCAAGGAUGGCUUUAAAUCAUUUUGUAAUCUAGCUUCUCUUCUCUGAGCCUAAUGAGGAGGAGACAGAUUUUACUUUCUGGAGGCCCGCUCUUACUACAUUAUUAUUAGUAUGUAUGUAUGUAUGUAUGUAUAUAUUUUUCACGCACAUGGACCCCUCCAGCAGAACUCGUAAAAGUCCACAAAUUCGAACGUUGUAACGGGAGAUAAAAGGAGGUCAUCAGGACCUUGUUGCUGUUGCCCUCCAAACUUGGCAUGAAAAGGGGGUCUGAAAGUAUUCUUCUGUUUUGUUGUUUGACGUGAUGUUAUGCCGAUUAGGGACUGAGGCCCACCAACAAGCGGUGACCAAUGCUUACCAUUUCCACCUUUUCGACUGUUACAGUUACCGUCUUGCAGUGGCACAUAAAAUUAAAAUGAUGGUGGUUUCCUGUUGGGCACGGUGGUGUUCGUCAAUUUGAAUUCGAAAAAUUUGAUAAAUUGAGCCUGGUAAAAUGUUUACCUAUUUUGUUUUAGAUUUCAAAACUUCCGAAUUCAAUUAAGAAUUCGGUACCGAAUUCACCGAAUUUGUAUAAAAAUAUAACUUGGAAUUUAUUUAAUAAAAUAACCUAGAUUAGUCAGUCAGAGGUAUUAUACUAUCGUUAUUAGUUGUUAUAAUAUAUAUACAAGUCAUUAUUAGAAAUUAGUCCGUCAGAGGUAUUAUACUAUUAAUCGUUAAGAAUCAUGGCCCCAAUUUUCGAACCAAUUCCUUUUCGUUUUCCGAAUUUUCAAUUUCAAAUAUUUGAAUUCAAAUCGAAUUCGAUCAAAAAAUUGAAAAUUUUCGGAUUUGCAUGCCUCUAUUCAUCGGACACUAACUCGAAAUCUAGUUAAACCCUUUGGUACUUCUAUUUUCAGGAUAAUUUUAGAUAUUUUCUUCUUUUCUCUUUGUGGAAUUGAAGGGAAAUCGGAGACAAGAAAGCUUGGAAAAAUAUAAUAUAAUGAUUUGAAAUAUAUAAGAUAAAAAAAAUAAAUAAAAAAUGUAUCCACGAAAAUCGUAAAUACUUUUUUUUAUAGAGAAAAAUGGCUUUCCAAAUGUUAUAAUAAUCAUUGCAUUGCCGUUGAGGAAAAUCAAAUCCUAAAACUAAGCAGUUCGAUCCAUGUCAAUUUGUAAGUUCUUUCCCUCUAGUAUCUUUCUUGAUACAACGAUUCUCUAAUGAAUACACCUCAGCAAGAAUCUAACUACUCCAGAUUAGAGGCGGUUUCCCCAUGCUACGAAUUACAGAUGAACAAAAUUCAUACAUUGGGAUCACCAAUUUUACAAAAGAGUAAAUGAUACAGGAUCCCAGAAAGAAUCACUUCAGCUAUAUGGAUAUCCAUAACUGAAGAAAGCAAUGGCCGCACGCAGACUGCAGAAUAUCCACUUCCAGAAGCUCGACAGAAUACCCACUUCCAGAGGCUUGAAAAUCUGCCGCCUCGCGCCCCGAGAUUUUUUUUGCGAGACUUUUUCUUUUGUUAAGCAUCAGAUCAUUGUGCUUAAGAAUCUUAGUACAACUUGUUACACCCAGAAGGAGCUGUAGAUUCAGCCAACCUAGGCAAGAAGCCUUCCCUUUCAAGUGAAACCUGAAGACUUGACACGAUUCUAACCACCGAAGCCCAGACAAUAGGGGAACAACAAAAGGCAUAGCCAAAUACAGCUAGCGCUCUAACAACCCCAUCCUGGUACCAGGGGAAAGCCAUCACCAGAAGAGAACCAAGGAUUCCAAACCAUGGCACUAGAACGGGGAGCAUUGGUAGAAGAAAAGCAUUAACCGCUAUACAGGACAGAGCAAAAACCCCAAGCAAGUAAAGACUCCACCCUACAAGCGGAUGAACAGUGUAGGGAAUGAGGAAGAAAGGGGCUAUGUAGGCUGCUAGAAUAGACCAAAAAGCAACCAAUUUAAGGCCAGUUUGAAUGAGGAAAACACUUUUCUCUUCACGACGAUAGCAUAGCUUAGACAAACCAGGCCGUGCAAUUCGCGUCACUGCCAUUAUUCCCAAGUAAAAUAUUACUUGGAUAAAUACAAAGGGCAUUUCUGCAUUGUACCUGCAAAAAGUGAGCCCUGAAUAGGUGAGAUAGAAUAGGAUGGUUCGUCGAAGCUAACAACAAAUUGUUAGUUAUGAAAUACAAUUUUAUGAACCAGUGAGCAUGAAGGCAAUAAAUUAAAAGCUUAAUAAACAGAGGCACAAAACCGACAUUCCUACCCAAAUUUGUUCUAACAAGAAAUGCAACUUUUUAUGCAGACCAAGUAUGAAACAAAUUUUGCACAUUUAUUAGCUGCAUCAUCAGCACCAGAGUCGAGGCUUUCAAACAUUAAUUCCAUAUGGUAUGUUUCUGAGUGUAUGUGUUGAUGAAACCAUAAAACAAUAGAUAGUAGCACUCAAAAUGAUGAUGCUUUCAUGAGCAAAUGCAAACAAAGCCUAAAGAGUGCAACUUAAUGAUACAUUGAGAUGUGCGGAGAAAUUCCUACCCGACAGUUCGAUGCCGUUGUUCAUGCCACUGGGUGCCUAGGGGCAAGACAGGCCAUGACCACCAAUACCAUGGUUUUAGCCAUGGCGCCCCAGGGAAAGUGAUGACGCUAUUGGGUCCACACGGUACACUCCAUCGUAGUUUGAGAUCUUGAACCAGAUAAUAAGUAAACAUAAUGAGAUUCGAGAACAUAGGAACAAUAUGCAGAAAGCCUCAAAACAUGACAACCAAGAAUACUGCAGUAAGAGCUACCCAAAAGAACAAAACAAGUCAAACAUUUGAAAAAACCUUGGAAUAAGGUAAUUUAUGUACUUACAAUAAUAAGAAGCGUCCAUUUGGUAACCCAGAGAAAGUCUGUACUGUCCAUCAAGCUUAGUGCCAUUAGGAGGAGGCCGGAACAUUGGCUUAUAUAGUAAAUCUGGGAAAUAGCUUCCGAUAAAACCUUGAUCUGCACCAUCUGGAUUCUCUCUCCCAACUUCCAACUCAUGAACCAUGUCCUUAAAUACUGUCAUUGAUGGCUGCAGUUGAAAAUUUUCAAAGGAACUGAUUAGAUAUCUGGCCAGUAUUUUCAAGAAUUGACUUGGUAGCAAAGUAAAAGCUAAAAACUUUGAUUCAAAAAACUUUAGAAACUAAACAGUGAGAAGAUUGUUAGUAUAUGAUAACCCAAAAGGACUUUGGCAAAAUAUGCAUGCUACUACAUAUUUAUGAACACCAAGUAAAAGGUUCUAAGAAAAGCUGGCUUGGUUAUGCCAACAAAUUGACACUUGCUUUGAGAUGAAGAUACUUCGAAAAACACAGGUUGGAUUCAAACCAAUAAUUACCUGCAACACAAAAAGACCAGUAUGAAAUAUGCAGGGGUUUAUGAAAACUGCACAAAACUGGCCACAUUGGAACAGUUCAUCUGUUUUUCGGAGGAAAAGGUUGUCAGCGUCGAGCAUGACCACCCUCUCAUAUUCCACUAGGCUCCAUGCAUAAAGCUUGUUCAUUGUCAACUUGAAUCGCCAAUCGAAAUUGCCCUGAUUAGUAUAUGGAUUGUUCAGAUUCUGAACUCUGCGAACCUUCACCCCAUCUUCUUCUCUGUAGCACAACAAAAGACAAUGAUUAGUACAUUUCAGUGUUAUUUACAUCACCCUUUUCUGAUUACUGAUAUCCUUAGCUCCCAAAAUGUGCUAAUUUAGAACCCCAAAAGGCAAACCUAAAAAAAUAUACUAUUCGGUGAUUUUCACAUAAUUCAAUUAAGGCAUGACCUAGGAUGAAUUCUAUAAAUCACCAUCUUCAAUUUCCUUCUGCUGUUUUUCCAGUACAAGUACGUAGAAUGAGGUAACAGGAAAUGCAAGUGCACAGAAUUACAAAAUAUCAUUUUAGUUCUGACAACUAAUUUGAGUAAUACUAGCUAUGAACACAUUAACAGCUCAAACGCUUGGAACAAUUUAAGAAGUGCAGCUAUAAAGAAGACGCAAGAAAUUUGAAGUUCCAAUUUUCCUUCAUGUCCCGAUCUUAUACGGUAACAAAUUUCUACCGAUAAUUGUUGGUGAUAAUAGAGUAGUCUCAACAAGGGCCGGGACUAAACAGUUCACAAAUUCCUUCCUAUAGGCAUAUGAUCCUACCAGCGGGUAAAAACAUGUAUUAAUUCACAAACACGUAUCAGUCAGCGAUUUAUUGCAGAAAACCAAACUGACAUUCACUGGUAGAUGAUGUUUCACAAACUAUGUCAAAUUUUAGUUCAAAAUUCUCUCUUGCUAGAAUGAGGGGUCCAAAAUUUGGUCAUCCAAGGAGACAGGUAAUGCUAAUGGACUCAGAUAGAGUUCAACCCAAAGCCUAGCGCCCAUAUGUCUGGACGCCAGUAUUCUGGUAAAACAAAAAUGAAGGGGUUUCAAAGACAUUUUAUGUUCAAACGGCUUCGAUCAACUUUCUUGCUGUCACGUCUUACUUCCUCAAGAACUAGACUUUUCGAUGUAUACGUGGAUACUGCAUUAAAAAUGGGCAUUGACGGUGAUAACUUAGAUGUACGGAGCACUUUCUUGGAACACACCACAUUAAAAAAAAGGACCAAUUCAGAAAUUAUAUUAAAACCAAGAGUCUCUCACUAAAGAUGAUAAGACAUUAUUCUAUCUAAACUAGAUCACUCAUACUCUUGUGCGAAUAUAUUGUAAAGUCAAGGUUCCUUCACAUAUAAUACAAAACGCUUCUAAUAUCCAAUGGGUUUCUUAGAAAAGCCAGAGACAGGAAACAUAUUAUAAUUUCCGAAACAAAGAGGCACUAAAAAGAAAAAUGUAUAAAUCUGAAGAUAAUGUAGGAGGCCAUUAGAUAAAGCAAAUUGUUCGGUAAAAGAAAAAAAAUGGGUGGACAAUGCAAAUGCGUGUGAUCUCCUCGUUAUAUGCUUGCCACAUCAAAAAAGGCUGACUUGGCCCUCAUUAAAAGUAGAUACAUUUGGGAACCGCUCAUGCCUUCACAAAGAAGGAAUAUGGCUAAAAUACGCAUAAGAAUUGGUCAAAUUCUGCCGAAAAAAUUCUGAAAACAAAAUUAGUUGUUUUCUGGAGUCAUCACAAUUCAGUGUAGGCAGGUUAACACCUACGAUUAGGAUUACGGUAAAUACUGUACACGUGUUAGAGCGUGUCAUGCUUUAUAGCACAGUAUAAAAAUUUCAAGGUCUUGACCGCGUAUAAGGGGACGCUUCUUAGGCAAAUGAUGCCCGUAUCUACCACGGCCGGCCUCUGUGGUUGGCCAAAGGUGGUUCGUUUUCCGUGCCACCAAGCUACACGAAAAGGACAAUUCCUAGAAGAAACAUCUGACAUUGAUUAUAGUAUUUAUCAUGCACCUAAUGUCAUGUCCCUGCUAAACUAAAAUUAGCCAUGCCACGUGUCACGUUUUAAAUUAUAACCAACGGUAUAAUAUAUAGGUAUUAGGAGGCCGUUAAUACCUAUAAAUCCAUAAACUUGACACCUAUUAGUUGUCCCGUAAAACGAAAUCUUUGAAAUCGAUAAGUGUACAGGGUGAACCCUUCUUUCUGUUUUCUUGACUGAAAUGAUGAACAAAAUUACAAUAAUAUGUAAAUCUAUGCGGGAUUUAUUAUUGUGUUCGAAUGAAAUGCCGACAUAGUUGAAAUGCAAUAUGUAAAGUGCAGUUGUUAUUCAUCUUUACUCUGUGGAAAAUUCCAAUCACUUUCGUACUAUUAGGUCCAGAUUGUAAUUUCGGAUGACAAGAGCAGCAACAUGCAGGAACAAACCCCAAGACAAAAGAUUAUUUGAAUGCUGCCCAGAGUAGUGCGGACCUGCUGGCCCAGGGAACUGAAAAAAAACCCAAAAGAUAAAAAAAAAACUACUAAAUUACCAUUUGAAGUUUGAACAAACCCCAAGAGUAGCGUGGAUAUGUCGCCCCAGGGAAGGGUGGAAAAAACCCAAAAGAUAAAAGAAAACUACUAAAUUACUACAUUAAUAGGGCAUGAAGAAAGAGAGCAGUUGAAGACCCCAGCUAAGAUCUCAGCCCGUUUCUUUCUUCAGUGUUCACAUGGUUCUUCUAUGGCAGUACACACACUUGCACACUAGGCAAGUGGACCUAAGCUUUUCGCUUACAAGGUAUGUUUUCAAUGGCAGCCAAUUAAAGCCCGAAGAACCAGAACCCCACGCCCCCCACCCCCCAAAAAAAACCCAUCCCUAGAAACCCCACCAAAAAAAAUAAAAAAUAAAAAAAGGUCAAAAACAUUUUCGUAAAUAUCUCCGGACCAAAACGGCCAGCUCUAAGUCUAAGUCCAGUAUUUCUUCAAGAAUCAAACAUUUCCACCAUAAGCAUGAUCCGAUGUCUAAUGAUUCCAGCACUGAGUCCACUACUCGUCGAAAGAGUCAGAAAAGAAAUCCAAACAUCCAAAGAAAGAAAGAAAAGUCGUACACUAAGCGGUAAAUACAAAGCUUACUUGUACAGUUGUACCCCCUCACCCCCACAAAAAAAAACCACCAAAGCUUACCAUUAAAUUACUAAAACACCCUUGACAAAAUAGAAAUUGAUCGCUGAAGAGAGUUUGAGAAGGGGAGAAGAGCUCUGAACUUACAGGGUUUUCACCCAGUUGGGAGGAACGUCUAGGGAGGCAAUGACGACGAGAUCGGCUUCGACGCCGAGCUUCAAUAGGGAUCUGAGCAUCACGCGCGUAGCCACGUAGAACUCGUAGUCACGUGGGGUCCCCAUAUACAUCAUCGUCGCAUACGCAUGUUUAUGUCCUGCAUUAAACGAUGUCGUCUCCGUCGCCGUCGCCGUCGCCGUCGCCGCCUCCACCGCCGACGCUGCCUCCGUUGUUGUCACGGCUGUCCUCGUCGCGUCGCUUACACGAACCAUAAUCGACAUUAAACCCAUCCAUAUUAUCACUAAAAGCCCCGUUAUCUCCCCCCUUGAUAGUCCCCCAGACUCCAUGUUACCAACUUCGAUGUUAAUAUCCUCAGAGAAAAACACAGUUACUGUGUGAAAAGAGAGUGAGAGAAUGAGGCAUUUGGCACUGCACCCCACACCAGCUAUAAUAAAUCGCCCCAUUCAAUGCUCUCAACGACACAAAGCGAUGGAAUUGAAUUCAUCUUAGCUAACUUUGGCCCCAUGCAUUUGAGCAGGUUACUAUUGCAUGCCAAGUAUUCGCUUUUUUCACUCAAUUAUGACAUGUUUUCUUGUUUUUCUGUUUUCGUUGCAGGCUUGUUUAAAAAUCUUGCAGCUACAUUCCAUUUCUGCCUGAAACGUGCAAAACCCAUUAAAGAAUGGAUCGUCUUCUUUUUUCUAUCACUCAUUAAUUGGUUCUUUGAAAAAAACAAAUUUUUUUGUGGUGUCAGGUUUCAUUUAUUUCUCUUGUUUGCUUUUUACCACUUGUUUUAAAAUGACCCAAUUAAGAUUGGGUCCUUGGGGGUAGGAGGAGUAUGUUGAUGAAGAAUGUGAGAGAGCUUUGAAUGUUGGGUUGGGUUUCAAAGAAAGUGGAGAAUAAUGACUAGUUUAAUUGUAGAUGAAGGUGGGAAACAAACUGCUGCUGUUGGGAGACAAAAUGGAGAUUCUGUGGCACAUACACAUACUUAUGCUCAACAUAGGCGUUCUAGGAGGUUCAUUUCUUGUCCUUUAUAUCUAAUAAAAUGUUUGGGUAGGACUUGUAUGUUAGUUUAUGCUGAAUUAUUCAAAGAUUUAGAUCAAAUAAAUUUGUCGCUGUACUCACCUCAUUUUUUUUUUUUUGGCAUACUUUUGGGUUUUCGUUUUCUUUUCUUUUUUCUCCCUGUAUAGUGAUGGGUGAAAAGCUGAGAAAUUUGGUUUCAGUAAUCUCAGAUUUUGUCAUUCUGGUAGGAGUUGAAUGUUUGUUCUUUCUGCGCAGUUUACCUUUUAAAAACGCACUAGCUUGUGUUGAAAUCAAAUUUUGUUUGUUCCUCUCUAUCUCUCUCUCUCACUCACUGUUUUUUCUUUUUUCUUUUUUUUGUUUGGGGGGAGGGGGACCUGAGGUGCAAGUUACAAAUCGUGCUUUUUCUUUUUUGUUUAGAUUAAGUUCACAACUUGGUUGUUCUCUCCAUAAUAUUAGAUUAAACUCAUUCUUUAGGUGAAAUAAUUCGUAGGAGUCAGGAUGAAUAGGUAUCCGCGUAAAAGAAAUUUUGGCAAACAAAAUGCUAGGUCACUGGACUCACGAAAUUAUUUUGAUGUCUUCCCCUGGGUAAUGGUAUAAUUAAUGAAUGAUUCCCCAUAUGUCAAAUAGAAAAGUGUUCACUCAGUAAUUGGAUUUCUGGAUGUCAUUGUCUUUGUUAUUUAAUUUCUUUUCUCUUCUGAAUUUGUACUAGUUUAGCUGUUGUCCCUUGGAUUCGAAGUUCCAUGACUUAAUCCAAAAAGAAUGAAAGCAUAAAGUGAAGCUGCAUUUCAGGAUACACUUUCUGGUGGAAAGUACUAAAGUUUAACAUGUUGGAUGAGCCUCAUUCGGUUUAAGCUAGUUUGUUAUGUUUUGGCCUUUGAAGUUUCAAUUUCCGUAUUGGAAACCCCAAUUAAAGAUUUUUCUGGUAGUAAGUCAAGUGACUUAAGUGCUUUUGCUCUUGCUUUUGCAGUGCUUCUGACAGGAAUUUGACUGUUAGACCAGAGAGUAAUCUGCAUUCUCUCCAGCAAGACAUUAAAGAAUCACCUGUAAGAAAUUGUUAUGCAAUCAUUAACUGCCACUUUAAGCAUACAUGAGAUGGCAGCAAGUUCAGUUUUGUAUGUUAAGAUGAAAAUUUUUCACAGUUCAUCUUGACAAAUUGAACAGUGGAAUCAACAGGAAUUACCCCCUUUAACGCGGAGUUGCAGGGCAAGUCCACUUCAGGCGCACUCGGUUAGAGUCAACAAAGAUGCUGUUUCAAAUCAUAGAGCAUCCCUGGAAAAAGAUGUAAGAGUGGAAAUUGAUUUUGUUUUUCUACUUGAGAUGAAGGACAGAUUAGUCUGCUAUAUCUGUUCUAUGUUUUCAUGCUUUCACAAACAGUAAGCCCUUUCACAAACAUAGAGUCAAGUGGCUUAGUGGAAUUAUAUGAUUUCUGUUGCUCAUAGUUCCGUUGUACUCCAUCAAUUAGUCUCUCCUUUUGUAGCUUAUACAGUUUCAAGCAUUCUUAUGAUUCUUUUCCACAUCCAGUAAGAUCCCCUUUAGUUAACAAAGACUCACGGAUUAGAAGUGCUUUAUGUGUGUGCGUCUAUGUUAGAUCACUGCGUGUAAAGAACAUACACCAUAACAGGUGUAAUCAUGGAAGAUAGUUUAAACUUUAAUCUUGGAGCUCCUCCCUUGGUUUUGCAACCUUUAGAUCAUAAACUCAUUACGAAUCAUAUAGUCUUUGAAGACUACUGUAAAACAUAUAUAAAAAAAAUUAUCAUGGUUCCAUGAAGGAAUGUGAAUGAAGCAUCAGGGUGACAUAUGAACACAAAAUAGUAAUUUUUGCAUGAGAAUCAAAGAAUGAAAAAAAGAAACUUUUUUUUGUACGAAAUUGAUUGCUCUGCUAGAGUUUUUUUUUUUUGUAGGAAAUUUUUUUGAUACAAGGACCCGUAUGAAUUUGCUUUUCCGUACAAGCCUAAUCCCAUCCACACCAAAAGAUAAAAGGAAGAAAGAAAACAGUAAAAUCAGCCUUCUGCAGGUUUUGGAAAAAGGCCUUUUUCAUUGAAAUUACUUAAAUACUGAAUAUUCACCAGGAUUCAUCGCUUGCCCCCUGUGUAAAAGUCAUACAUUAAGAAUGUCUUUAUAUACAUACAACGUUUGCCUAUCGAUACAUAAUAACUAUUUUGUCUCUUUGGAUUUUGAUAAAUGUUAAAUCACUUCUGCAGAUUGAGCAAUUACAAUUCCGUUUGCAGCAAGAGAGAUCUAUGCGUAUGGUACUUGAGAAAGCUAUGGGUCGAGCUUCCAGCACAUUAUCUCCUGGACAUCGUCAUUUUGCUGCUCAAGUAAGCACUAAUACUCUGUCUUUUAUUUGUGUUUAGAUUACAUUUGUUGUAAUAGAAUCAGAUACAAAUUCGCCACAAGCAUUUGCAACAGAAAAUGAUAUCUAACUAUGGAUAAAGCUUCCUGCAUCUAGAUGCUAUUAACAUUUUAGUUUGCUUUGGGUUCAUGAAUCUGGUUUGCAAAUAUGAAUCUUGUUUGCAACUUAACAUACUAUGUUACUAGGUGGCCAUAUUUCCAAGAAUUCAAUAUCUAUCAUGUGUGUUAGUGUAACAGAUGGCUAAGUAGUUAACUGAACCACCUCUAGCCUUACUUCUGUUCUUUUAUCUUAUGGGGCAUAGUGGGUAUGAAAGCUUCUCCAUACUGAACAACCAACUGCAGUGACAGUAUGCUAUUUUUAUUGGGCAUGAAAGCUUCUCCAUAAUAACAUGCAAUCUUUAGAACUUGUUUCAUUCUAGAUCAAAGGUGAAGUAUAGGUCAUGAACAUCGUCAGUGGAUCUGACAGAUGACCUUUUCAUUUCUUGUGAAAUGUACAGCUAAGUGGCUCAGAUGACGAGAAAAGAUGUAUAGAACUCCCUAGCUGUGCCUCAGUGUCAUAGCAGCAACUUUAAAGACUUUCUCAUUAUUAUUUUUUAUGACUUCAAAAUAUCUAUCAUGGCUGUUACCCUUGAGUUCUCUUCUUUGAAGGUAAAAAAAAAACUUAUGUAAUUUGCAUAUACGUAAAAAAAUUUAGAAUGUCUAUCUAUGUCUUUAUUAUCAAAACUCAAGUUAUAUUCUUGGCCUGUUGUGGAACUUACAACUGUUUUGGCAGACGGUUAGUGGGUUUUCCAACUAGGAACUGUGUUAAUGAAAUGUUCAAUUGCUUAUUGGAAGUGGUGAUAUAAAUAAUCAUGUGCCAGAAACAUGUUGUUCUGACUUUGGAACUUUUGAAACUUUCAUAUGAACCUAUAAGCAGCAAAGUUUACUUUGGAACUUAUCCAAAAGGGAAUAUCUGAAGGAUCUCUAGCAUUUAUUAACCUUGUUACAAUUCUUCUCUUGUUGAUUUUAUGAUCUGUUUUAAUGAAUCAGCCCCUUUUUAGCUGUUAAGCCUUUAUCUUUGAAGUCCUAACCAACGCCAACGAAGCACGCAACCUUUUCACCAGCAAACUAAACACCAAAUCCCACAGUUACUCAAUCAUACCCAGUUGGUAAUAUUUGGGGGAUUUCGGGCAUUGGAAACCUCUUGCCUGAUUAGAAGUCUCAAGUUACAUGGUUGUAGUGCUUGUUUUAAGUUCAGAACCAUUAUCUCAAGUCCUAAUAGUUGAAAAGCCUGUCGCUUUAAUGCUUUCACCAUAUGAGUCUAUAGAUUUAAUUGCUUCUUUACAUCAAAUGUUGACAUGGACCCAAAAGAAGUGGUAGAGAAUAGCUGAAAGUACUUGGAAAAUUUAAAUGCUGGAUACCUUCAUGUAAAUGAAUGUUUGAAUUUGGAAUAUUGAUGGUUAAAUCUUACUUUUAGCUUCCAGUUUACUGCCAUUGAAUGGUUCCAAAACUUUAUUUAAUCAAAUCUUAGUUUUAGCUUCCAGUUUACUGUCUUUAUAGGAAAUAAUGAGCACUACUCUUUAAUUAUUUUAGACAAAGGAGUUGUUGGCAGAGAUUGAGUUACUUGAAGAGGAGGUUGCAAAUCGUGAGCAGCAUGUUCUCUCUCUCUACAGGAGCAUCUUUGAGCAAUGCAUUAGUAGGUCAUCCUCUGAGCAGAGCUCAGUCAUGACUUCUCCUGCACAUGCAAAGAAUGAGACAAGAAAGCACCCAAGUGUUAUCUCAAGCGCUUUUUGUUCUUCAAAGUUCCCUUUACGGACUUUCCAAACCCUUGCUUCAAUAAAUGACUCGGGAAAAAGGGACCUGCUGCAGUAUAAGACUAGACAUGCUUCACUGUUUAGUGGUAAAGCCAACAUCCACUUUGAGAAGAGUUGUACAGAAAAUGCGAAGGUAGGAUAUUAUUUACUAUGGGAGCUUUGAAAGGUAGAAGAUCAUAUGUUGCUUUCAAAAUGGUCCUGGGAUUAAUUAAAUUCCUUUUCUUAAACUAUGCAAUUCGUCAUAGGUGAUUUUCUAUCCCCAAAUGUCAUUUGCUGUUACAAAUCAUAUUUGGCUCCUAAUCUCCUGUCUCCACAUCACUCCUUUUACAGUCCUCUCUACUAGUAUUGGGUGUGAAGCAUAAGGUACUACGCGUUGCUGUUCACAAGGUUGGUGAAUGUGCUGAUAAAUAUCCUCCAUCAAAAAGCUUGGCAUUAGCCCAUGAUCCUUCUUUUCAUUCCUUCAGCUGUCUAUGGCACCAGUUUUUCUUCCCUCCCCCCCCCGGGACCCCCCAAAAAAUUUCACAGUGCUAAUGAAGAGGAGAUACAAAGCCUUGUACCUAUCUCUUCUGGCCAUGUGUGCUUCAGUGCAUUCUCUAAGGUCCUAUUAAGUGAUAUCUGUAGAUGAGGUUAUUAAUUAGAUAUCUUUAUUGAUAUUUAGGAAUAUAUCCUGCCUGUUUAUUGUUUUAUUUCCCGGCUUUUUUCAGUUUUUCUUGACAUUGUUUGCUACUCUCUGAAUUUUUUAUUCCAUCAUCCCCCAUUGUCAUCACAUAUUCUCUUCAAGAAAAUGGAUAUUCGUAUUUGUUUUUCAAAGCGAUGGCUCCUAUUGUGACUCGUAGUUUAUGCUAGUUAUUCAGUCACUGAUUCUGAGGUUGGAUGUUUCAUAUAAUAGAUGCUCUACCACAUAAUACGUUGCUGAACUUUAUAAGAGCAAGUUUUUCUGUUAAUUUUUUUCUCAAAAGAUAUUUGUCCAUCAAGGAGCUUGGAGCAUACUUAAAAUGAGUAAACCUCAUGAUGCAAUCUCUAUAAGCAGGCAGUAAGAUAACUAAUGAGACACUAGAACGAUUAUUUUAGGAGUACAAGUCAUUAUUGAUGGCCCCUGUCUUGAUUAUAUAUCUAACAUCUUGUUAUAGGGUAGUCAUUGUUCCAGCAAAUUGUAUUCCAUGGUUCUCUUUUAUAAGGCAUGAAUGUCUUUCCUGUAAUUAUAUACAAGAACAAGCCAAAGUGUAUUUAGACAUUACAUCUUCGAUUUUCUAUUUAUUUAUUUAAGUUUCUAGUGAAACUAAAUUUGAUGUCGUGAUAAAAUAACCAUAUCUUGUGCCACUUUAUUGAUGGAAGUCCCAUGUUGCUAUAAAUUGUGGCAGGUUCAGGAACAGUCACAAGCAAUGAGGAGAACCUCUGUGAUGCGAACUCUGAAAGAUCAUCUCAACCAGUGUCCAAGUAAGUUGGCAGAGGAAAUGGUCAGGUGUAUGGCUGCAGUCUACUGCUGGCUUCGAAGCACAGCAUCUGUAGAUUUGGAGCAAAAUAGAUCGCCUUUGUUAUCGAGGUCUUCCACUAGUGUUGUACUUCCCAGGCGGGGCUCUGGGGAUCCGAGAGACUGGCCUGGCAAAUGCACACUCGAAAUAUCUAGUUUAUCAACUGACAAGAAUAACUUUUCCCAUGCAUCUUAUGCCAUCAACAAUUACAGGUACUUUUCUAUUGUAGUUUUCGUUUUGCAAAAGGAUGAAUAAGUUUAAAUGAAACACAUGUUUUUGCCAAAUUUUAUAUGCCGCUAGCAGUAGAAAUUCAGAAGUUUUGUUUCAAAGUAAAUUUGUAAGUGGCUGUAGCAUUUAGUUUAGACUUGACCUCUUCUUUUCUUCUCCUAUGACCACAUAUGCUCAUUUAUGUGAAGAGCUAGGUGUAAAUUUUUGGUUGAUGAAAUGUAUCUGUUACUGAAAAGGUUGAAGCUUGCUCUUUCUUUUAAAUUGCAUCCUUCUUAAUGAACUUCUUGCUGCUUGUUAUGUACCACAUAUGCUCAUUUAUGUGAAGAGCUAGGUGUAAAUUUUUGGUUGAUGAAAUGUAUCUGUUACUGAAAAGGUUGAAGCUUGCUCUUUCUUUUAAAUUGCAUCCUUCUUAAUGAACUUCUUGCUGCUUGUUAUGUACCACACAGUUCAUGUGCAUUUUAACGGUCAAUUCCUUUCCCAAUUUCAGACUUCUAGUGGAACAGCUGGAAAGGGUGAGCAUCAAUCAGAUGGAGAGUGAUGUCCAGACAGCCUUUUGGAUAAAUAUAUAUAAUUCCUUGAUUAUGCAUGUAAAUGCCUCAAGACUGGUGAAUCUAUUGUCUUGGUUUUCUUCUUGAGGAUAUUUCCAUUAAUUAUUUUUUGUGUUUUCACCUAUGAAGGCAUAUCUGGCAUAUGGAGUACCCCACAGCUCUCUCAGAAGGUUAGCUUUGUUUCACAAGGUAGCAAAAAUUAUGAGUAUACUGCUCAAUUUUGUUUCAUGACAAACCACCUGAAAUUUUAUUUUGGUUUUCUCUCUUUCUCGCAAUGGCAUUGGGGGAUGAAAAUUAUAAUAUGUUGUACACCAAGAUAUUCCAACAAUGAAAUUAAGCUCCCUACCCAACUUUCAAUGCAAAUAAACUUAGUCUUUUGGAAGUAUCAAUCCAAGUAAGAUGAUCUCUAGAACUACGAAGUCGAAGAUAAACAAAACAUGUUUUACUUUAUUACUAUAUCAAAUGCUCAAAUUUUGGCUUUUUAUUUAUGCUGAUGGAAUAUUGCAGCAAAUAAGCACUUGGACAUUUGUAAAGAAAACAUUGUUCUGAAAGAACAUCUAGCAGCAUAGAAACUGGUAGAACCAUGAGAGAACACUCUAGUAAAAGUCUACCUGCAAUUGAACAAACUAUUUGGGUGAUUUUAAACAUGUGCACUUACAUCUGUAUUUUUACAUUUUAUUCUUUUUGCUUUUGAACAUUUAAGUAGAUUAGCACUGGAGAUUUGCUUGUAAGAUCAUCUUAAUGCAGGCACAUCUUAAGUGAUUGUGUUUGUUAGCAUUCCACAACCAACCCAAUAUACAGAAUAUUUUUGUCCUUAUUUAGACUUCUUGCUAUUUUGCAUGUUAUUUCUUUUCCCGUAGAUGACCCCGGAUUUUCCUGUAUAGUGCAGGCUGCUUAUAAUGUUGGUGGCCAUGCUGUAAGUGCAGAUGCAAUUGAGCAGUCCAUAUUUUGCUUCCGUGCGCCUCGAACGGGAAAGGUAUCAUCUUAAUCCCAUCAGCCAUUGUAAAUAUACAGUGCAACACCUAAUGAGAAUCUUUUGCCUCCAUUCCUCCUUGUCUUCAAACUACACAUGCCUUGCUCUAUUUGUAGUUAGAAGCAAGUGGUAACAUUGUUAUCAGUUCCAGGAGACGAUAACGAAAGAUGAGUAAACAUAUUCAUGUCACAAUCAUAUCAAGUUUCUGGCAUUCGAAUUGUAGUAGCGUCAACCAAGGCAAAAAUGUAAAUAUGGAUAGAAGAACAGAUCAUUAGGAGGUUAUAGAUAUUCAUAGUAUAAUUAUGUGACUGAUAAGCUCCUAUAAUUAUUAAAAAGAGAAAAGAAAAAGAAAGAAAGAAAGAACUUGCUGUCUUCAUUAUUUACAAAAUUGAUAACUUCUUGAGAUGUGGCCUCAAACUCAACUACUUUUGUCCUCUUACAGUGGCUAGAGACUCUUCUUUCAACCGCUAUAAGGAAAAGAGCUGCAGAAGAAAGACAUCAUAUCAGUUCAAAAUUUGGUCUCCGAGAUUCUGAACCUCUUGUUUGCUUUGCCCUUUGCACAGGAGCCUUUUCUGAUCCCAUGGUAAUCUCUUUCAUCUGUCAAUUUGUUUAAUUUGUUUUCCUCCUUCUCUAUAGUAUGAACAUCUAAUCAUCUUCUAAUUUUGUUCUGCUCUAAGAGUAUUAUCUUGGGAAGAUAUUAUUGAUGUACCGUCAUUGACAGUUAAAUGUAGAGGUUCUGAUCACGGGAAAGGGUGAAAGUCAUGAUUAGACUUCUGAUUUUGCUCAAAAGAUUUACUUUUGCUUUCCAACUUGGAAUUUAUCUUCUUAGUAUUCCCCCCCCCCCCUCUCCUGUCUAGCUGAGAGUCUUUACAGCAGCAAACAUUAGAGAUGAAUUGGAAUCCGCCAAAAGGGAGUUCCUUCAAGCUAAUACUGUUGUGAAGAAGUCGAAGAAAGUGUUUUUACCAAAAGUGCUUGAAAGAUACACGAAAGAAGCAUCUAUUCCGGCAGAUGAUCUUCUGAAGUGGAUUGCUGAAAAUGUAGACAAGAAGCUUAACGAUUCAAUAAAGAAAUGUGUUGAGCGUACAAAUACCAAAAAAGCUUCUCAGAUUAUUGAAUGGUUGCCGUACAAUUCAAGGUUCCGAUACGUGUUUGCGAAGGAUCUAACAGAGAAGCCGUGGUUGGUAUAGAAGUCUAAGCGAAGACUUGGGGAGUCGAUAUCAAAUUAAAAUUGGAUGUUCAUUCUUUGCAAUGUAGUCCUGAGCUUUUCCAUUGUUAAUUAGUUGUCUGAUCUUACUAAAAGAUUUGAUAUGUAUCAAACUGAUGUAUAUUAGCAUGUACAUACUUGUAUUAGGUUAAGAAUGUGCGAUCGUAAUGGAAGAUUCUCCUUGAAAUUUCCCAGCUGCUCUCAUUCUUUUGUGCAACAAAUGCACAUGUGCACAGACUACUUUGAACAGGCAGUCAUUGUGUUGCUAAAUUUCAUCCGUGCCCAGUUGCUGCAGCUCUAGGACCCAUUUGCUUCGACUUGGACAUGUAUAUGGUUAACCAGAAAAUCUCGAGCGAGAUGAUGGCCACUGAUUAUUGGCCCUAUCUGCAUACUCUAGGAGUCUUCAAAGCAUCUUGCUUCAUCAGAAUUCUUUUGUUACUUUAGCUCGUUAUUUUUGCCCUCUUGAUCCUUCCCUUCUUAAAGAAAAAAAAAAUCCAGAUGAUUAGAAAAAGGUACUGAUUGAUCAACUGGAAUAAUUGAUAAAAAAAAAACUUAAUCAAACUAUGCUGCUUCUAGCUGUAUUUAAGUUCUAUAGGUGCACUUUUGGUUGUAUCUUGUGGGAUUAACUUAGGCGUUGUUUAUGAAAAUUCUUGUCAAAAAAACUAUGCUGUUUCUAGCCAAGAAACUGCUGCAUUUCAUUUUAGGUUCAGAAAAAGAUUUGAUUGAUCAACUAUGAUAAUUGAAAAGAGAGAGAGGGAGAAAAAUGAGACGAAUCAACCCAAUCUAAUUGAAUUGGCCGCCAAGAAAGAACUUGGUUCGUUCUUGCUUGUAGGUCGAAGGUUUUAAUCCGCUUGCAUUACAUGUUAGAAUUUCUUGAAAUUUUAUUAUACAGGUGCAUGACGCACUCAUAAGUUCGGAGGUGGUACAAUCCUCUCCAAAUAUUUCAUUAACCAUUUUGAGUUCGUCCCUUGACUUGAGAGCAAAAGGAGGCAUAGAUAUUAUCGUGGCAAAAUAAAAUAGCAAGACUAGACGAAACUCCCAAAUUGAUUACACAAAGGGGCUGAUAUCAACGGCCCAGAGCGCCCCAUAUUAUCUUUGUAGAACUUUUUUUCCUCAAGCUAACUGCCUCUUUCUACGUGUCUUGGCAUUACUUUCUGUAGUCAUGACUAAGUAGUCUAUUUGUGGCCUUUUUGUGUUGAAUAAACGUCACAAUUAACUUAACUACAAAUAAAAGCAAGUUCAGUUUUUCGGCGACUAUCGUCGACUACUGUCAUGUAGAAUAUUACUAGCGUUCGCAAGUCACAGAGUCACAGCCCGGAGUCGUAGUUCACUUGGUCACUUUGCUUGCUCUGCUCUGCUAUCCAAACUAAGGAUAAUUUCAUUUUGCACAUUUUAAUUAUAUCUAAAUUUUCACUUUGGUCCUUAAACUUUAAAAUGAGAUACUUUAGUUCUUAAAUUAUAAAUUUGUCUCACUUAAAUAACAUCAUCAAUGAAGUGAGAUAGAUUUUAUGCCUAAAUGUUUUACUUUGGGGACUAAAUUGGGGUAAAUUUUAUACUCUAAGGGUUAAAAUGGACAAGUCAUACACUUUAGGGACUAAAGUAUAAUAAAUUCUAUAAUUUAGGGCUAAAGUGUUUCGUUUUGAAAUUUAGAGAUCAAAGUGAGAAUUUAUCUAUAGUUAAAGGGUAUAAAUUGAAAUUAUUUCUUCAAACUGUAAGGGUGUGCCAAUUAAUUAACUCGCGUAUCAGGAAAUCCGCGGGUUAGGCCUUCCGGAUAUAGAUUAGAUGCGGAUUUUGCUUUCAUGCGGGUCAAAUACGGGUUUUAUUUUUAGAUACUCAUAGAUAUUAGACAAGUAUUUGCAUAUUAGGACUUUAGGGUAGUUAUUAAAAAUAUUCGAAUUUUUUAUAGUAUUAAAUCAGUUUUAUACAUAUGUUUUUACAUUUUUCUAAUAAGAAGCCUCAAAGAAUUCACUACCUACUACUUCUUGGCUCUUGCUUUUAUUGUUUGUUGUUUAGUUAACUUUCUUUCUUAAGAAUGUGAUUAAUGAAUUUGGUUAGCAAAAUUAUAAAAUGUAUAGUUUGUUUGGAAUGAUGCCUUUUUAAGUUUAUUUUUAAUUUAUAAGUGAUUUUGAUGAGUUAAUUUAUUAAAAAAAAAAAUUGGUUGGCAAAACGUGUAAGGCUAGUUUUUAAAUUUCGGAUACAUAUUGGAUAUCUAUAACCGACCCGGUAAAUGUGGAUAUUUCAGUUGUUGAUAUCCAAAAUUAUGGGUACGGACACGGAUGGUAAAUUUCUUGAUUUGCAUUUGGCAAGUUGGGUUAUUAUUAUGGCUCAUGGGGUGGAUGUUUGACUUGUCUGAACCCUACUUAUAAGAAUGUACUUUUUGUUCUUUUUUUUUUUAAUAAAUAGUGGGUAUCAAGCCUUUUAAAUGGGGAAAAAGGGGAAAAUUUGAGAGUCGAACCAAUAAUCUCAUGGUUAUCUAACUUACAAGAGUAUUUAGAAUAUAUUGUAACAAGUUUUAAAUUGAAUCAAUCUUAUAUGCACGCUAAUAGAGAUUUUAGAAAAAGAAAUUUUGUAGCAUGUUUAGAGUGGACUAAUGUAUACAAUAAUUGGUUUUGAUACGUGUCAUAUCAUUCUAAUUUGGAGUUGAAUUUCAAAUUUUAUACAUGCGACAUGCAUACAAACAUGCUAGUGUAUACAGUACUAGUGGAUAAAAAUUAGUUGGAUUACUUAUUGUAUAUACUCUUUUAGAUUACAUUGUUGGUAAGCAUAAAAAUAGGUCGAAUAACUUAUUUGAAUAUUCUUUUUCAACAAAAAGUUGUUUAUUAAGCUGUUUAUUUUUCAACAAAAAUAGACUCUGUCUAUCCCACAUCGUUCUUGGGGGGGUUAAGGGUUAGGUAGUUAAGUCCCCAUGUUUGCCUCAAAUGUUACCGACUUUUAAGGCUAAAUUUUAGAUUAGAUUUAAUUAAAUAAUUUCUUACUUCUGUAAGAAAAGGAAAAAAAAAGUAGACUCUGUACAUUUCAACACGAGUAGCAUCCAUAAGUUAACGGUAAAUUGAUUUUGGCAUAGUUGGCUUUGACAAAGAGCUCCACAGGGAGACAACACUCGCCUGUAGGCUGAAAGAACAAAAGCUACUGCUAUAGAUCCAUCCUUAUUAAAUUGGAACAAAACAUAAAGUCAACAGGAAAUCAGUAGUACCGUGGUAAUAUCUGAUCCAAAAAAAAGUUUCUUAAAAAGAUAGUACAUGAAUGAAACCAGGAACAUAAUAGUAUGCUUGCUUGGAGCUUUUAUAAUUAUUAUUUGCAGGUUGAGUUAUUAAGAAGAUGAAGAAGACACAAAAAAAAAAAAAAAACCCAUGAAUGAAAAUAUUUUUUGAAAAAAAAAUUUUUAAAAAAUCCAACGGUAGUUAUAUGCUAAAUCACAGUCUUAACUUAUACAUCUAAUUUUCUCUUGUCAUCUGAAUUUAUUUUUCCGUUUUAGACUGUUGCUUUGAAUUGCUUUGAGAAACCCAAAACCAAGAAAGUAAUUUAUCCAAUGAUCUUGACUACAAGCACUUGGUUUACUUGGCAUAACUAACCAACAUAUCGAAAUUAAACCAAGUUGUAUCAAUUGAGAAGUAAAUGUGUUUGGAUAACUCAAACGGACUAAAUGCCAAUUGUUGCUGCAAUUAUAGAACAUGUUCAUAUUAACAAUACUUCUAUAUUGCUAUGUUGCAUUAACUUCUCAAUCCAACGGUUAGUAAUAAUAAUCGUUCAUGGAUUAAACUUUAUGAGGUUCUUGUUAUUUUUAUUGUUCUUUAGAUUUGGAGUAUCUUUUCUUCAGAUAUGUUAUUUGAUAUCCGUGUGUAUUUGAUAAUGUACUUUCAGCAAUUAGUGCAGAUUUCAAUGAAAUUAUAAUAUUUUAUCAAAAAAAAAUCUAUACCUGUCCUUCUUUACAUUUGCAGGAAAUGAGCCAAUCAUGAUAGUCAUUAGUUAAGUUCAUAUGCCUAAACAAAAAAUUUGUCUAAUCUAGACUACUUAACCUAUACAACCGCACAAACUAUAGAACCGAAAGUCAUUUUAUCCAUUUCUAUUUAGAACAAAUUAUAGGGAUAAUGUUAGAAACCUCCUCUGAGGUUUCUACAAUUACACUGACCUCCCUUGAGGUUUAGGAUUUGUAACAAAUCAGCCUAUGAUGUCAAAAGUGAAUAUAAAAGAGUGUUUAUAGAAAAGAGAGGGAAAUUUGUUCCCAUAAAUGCCCCUAAGGUAGGCGUAUAAGUUACAUUAGCGAAAUAAUGAAAACUAAUAAAAACCAGAAAUAAAUUAGAAAAUGUGAGGGGAUGCUAGUGAAAUAAGGAAAAAAAGUCACUGACUUUUUUUGCACAAAGCUUCAACCACGGCUUCAACACACACGCCUUUCUCGCUUUUGCAAUGUCCUGCUGAAUUGCAAUCAACAAUUCACUGAACCAAUGUGAGAAAAUGCCUUAGCAGAGGAAAAGAAAAAUAAGAGAGCAAAACUGUUUACAAGCUAAACAGCUUAGUGAAGGAUCCUACGCGACAAAAAGGAGAGUAAAAAAAAACCGACACAAAGCAAGAUAGCACCUAUGAAUUACCAUAGGAGGCAACUGAGGCCAAUGAUGGAGAUCUGUAUUAGUAAAACAUGAAACCACCACAAUUUAAGAUCAGAAGAAGAAAGAUCAUACAUUCAUAAGCGUUGGGAAAAAAGGAAAAAAGCAAGAAAUGCCAAAUGAUUAAUGAGUUAACAAUUACAAAUAACCAUUUCUUAGACAAUAAUUAAUUCAAUUCAUUGCAGCUAGAGGAUUGAAAUGACUAAAAAUCCAGCACUUUAUUAGAAUCAAAACCUGAAGAUGUAUGCAGGUUUCUUCAGCUUCCAUCUUCAUUAUGUUUCUUUUUAUUUUUCUUUCUUCUCCUUGAUGCCUUCUUCGCAAUAUAUAAAAGACUAAUUUGUUGUGUUGUUCCUAGUGUCAAUCAGCAAAAUGGCGCCAUAUUGGUGAACGAAAUUGACGCCGGCUGGUUAAAUGCUUUUUUGAUUAGCAAGAUUCCAACUGGUAAUUUGGUUAAUGAAAUUGAAAGAUUUAAUUUGGACCCCAAUGACUUAUUUAUCAAAUUUCAGUCUUAUAAUAACACACAAUGUCUUGGGUGUAAUAGUAAUUUUGCAUUAUAUGAUGUCAGCAAUUUGGUCCCAAGUUCUGCCAGGGAGUCAGUGUAAUUGUGAAAACCUCAGGGGAAGUCAAUGAAAUUGUCAGAAACCUCAAGGGAGGUUUCUGAAAUUAUCCCCAAAUUAUACGAAUAGUCAUUAAAAUUGUUUGAAUAGUAAAAUUUUGAUCACUCAAUUUUUAAGUGUAUGUAUUUACUUACUAAACUAUCAAAAAUAGGGGUUCGUUUGGAUUCCUUGUUUUUGCACCUGUUUUUGAAAAACUGCUUUUCACAUUCCAAAUGUUACAGUAAAUGUGUAUUUCAAAAACAAUUUCAAAAACACCCAUAUCCAAAUAUUAUAUAAAAAACAACACCAAAUAUACAAAUUUAAUAUGUAUAUUUCAAUUAUUUAUAUUAUAUAUAUUAUAUUAAUAUAAAUUAAAAUAUACAAAUUGAAAAUUAUAUAUUUAUAUGUUAUAUAUUAUAUAUUAUAUAAAUAUUUAUAUACAUUAAUAUUAUACAUAAUAUAAUAUACAUAAUAUGUAAUAUUGUAUACAUAAAUGUAUAAAUAUUUAUACAUAAUAUAUUAUGUACAUUAUAUUAUAAUAUAUACAUUAUUAAUGUACUUUCAUUAUUAUGUACAUUAUUGUGUAUAAUAAUGUAUAAUAAUGUUAUGUAUAAUAUAUAAUAUACAUAAUAUGUAAUAAUGUAAUAAUGUAUAUUAUGUAUAUUAUAUUAUAUAUAUACAAUAUUAUGUAUAUUAUACAAAUUGCAAAAUUUUAUAUUAUAUAUUUAUAUAUUAUAUAAAUAUUUAUAUAAUGAAAUAUACAAUAAAUAUUACAAAUUGAAAUAUUAUAUAAACACCAUAUUUAUUAAUAUUCAAAUAUUUAUAAUUAAUAUUAAUGUAUAUUAUAUAUAUUAAAUAUUUAUAAAUAUAUACAUAAUACAUGUAUAUAUAUAUUUAUUCAUAUUAUAUAUAAUUUAUUUAUUUAAUAUAUAUUUAUAUAAAAAAUAUAUUAUAAAAUUAUAUAUUAUAUUAUAUAGAUUAUACAUUUAUAUAAAUGUACAUUUAUACAUAAUAUGUAUAUUUAUGUAUAUUUAUAAUAUACAUUUAUAUUAUGUAUUAUAUAUAAUAUAAUACAUUUAUACAUUUAUAUUAAUAUACAUAAUAUUAAAUGUACAUUUAUACAUAAUAUAUAUAUUUAUGUAUAUUUAUAAUAUACAUUUAUAUUAUGUAUUGUAUAUAAUAUAAUACAUUUAUACAUUUACAUUAAUAUACAUAAUAUUAAUUUUACAUUUAUACAUGAUAUUAAUACAUUUAUAUAUUGAUAUUAAUUAUAUUAAUACAUUUAUACAUAAUAUUAAUAUAUAUUUAUGAUAUAUUAAUUUAUACAUUUAUAUAAUAUUCAUUUAUAAUUUAUAUAUUUAUAAUAAUAUACACUUAUACAUUUCUAAAUAUAUUUAUAUUAUGUAUUAUAUAUAAUAGAAUACAUUUAUAUAUUUUUAUAUAACUAUAUAAAUAUAUUUAUUUAUAAAUAUUUAUAAAUGUAUUAUAAAUGCAUAAAUAUAUAUUUAGAUAAAAAUAUAAAAUUUAUAAUUUUUACAUUUAUAUAAUAUUUAUUUAUAAUUUAUACAUUUAUAAUAAUAUACAUUUAUACAUUUAUAAAUAUAUUUAUAUUAUGUAUUAUGUAUAAUGUAAUACAUUUAUAAUAUAUUGAUAUAUUUUUAUAUAAAUAUAUAAAUAUAUUUAUUUAUAAAUAUUUAUAAAUGUAUUAUAAAUGCAUAACUGUAUAUAAAUAUAAAAAUAUAUAAAUUAUAAAUUAUAAAAUACUCAAAAAUAUGUUUUAAAAAUACCUCUAAAAAUAAUCCAAAAAACAUUUACAGUAAAAGUUUUUCAUAUAGUUUUUGAAAAACAACCCCAAAAACAACUAAUCCAAACGGAUUUGUAUUUAAAAAACGAAAUGCUACAGUAUUGUUUUUGAAAAAUAACCCAAAAAACAGCUAAUACAAACGGACCCUAUUGAGCCAUUCAAUUUAUUUCCACCUUGAAGCCUACCAGAUCCUGUUAUGUUGCUUGAUUCUUGCGACUUUUAGAUUUGGCAGAUUUAAUGGUAAAGACAAAUAAAAUGGCCUAAAAUUUGCAACUCUGGUAAUUUAAUGGGUAAAUAUAUACUCUCAAAAGUUGAAUAGUUAAAACUCUACUAUUGAAUGAGUUCAGUGGUCUCCGAAUAAUUUGCUCUUCCAUUCAUCAUUGAUUCACCGCUUUCAAAUUUCGUGCCUUUAUGAAAUGAAUUCUGCAACCGAAGCAACCAAUCAAUUAAGUGACUAAGGCUGUCACAUCAACUCCCUCACCUAUCCGUAACCCGAAACACCAUACCCAAGACCUACACCUAAACAGUAAAAAACCAUUGGUCCCUAUUGACACCUUCACCAAUAAAAUUCCACCACGUCAGUCUAUAUUCCGCUCGGUCCAACCCCCGUCCGAUUCCCCAUCGAUUUUUCAACCCCUCUCUCAGAAUCGAUCGCCAUCAUCCAUUCUCUCUCUCUCUCUCUCUCUCUAAACAUCUGAAGAAAAACACACACUCGCACACACUCACUUUGACACACAAACGAGCACUCACACAGAGAGAGACGCAGACCAACUUUAUCAUUUUUCUUCUUGCUAUCAGAAAACAUAAUAAAGUUGAGGUGUAGCGGAGUGGACUUUUGAGUUGCUGCGACGUCGUUUUUUUUUGGGGGAAGGAGUUAGGGUUUUGGGUUGACAGGGGCUGGGGUUUUAAGGAAAGGGGAAGACGCUACGAAUUUGGGGGGAUUGGUUAUGAAGCAGAAGAGUUUUGGGGGUAGAGUUGAUCGACGGUGAGGAUUCGCCGGAUGGAGGGAGGUAGCGUCUCUAGACUUACUACUUGUUCUGGUACUCUUCAUUUCCUCCAUGGUGUUAUAUCUGUGACACUGCUUUUAUAUUUUUUUUAUUGCUUUAUUUUAUUUUUGUAUUACUAUUUGUACAUUAGGGUUGAUUUUUGGGGCUGGAAUAUGAUAAUUUGUAUUAGGUUUUGCUCUAGCUGUCAUUUAGUUGAUGAACUUGGUACUUUAGUAGUUAGGGUUUUGUUUAAAUUAACGACGAUUAUAGGUCAAAGGUUGGUGUUUUUUGGCUAAAGUUAGGAUUUUUCCAUUGCUUUUUUGUUUUAUCCUUUUCGUUUUUUGGUUCUAGUCACGGUGAAUAGUGAUGGAGGAAGAUUUGAUAUUGUACUUUGUUCUCUUUGGUUGGAGGGCCAGGGGGGGGGGUGGAUGGAGCAUUAGUCAAAGCAGCUAUUAUUUGGGUUAGUGUUGAGGAAAACAAAUUUAUAAAAAGCAUUAUUCUAGAUAUAACUAAUUCAUAAACAACGCUUGUAAAAGGAUUUUCAAUGUCACAAAAAUUCAUAAACAACGUUUGUAAAGGGAUUUCUUUCAGUAUCGCAACAUGCUUGUGCACAAAAAGCUUUUCUUGAAAAGACUAAAAAAAGUCCAUACACCUUUAUUCUUUAUCCUUAAAAGGAGAUUAAUUAAAGCGCCAUAAAGUUAUGCCAAAUCAGGUUCUUGAUGACUUAAUUAAGCUUAUUGUGCUUGGUGGACAUUCUUUCUUAAUUUGUUAUUUACUAUUAAAUUGGGAAGCAACAGCACGAUAAGGAUCCAACAUGUACUCUUAAGCACAUAAAUAAGGCAGAACUUCAACAACAAUAUGAUGCUUCAUUAGCUCCUCAAAACGAUGUAUAAUCCUGCCCUCCCUCUUCUAGAAAUCGGACAAUGCUCCAACGAUGCAGCAGGAACACCAUCUAAAUUUGAAGAAUGAUUUCAUGUUUUAGACACCUAGACAAUCUAAGCUUUGUGCUAUUGGGGCCAAUGUAGCAUUUUCCCAGUUCUACGUUUGCAAUCAUUACCCUCUCCUGUGUUAUCUAAACUUCAAUAUGGAGCAGCAUUUCGUUUAGAUUGGUUUCUAGGAAAUUAAUCAUAUGCACACUGGCCAAUAAAUCAGUCAUUCAUCAAUUUCUAAAACGUAGUAUAUAUACAUUUCUAUGCAGCAUGCAGCUGGAGAAAGAAAGAAGUAAAAUGGAAAUUCAUUCCCACAAAUCUAAUGCUCUCUCAAGAUUAGUUUUCCAUAAGGCAUGAACUUUACAAGUCUUCCAAACUUUGCUUGUCCACAAAUUCAAUAAGACAAAACAUGUACUAAGAAAUUUCCGUUUGGGAUAAUAUUGUCUGGUUGUCCAACAAAGAUCCAAAUUAUCUACGUUAAACCAUGUAUCACGUCUUCAGGUGCUACUAGUGAAAAAAGUAGUGUAGGUGUGACAGACGAAAACUUAGGCAUUGACAUGAAGUCUUUAGAUGAGAAUCAAAGAGAAAUAUGCACUUCAGUCAAUGAAUCUUUAAAUGAAAAAAUGCAACAAGAUCCUUCUAUUUCUGAGGUUGAGGUUCAACAUGCAGAAUGCCUUGCAAAGGAUGUUCCUGUGAGUGUUGAGAAGUUGAGUAAUCAGAGUAUGGCAAGUGAUGUACAUCUUGAAAGUGCUACUGGUUCAACGGAUAAUAGAUCUGAGGACUGCAGCAUAAAAGAUAAUGUUUCUGUCAUGGAUGACCAAAAAUUCAGUGAGAUAUCUGCAGAAACAUGUGUUACUGGCCUCCGUUGUCCGCAUCAGGUUGAUUCGAAUGUGGAAGCUGUAGAGAUAUGUGCAGCUGAAGUGACUGCCAGUGACUUAGACGAACCUUCUAGACUUCCGCCAGUAGGAAAUUCUGAUUUGCUGACGGAUGAAGGAUGCAAUGAGGAGGUAUGUUCUCUUCAACCCGCUCAGGCUGACAGCUUUUCAGAGGGCAUGGAGAUCAGACUACAAUUUGAGAGUAGAAGCAUGUUGGUUGAGAAGUCAUUAGUGACCUGUCAAAGUAGUGAUGGCAUUGUUGACGAGUGUCCUGUUGGUGCUAGGGACACAAAGACUAAUGUUAUUUCUUCUGAGAAAGUAUGUGAUGUGCAGAUUUCUCAUGAAAAUAGCAAUUUGGUCAAUAAAAAUGAUGAUCAUAUUGGAAGCACUAGCCAUACGGAUAUAGGGUCCUCUGUCAUUGAAAUGGAGACACCUAUGGUAUCUGAAAUGCAAUUUGAAUCUUCCAAACACAGUGAACAGGUCGUUAAACAUGCAGAUGAUGUCACUGUUUUGGAACAGACACGUACUACUGUUGGAGAAGAUUGUGGUGUCAUAAGUGUGGAUACUAAGCAUGGAAAUGACGCUGCUGGCGUCCACAAUGAGUAUUCUAGUGAUGCAGCAUAUGUGGUGCCUCCAAGGCAAGCUGGUUCUGCAGAUUUUUCUGGAGAAGUUUUGUCCUCUAUGCUGGUUGAUGUUCACGAUUAUGUACAAGUUGUGUCAAUCCAGGAAAAGGGUGGUGAAGAGAUGACUUCUGAUUCAGGUAAAAUGGACCAUGAUUCUGUUGAGUCAUUUGAUGAUGGGAAGGUGGUUGGAUCAUCACCUCUGGCUGAAACUGGGGAGAAUGUUGAGACAGCUUCUAGAACAGAAAUUGAUGCUUCAGUCACUAAAGAAAAGGGUAUUUCACCAAAAAAGUGGCUUUUGUGUCUAUUUCUUGAUUUCAACUCAAUAUUGUCCCUGAUUUUUUCUCAUCCUUUGCAGAUUCAAAAUGUGAGGUGGAAGGUGCAGACCAAAUAUCACCUGACACAGUUGCGGGUGUUCCCUUGCUUAGUGUUGCUGCUACUACUAAAGUUGCUGAUCAGAGUAUGGAGCAGAAGAGUGAUCAAUUUGAAGGGAAAAGAGGGAUGCAAAUGGAAGCCCCAAUAGAUGCUGGUAGAUCAUUGUUGGGGGAGCCUGUGGAAGAGGCAACCCAGCAGCACCCUGAUGCUGUAGCCAAGGCUGUUAGAACUGAGGAUUUAGUUGCAGAAGCAGCGUCGGAUGAAGCUAAUGCAUCUGCCAGUCUGAUACUGGCUGAGACAUCUGCUGCAGCAUCUAAUGUCGAGCAAGUGGUUGCUGAAAGAGCUUCAGUGGAGCUGUUAGUUCAUUGUCAGCCAAAUGCAAAAGAGGGAGAAGGUGCUGACGUAGUAGAGAGCCUAAACCCUGAUGAACCACAGAAAGAAAAAAAGCGCGUAGCAGCAUCUUCUGAAGUUCAAGGUUGAUUUAUUAUCUCUCUUCUUUUUUAAAAAAUAUUUUUUACCACCCAUUUUAUGCAGUUUGUGAAUGAUGUGACUUCUAAACCCAGUGCUUUGGAUCUCGAGCUCAUUAAAUUCUGGUUAUGCCAAAAAGUGCUUUUGAGCUAUGACGUAGAAACUGAAUUUUGUAGUGGCCUCCAUGGUUUUUCUCCCUAACACAAUCUUUUGUAUGAAGUUUGCAGAUAGCAUCUUACCCAUACUAGAUACUUUCUAGAAGGGCGAAAAUUACUAUCUUUGUUCUGCAGUUGAUGAGUUGCUUUAAAUUUUGAGUGCAAAUGUUAAUCAAAAAGUACCCCGGGUUGUUUAUCACGCAGAUCAAAUAUUAUGGGUUUUUGUGUGUGUGUGUGUGGUUUGGAGAGAUGCAUUUUAAUUGCAGGUGCUCGUCCAGUAGUCUUAGAAGUUGCUUUGUCUCAAAUAAUUGUGAUCUUCUGCUAUUGUGCAGAUUAUUGUUAUUCUUCUUUUUAGGGUCAUUUAUCUGUUAUUAUCUUCCCUAUCAUCUGAAUUUUUUUCCCUCUUGCAGGUGGAAACAUUUCUCCAGCAAUUGAGAAACCUGAUGAUACUUCGGAUGGUAUUGGUGUCCCUGAACUUUCUGAAUGUGAGAUGAAUAAGCAAGCAGGUGUCACUGGGGGCAUGACUAAGAAUUUCCCUCCCUCUGACUGCAAAGAAAGAAAUGAUGGUGAUACUUCAUCAAGUGACAUAGCUUUACAAGUGAAUGUUGCCUCCAAAGAUGAGGGGAGCUUUGCCUUUGAUGUCAGUCCCUUGGAACGUCUUCCAGAGGGAGGAACUAGCAAGGGUUGGCAGUCAGAUCCGCAUAUUCAAGCUCACAAAAGAUCCACAGUAUGUAACUGCAUUAUCCUAAAUACUUGUUUAGAUGUUAUUGUCUUGCAAAUUAUAAUCUUUUGUUUCUUUUUCCUUGUCUUCCAAAUAUUGUUGAAGGUUGUAGAUAAAUUCCCUUCGACAUCUGGGGGAAGCCAAGUAGACCCUAUAGUAGUGCAGGAAAUUUCUCAUGGAAGUCAACAAACACCUGAUAAGGGGGCACCACCCCAGGCUGCCAAAGGCACCUCUGAGCGAAAAACGAGGCGCAGCUCUGCAAAAUCAGGGAAAGAAAAUGCUAGAAAGGGAAAUCCUUUGAAGGAAACAGCCCCACUGAAGCAUUCAGAGAGAGGGGACAGAUUAUCAGCACCCAUUGGCUCAACAGGAAGUUGUCAACUUAAGCAAUUAGAAGUGACAAGUGUGGAACGCAGUGGAGCAAAGCAAGGGGUGGUUCUUCCUGUUUCUGUAUCUAGUUUACCAGAUUUGAACACUUCAGCUCAAGUAUCUUUAUUCUUUCAGCAGCCUUUUACAGAUCUACAGCAAGUGCAAUUACGGGCGCAAAUUUUUGUUUAUGGGUCCUUGAUGUGAGUCCUAUACUGAAAUCAAAGAUACAUACACAAUAUGGCAUGUGAAGAAAGUGAAUAGAUUCCGGUCAUUAGGCAUAGUUAUGUUUGUCCGCAAAUAAGACCUGAGUCUGGUUUCUUUUCCUGAUACCUUUCUCUUGCAGUUCCUGAACUUUUAUAGAAAAGUCUUAUGUCAUGUCUACCUGCUGGCAUUUGAUUUAACUAUAUUUUGAAAUUGUGAUGGUGCAGACAAGGAGUAGCACCUGAUGAAGCUUGUAUGGUUUCGGCAUUUGGGAUGUGUGGUUCGUAUAUUCUUCCUUCUAUUUUGUUCGUACCUGUAUGUAUCUGUUAGCAUCUGUGGUAACUAGCUUGAAGCUUUUCGCUAACAGAAGGAGGGAGGAGCUUUUGGGAGCCUGCUUGGCGGGCAUGUUUGGAAAGGCUUCAUGGUCCAAAAUUGCAUCCAGGCAGCUCUGAGACCCCUGUACAAUCACGUUCAGGUACUUCAUGACUUUUUGAGGUUUUUUAAGGUUUUGUUGUUGCUGAAGCGUGUUCCAAUUUGCUCCAAUGUAGGUCCUAAAACUUCAGAGCAGGGAAAUAUACAGGGUUUGAGCCAAAGCAAGGUUCUUUCAACACCUGCUGCUAGAGUGAGCAGCAAGAGUGGCCCUUCUCCUGUUGUUAAUCCAAUGAUACCUCUUUCUUCACCUCUAUGGAACAUACCUACGCCCUCUUGUGAUGCUCUAGCAACCAAUAACAUGGUUAGAGGUCCUGUUCUUGAUUAUCAGGUACUUUCUCCUUUGCAUGCUUAUCAGACACCGCCUAUGCGUAACUUUGGUGGAAAUACAACUUCUUGGGCAUCGCAGGCCCCUUUCCCUGGUUCAUGGGUUUCCUCUGCUCAAAGUUCUGCUGUAGAUGUCAGUGCUCGGUUUCCUCCAAUACCCCUUACAGAAACAGUAAAAUUAACACCCAUCAAAGAGUCAUCUGUUUCAGUUUCUUCCACUACAAAACUUGCUUCGCCUGAUCCCACAGCUCAUGAUUUGAAAAAAGUCUCAGGUUCACAUGGCCCGCAUUCUACUGAUCCAAAAUCUAGAAAAAGAAAGAAGACUUCUGCUACUGAGGAUAUUGGCCAGAAAUCAGUGCCCGUGACUCAGACAGGAUCAGCUGUACCAGCAUUCAAUAAUGAUGCAUCAAGAAAAGUUCAUGCGGUGGAGGAUCUUGGGCAGGGUGUUAUGGUUCCUCGACAUAACACAGAGCUGGUACCUGCUCCUGCUGGUACUAAUAUCUCUACAUCCGUUGCUAAUACUACCCCGUCCAAUUUUGUGCUUAAGAGCAGUUCAGAUAAGCCUCUCACAACUGUGUCCUCUGUUUCCACCAUUGAUCACCCAAAAGGUGGGGAAUCACUUCCUGAAAAGAGGCCCUUGAAACCAGAGGACAUUGCAAAGGUGGAGGAGGCUAAACUGCAGGCAGAAGAGGCAUCUGCACAUGCUGCUAUAGCAGUUUCUCACUGCCAGAAUAUCUGGUGUCAAUUGGAGAAACACAAUAAUUGUGGCUUGACGGCUGAUGUUGAGGCUAAGAUAACAUCUGCAGCUGUUGCAAUAGCAGCAGCUGCUUCUAUUGCGAAGGCUGCAGCUGCUGCUGCUAAGAUUGCAUCAAAUGUUGCUCUCCAAGCCAAACUGAUGGCUGAUGAGGCAUUGAUCUCCAGUGGGACUCAACAUCCAACUCAAGUUAACUUACAAUCUGUUCCUGGUUUUGUAAACAAUGUGGGGAAUGCAACUCCUGCAUCAAUUCUGAAGGUUGGGGACGGAAAUAAUGGUUCUAGUUCAAUCAUCUUUGCUGCUAGGGAAGCUGCUAGGAAGAAGAUUGAGGCUGCUUCAGCCGCCUCAAGGCAUGCUGAAAAUUUGGAUGCCAUAGUAAAAGCUGCUGAAUUGGCAGCAGAAGCUGUAUCACAAGCAGGGAAAGUUGUUGCAAUGGGUGAUCCUUUGCCUAUUAGUAAAUUGGUUGAGGCUGGUCCAGAAAAUUAUUGGAAAGGUGCAAAAUUACCUUCUGGGCAGGGUGGCAAGUCAAACAUGGUUGGAAACAAGUCGAGCAUCAACAGUGUUGAGGAAGUGGCUGAUGUUGUUCUGGACCACUCAGUGAAGGAGGUACAUACUAGAAACAAUGGUGUUUCACCUUUCCCUAAAGAGACAUCCAAGGAGAACCACAGUAAGGGAGGUGAGGGCAUUUCUGCUACUGACACUCGAGUUGAAAAGGAUUUUAGAGGGCAAAAGAGUCGUAGAGCAUCAGAUUCAAGGAAGGCUACAGAUGAUGUUCAUGAGGCGGUGAUUGGAUCAAGAUCUAUGGCAGAUGAAAAUAUGAUUGUUACCUUUAAUGACAAUGGCAUAAAAGAGAGUAGCCUUGUUGAGGUAUGUAGGUUUUAACGGUCUAGAAUUUUGGAUUUUUGCAAUUUAUUGCAGUUUAAGACUGGCAUGUUCAAUUUGCUGAAUGCCUGCCUCUUUAAGUUUUCUUGAUCCUUGUUUCAUGGGCUAUGAUAUUCUUCAAAACUGUACGCUAUUUGUCUUAAAGGAUAUAAAUAAACUAUGCUGUUUGUCUAUAAUGUUUAACAUCUGAGAUAUGUUAUUCAGUUAGCUGCCUUUUAUUCAAGGUUUUCAAAGACAAUGGGGAUUUCACUGGAGCCUGGUUUUCUGCCAACGUAUUGAGUUUGAAGGAUGGAAAAGCCUUGGUUUGCUACACUGAUUUGGAAUCAGAUGAAGGUAAGCUCCCUAUGCAACAUGUUUCAGUAUGACAUGCAUCAUAUUUGAGACACAUACCGUGGGACGUUAGGCAGAGUGCUAAGUUUUAGGAAUGUUACCCCACUAUCACCUUAGUGUUAAAUUCCAGGUUGACCUCUCAAUUCGCAUUUUAAUAUCAUCUCGAGUCUAUAAUUUCUUAUAUCUCCUUGUGUCUGACAACCAUUCAGGCUGACACGAGCAACCCUGUUACAGUAUAUCAGUUCCAACUGAAGCUAUGCCUGCCUAUUUAGGCUAGUAUCAGAAAGCUUUCAUUGAGUGAAAUCUAUGGCAUGUCUGAGUGGCUUCCUUUUUUCCUAUAGCACAAUGCAGAGUGCUUGUCCAUUUGCCCAACCAGUUGAAGAGAUGGAGGAAACUUAUCUCAGAAAGUUGGACAAUGUGAUCAUGGAAUAAAUCUUGCAAUUUAAAUAAAAGCCUCAGAUAUACCACUGUGAAAGUUGAUUGUUUUGUCACACAGACUAAAAUCCUGGUGUGUUAGCCCCUUCCCCGAAGGGAAGAGGAAAGUAUUGGAGGAUAACAUUGCAUUGGUGUAUAACUAGAAACACCUUACUUUCUCAAGAAACUUGUCAUGCAUACCUUGUUGUCACAAAGUCCAUGCAUUAAUUCUUCUAAAAUCAUAGGCAGACUCAACUAUCCAUUCUUGCCAAGCAUCAGAUUGUGGUGAGAAUCUAAGAAGUCCUUUGUGUAAUAUUUUGGCUUCAUAAAAGCUAGAGUCAGGUUAUCAUACAAGGCUCUGCAUUUUGUAUAAUCGGUCUUUGACCUGCUAGGAUUUUAGUUAUGCACAGUAAGCAUGGUUUAUGGCAUGGUGACAUUUGGUUUGGGAAAACUGUUCUUGAUAAAGUAUAUCUGUAGUAUAUUCAACUAUUAUAGAAUAUUUAUUCUUAAUUCUCGGUGUAGGGUCGGCAAAACUGAAGGAGUGGAUACCACUUGAAGCAGAAGGGAGUAAACAGCCAAGAAUACGGCUUGCCCAUCCUAUGACUAGCAUAACAUCUGAAGGGACAAGGAAGAGGCGGAGAGCAGCUGCAAGAGAUUAUACUUGGUCUGUUGAUGACAGAGUUGAUGCAUGGAUAGAAAAUUGGUGAGAUCCCCUACAUCUCUCUGUGAAUAUUUUUGGAGCUUUAAUAUGUUUGCUAGUGGCUUAUAGUAGAGUGAACAGUUUAAGUCCUUUUCCUUGUCCUAGGUUAUUUAAUAGGUUUUAUUACCAAUUGUUGUGAUUACUUCCUAUUUAAAUGUUCUGGUGACAGUUUCCCUGCCUAAUGUGCCCAAUAAGUUCUGCAUGUUGUGGUUGUGUUGGUAAAUUUUCAUGAUUUGUCUUCUUGAUGGUUGAGAAUGUUAAUGGCAAAUCACAGGAGGUUUAUCUACCAAAAUGACAGAGAAAUAAAUAAAUGGGUGUUUAUAUUUCAAGUUAUUGCCUUCAUAGACUCUUUGUUGCAUUCAGAAAGGAGAAAGAUUCACUGCAAGUGUUGUCAACUUGUUAGUAAAUGUAACUUAGGUGCCUCAAAUCAUAGACCAAGGCAGAAAGAUUUUUGGUGACAGGAAGAGGGAGGGAGCUAUCUUCAUGGGAUGUCUUAACAUGUGUAAUUUUUCCUUCUUUUUCCAAACCUUCUUCCAUUGUGUAAUUUUUGUACGUCUUAACAUGUCAGUUAUGGUAGACUUCAUUCUGAGCACUGUCAAACAAUGAGAGUCGAGUGUGUGCGCAUGUUUGUUCAUGAAUUUUUUUUGUGUGUUGUUGAUGUAUGAUGCAUUUAGACAACCUAAGGAAGCUUUUAACCUAGAAUGCAUUAAAAUAUUGGAUGACCUUUUAUGGAAAAGAUGCGGCAACUUGAAUUUGCAUCCAGAAUUAUUUAGCGGAAAAUGCCAAACAAUACAAAAGGAGAGGAAAUUAUGCUUCUUUUUAAGAGUCUAUACAUUAUUAACAUACAUUUUCAUUUUUCUUGUUUCCUUGAAAUAUAGUGUGAGCGUUAUUUUGGUGAUAUCUUGUCUGUGGAACUUUGUCAAUAGAGAGUUAAAAUGUCUUAGAUUUGAACUGCUGUUAGAUCUCUGUACUUGAGCUGUGAUGUCAUGUUGUUUGACAGAAAAACUAACUAUUUUGAACCUGCUUUCUCAAUGUUUUUUAGCUGGCGUGAAGGAGUGAUUAUAGAAAAGAACAAAAAGGAUGAGACUACAUUGAGUGUUCACUUUCCAGGUAUUUCUGGUUGCACACCCCAGAAUUUUUGUGUUUCAUAAAAAGAUGAUCAGGUUUUUCCACAGAUAAAUUUUUUCAUGUGUUUCCUCUGCAGCUCAAGGAAAAACGUCAGUUGUUAGAGCAUGGCAUCUCAGGCCAACCCUUGUAUGGAAAGAUGGGGAGUGGAUUGAGUGGGCAAAUUUCAAAGAGUCUUUGCAGGUUUAACACUAUUUCUUGUUCAUAUUUAUUUUUUCAUGAAUCUCCAUUUCCCCAACUUAUUGGUCGCUAUUUGUUUGUUUACUUUAUGAAUUUUCAGGGUGAUACACCACAGGAGAAGCGAAUAAAGCUGGGAAGUCCUCCUGUUGAGGGCAAAGGGAAGAGCAAAAUAUCAAAGAAUGUGGAUUAUGCUGAAUCAGGGAAACCUGAGGAUUCAAGGUUGCUGCCUUUAUCUGCUAGUGAUAAAGUAUUCAACGUUGGCAGUACCAGGAAUGAAAACAAGCCCGAGACUCUUAUAACAGUGAGGUCUGGUUUACAGAAGGAAGGUUCUAAAGUUAUUUUUGGCGUUCCCAAGCCUGGGAAGAAAAGAAAAUUUAUGGAAGUUAGCAAGCACUAUGUUUCUGAUCGUAGCAUAAAGAGCAAUGCUUCAAAUGACUCAGAGAAAUUCACAAAGUACUUAAUGCCUCAAGGACCAGGACCUCGUGGAUGGAAGAGUAGUUCCAAAAUUGAUUCAAAGGAAAAGCAAACAGCUGAGUUCAAUAAACAUAGGGGUCUUAAGUCUGGAAAACCUCCAGGUUUGUCUGCUAGAACAUUACCUCAGAGAGAGAAUUCUGUGGUAUCUUUGGCUGCUUCAAAGGAUGCAAGCUUAACAGAUGAUCUGGCAAAGAAUUCAACCAGCAAUGAUGAGAAUGAUUCAGGUCAGCAGAAUCUUAUUGACUUUGUGUCCUCUUCGAAUGUUGAAGAGACAGCCGAAGAACCUAUAUCGUCCUCUUCGCAAGUUCCUCCCCCAGAGUUUCCAAGGAGAGCAGCCACUCUGGGUACCAAAUCUGAGCGGCUGAAGAAAGGAAAGCCUCCGCCUGCUGGUGGGAAGUCAGCUAAGGUUGAGUUGAAGGACAAACCAAUUCCUGAAGCUGUUGAACCCCGUAGAUCAAAUCGCAGGAUUCAGCCAACAUCAAGGGUAAGUACCAAAAUGUAAACUGUUAUAUUUGCAGUUGGAUCUACACAAAAGCAGAUUUGCCUAACCAGUUUAACUUUAAUCAAAUUCCUUUGCUUUAAAUUUGUACUCAACAUCAAGAUUUGGUGCAUAUUCAGCCAUCUGACCUUAUUUGAGAUAGGGAUUAGUUAAUGCAAAGAAAAUGAAGAAUGUGGGAAAUUUGAAUAGCAACAUUGCUUUUAUGAUUUUGGUGUCAUUGAAUUUAUAUAUUCUCUCUGCCUGCAGAAGGUCAUAUAAAGAAGGGCCUUGCUCUGAUUGUCUGUUCAUGAGAGCAUUGUGCACUGGCUUGUAGUAGUAAAUAAAUAUUGGAAUCAAAUCAAUUGGAACUGUAAACAGAAUUGUGGCUUUGAUAUGAUCUUGAUAAUUGGCUAAUGUCUUCCCUUUUUCUGUUUCUGAUACUCUAUAUAAUGUUCCGUAACAAGUUUCCUUUGGUUUUUAUACCAAGCUGUGAUCUCAUAUUUUGCUUUGACUCAGAGUAGAUCUCAAUUUAUCUUUUGGGGUUAAGACGAUCCCUAGUUAUACUUGGUUUGAUUAUCUGCAGCUAUUAGAAGGAUUGCAGAGUUCACUCAUAGUCUCCAAGAUUCCAUCUGUUUCACAUGACAAAAGUCAGAGAAGCCAUAACAGGGCGGUAUCUAAGAGGUAGUACUUGAAUUCUAAGUAACAUUCUUCUUCCUGGGCCUCCCCUUAUUCCUUCCCACCAAAGGAAAGGAAUAGAUAAAAGAAUGCUAUGGGAUAUGUUGCAGCAUUUAACUUGUAAUGGCUUGUAUUAUUUUGUGACAGGGAAUAACAUCUAGUCGAGAAGCUCUUUGAAUGGAAUUGGGUCUGAAGGAUUUUAAAUAACCAGCAUAUGCAUUUAGCAAUCAAGAUACCCAGGAUUUAUUUUGUGAAUAUUUAUCAUAGAAGCAGAUCUGGGUUGCAGGGUUCACAGUACCUGGUGUUGCGAAGAUGUAAAAUUUAGCUAGAAUUGUUCAUAUUGAUUUAGCUUACAGAAUGUCUAGUUAACCAAUAACCAUGGUAGGCUUGUAUAUCAACUUAUGUAGUUUUCUUGGAAAUUUUUUGAAUGAUAAAUUAUACCAUUUUGCAGGCUGCAGCCCUUUCUGUUGAUUUUUCUGCCUGUAGGUUUCAGCAUUCCUUUUGCUUUUUUCCGUUGUCUUUGCCGAAAUAUUUGUUGGUUGUCAAUUUACCUUAUUAGAGCUCACGAAGCUCUUGUACCUAGGAGGGGGUUGAGGGUUGAUUGACCUGAAAUAAUAGAGUUGAUCUGUACUUUAGCACGGUGUCAUCUAUGACUACGUUUGUCUCGUCAAAGGAAGUGGAAGAGAACUCGAACUUUAGGUUAAUCAUCCGAACUUUUGGAGGGUGAUAUCUGAUAUGUAUUUACACAUCAUUUUGCACUCCUUUAGAAUGUUCUCUUUGGCUACAUGGCGGGUACGUGUUGCAGGCAAAAAUUUAUAAAAGAGGUGUGCAAGAAACUUUUGGUAUGUAAUAAUUCCUCCGUUUUUUAUCUUCCCUUUUCUGUUGGGAACUAUUAUCCAGUGGAGACCUAUGGCAACUUUUCCGUCGCAUAUAGGUAUGAUAUUGAUGGGGAAGCAAAUAGGCGAUCUUAGGAAUAGUCUUGUCUGGUUUGGUCAACACUUUCUCUGGUUAAUGUUGUUAAUGUUUUGGGUAGCUCUAAUGCUUGUACUUCUAUUGCACAAUCCAUGUUUGUCUGUUAAACUAGCAAUAAAACUUGCGUUUGAAUUGUGAGAAGUAUUUUAAUGUAUAAUCUACCUCAAUUGUGGAGAUUAAAUUAGAUCAAAAUUCAUUUCAAUCGCAAAGUUUGCAAUAGACACCGUGUUUGGAUUGGUGGAUUCGCAACCCGUAUUAAAUCCCUUUCUUUUUGGGCUGGUCUUGAAGGUCAGAUGAAUAAAGAAAAAGGGUGUUCUCAAAAUGGCCGAUGGAGAUUAAGAAGGUAUAACUUUUAUGGGUGGGAUACUUUCAGUAACCUCCCCAAGGUUUCUUACAGUAUGAUUCAACUUUCUUGAGGGUUUUAAAGUUUCACUCACUUUUCCUAUUAAUUUCACAAGACCAAAUAUCCCUAUCAACGGUCACAAAUUGACAGCGUUACCCUUGUAUCCUCAAUAACCAUUUAACCAAAAGGCCAAAACAAAGGGAGAAUUUUUAAACCAAAAAAUGUAGAUGAAAAAUAACCAAAUUGCUAUCCAAUAUGGGAGGAGGGUUGGGUUGGGUUGGAUAGUAAGGUGAGAGGAAUUAUACGUAGGAGGUUUUAGAUUUAAAUCCUCGUGAUGUAAUUUAAAUUGUACUAAAAGUUUAAACAAUCUCUUCAUGUGUAAUUUGUAAUAUAAAUUCUACUUGUAGAAAAAAAAACUAAUAAAAACAUGAUCUAAUGACCAAAAUAUAUAUCUAGGAAUAUCUUAUAUUUUUUGGGUUAAAAUAUCAUUUGUUGUAUUAGAUGAUAGUUAGUUGCAUAUGCAAAAAUUAUUCAUUAUUGCAUCUAUAACCACUCAUAUUUUCAUCUUAUAACUUUUCAACCUUAUUUUAUAUUCUUGUUAUUGUUACAAGUUUCAUAAGUUCGGCAACACAAGGGUGGUAUUGGAACAAAAAUUUUAUCUCUCUUGCAUUUCCUUCAUAUGGGCUAAAAUGUUACAAAAAAUGUCAAUCUAAAAAAGGUGAGUGAAAUUUUAAAAACUUAAGAAGUGCUGAAUGAUAUCAUGAGAAACGUUGACAGGUUUCUGAAAUUAUUCCUUUAUGUGUAUCGUCAUUUCUAGCAGUACCAACUUACGAAGUGAUAUUGUGAGAAAUGUCAGGGAGGUUUCUGAAAUUAUUCCUUUAAUCUUUCUUCCACUACCAACUUGCGUUUUACAACCGAAUCAAACGGACCAAGCAGGAUCCUGAAAAGGCCUAUUUCCAAAGACCGCAAAACUUCCUUCACGUGUAAGCUAACAAUUGAAGCCAUUGCUGGCUAAAGUCUCGUCACCAAGUAAAAUAGCUUCAUUCCUCUCCUACAAACUACGGUGCUUAACAUUAAUAUGAACAAUUGCAGCACGAUUGAAGAUACAGUCUAGCUAUACAUGCACCCACAUCACCUGGCAAUCCACAUGUUACUCAAGGGGUUAUAAGUGCCAAAUCUGAGCUGCAGCUGGAGCCCAAAACCUUGCAGCAACUCUGACCCAGAGACAUUUUUAGUCAGACAGAAAGUCCUCAUGGUCACUCCCUUCUGCUAGGGAUCCUGGCCCUUCUCCUAUUCUGGCUUUCAUUAACUCCUGAGACUUACCCUCACCUUGCCUGAUAGUUUGAUACCUAGAUUUUGCAUCAGAAGCAAUGGAAUUAUCCUCUAAAGACCAAUCUCCAUCCUCAUCCUUUACAACAUCAGAGUGGUUGAAUGGUUUCUGGCAAAUGCAAGACGCUGGAUAUUCGUGGAACUCCCCCCGUCCUGGUUUCAUCUCAUCGGGUUCUCCCAUGAAUCCUCUUUGGCAUGAUUUCACCUUUUUGGCAAAUGUAUCCCACUCCAUUUUAUCUCGUGCCUUGAAUAAGGCACUAAGCCUUUUGGCAUUUGGCCUGAUAGUCCUCCUAUGCCCCAUAUACCUCCUUUGACAUGAAAAUAAAGAAUUAACUUUGCUAAACUAACAUUAUAAGACAACAUUUUGAGAUAAAUAUCAAAUUCUCUUGUUCUUCUUGGGUUGUUUGCACUUAUUCAUUUAAAUGCAUUUUAAUUACGCUCAAAAGGAUCUUGCUAAGCUUUCUUUCUUGGUCUAGCACAAUGCAGAAUAACAAAUCAGAUCAUACCUAGGCAAACAUUAUACAACAAUUUUAGGCCUUCAGAAAAGCUGAAAUUUCAUGCAUAAUGCUAAAACUUUUGUUGCUUGACACAGUAGCUCCUAGAUGUUGGUUUUACUUCAGAAGCUUAAUCCUAUUUCUUGACAAUAGCCAUGCUUAGAACAUCAUCUUCAUCUUCUCUCAUUCUCUGCACUAACAACUGUCCUUAGCUAAGGGAAGUCCAAUGUGUCAGGUCUUAGUACUUCACCAACAUUUGAACAGAUAAUGCUGACUAUGAAAUCACAGAAAAGCAUUACUACAACUAAUAGACAAUAUCUCACCUUCGACCAGCUAAGAUCUUUGCCAUGUUUCCAUUGUUGUUAGUGACAAAUACAUCACUUUCGUCACAAACAAUGUAGUCUAUGGCAGCAAGACGAGAAGAAAAGGGAAGAAAAGGUUUCAACUCUUCACCAGCAAGCAUCUCCUUGGUGAAGAAGUUUGGAAAGAGCUCUCUCAGGGGUCGCAAGGUUUCUUCUCCACCAUAUAUUUCACCAGAUGCGACAUACAGGUAGGAGUCAUUCCGGAACCCAAGUGCACGGAGCAUUAAACCGACUUCGUGGGGGGUAAGUGGGCAUUUCCCUCGGGUGCGCUCCUCAUCAGGGCUGAGCUCCUUUGGCAAGCACAAAAAAUGUAACAAAUUACAAGACUCUUCUUGUCAAAAUUACAACAGAAAAGAAAAACGUCGUAUAGCUUCGUGAACCAUGCAAAAUAUCAAAACUGGUUCAUUACAUGAUUAACCCACUUAACUCAAUGGCACCUGGAGUUGGCCAUUGCCAAGAAACCUAUGUUUUGCCUUUAUUCACACGCUCAUUGUUACGAAGACCUAUUACUGUAACAAAUUAUCGCCUCUAAAUAUUCCUACUUUUAGACAUGUUGUAGAUUCAAUCUGUUAAAUAACAAACUUUGCUAAUUAAGUGGCUAAUUUAAUACAAGAUAAGCCCAAAAAAAAGGAGAAGAACAAUAUCGUUUGAAAGCAUGAUCUCACAGGUAAUGUCUCCCAUCGCUUCCUUAUCUCCCCCAGUUCGUAUCGUUCUUUAUCUCCUCCACCAUAGUAACACCCAGAAAAGGCUAGCAUAUCAGGCUCAAACCUGCCAAACACAAAGUCAAAAAGAGCAAAUCAGAAAUGCAAGAGAUGAAAUUUUAUGAAAAUUAAAUACUUUUGUCGUUGUGGGUCUACUGGUAAAUAGUCCACAUUUAAGAAAUGAAACAAGACCGUUAGAAAAUUUAGGGGCAGACAAAUGCAGAAACGUGAUCCAAAUUAUCAUUUCUUGUCUACCUGGUAUCACAUCAUUCUGACAAAAGUGCCAUUUUCUUCAAGAAAUGUCCCCAAGCUACUUACCUCUUCUAGGGCUGAUAAAAAGUAAAAUAUUGCUCGUGUAGCAAAAUGAAUCUCAAAUCUACCAAAUUAGAGAUAUCCCUUUCAAAGAGGCGUCCAAAAUCAAUACAGCUUCAAAAAUAAUAACCAAGUUUUACCAAACAAACAAAUAGGUGACAAGUCUUCAUAGAACUUUUUAAUAUUAAGUAGAAGUUUAAGCAAUUCAUCAAUAUCUUAGAAGCAAAAAGCUUAAUUAAAUAUAAAAACUUUUUGUUGCAUCUACAUUUCAAUGUUAUGCAUCUCUGAAUCUCUUCUUCCUACAAUGACAUAUUCCUAUAUUGCCGGUCUAGCUAUAAUGGCUGGAAUUACAACCUUCAAAUAGCAGGUGGAACAUUUUAUUCUUGCAACAGUAAGAGUGACAAACCUCAAGUGAACUGCAAUAAAACGUUUGGUCAUCUUCCGCAUUCGCAUCACUAGUUUCUGCCCCAAAUUCCUUAUGGGUUUAGUAAAUCUUAGAGCAUGAUAAUUGACCCGGCAACGUAGUUUCUGUAGCUCUUCAUCAAGGUCAUUAGCAAGCCUAUAAUCAAACUUCGUCAACUGAACAACCUGCAUGAAAUUUAGCUUGUUUGUUAAUACAAAAGUUAAUGUACACAUCCUUUCUUUCUUAACUUAGGAAAGUAAGGUUAAUCUAUUAGCAUCCAAGCUUUCCAGAGAUUUUCAGGUAACUAUGGUGAUUAACAGUCUAAGUUCAAUAUUUGCUUUCUCUAGAAAAUCACUGACAGGAUUGUUUGGGAACUAAAUGAGUAGAAAUUGAAGUAAAAUCGUAACGCUCAAGCUUUUCAGCUUGCACUUUAAUACAACAUCUGAUGGUCAAACACGAUAAAUGAACAUUUUUAAUCAGGUAGACUAUAUCAAAAAAAAUAUUCCACCCCUGCCACCAGUGCCACUAUCUCCUCCAUGAACCUAACCCAUCAUUCUACUUCAACACCAUCUCUUUAUUAAGGCAAGUCACUGUGUCUUCACCACACGCCAUUGCAAAGACUUUGACUCAUCCACCUACUAAGCAAGGGUUAAUAAGUGAUAAAAUUGAGUCUAUAGUUAGCAUGAGUACAUUCAAAUUCCUAUCCCAAUCCAAAUGUGCCUCAAACGUGACAAAUCCUGCCCCUGUUCAGUUCAUUUCAACCUAAAACUUCAACAGAAGCUUUGUGGUAAUUAGAAUUUGGAUAGAUAUAUAGCUCGUAAUCUUGAAACUUCUAAAUUAAAUAUAGUGUGGGCAGUAAGAAGAGUAAUUCAAGAAAACAGCUCGGUGAAAGCCUGUAAACAGAUCAAGCUCUCUUCAGAGUUAAAAGAUACUGGAAGAUAAUUGGUUUGCAUACUUACACGUCGCCUCAAGAGAAUAGGCAGUACUUGGUCAAGAUAAUAUUCAGGUUCUGACUUUCUUGGUACACGCAUUGUAUAUGGGGGUUUCUCCAUUGAUCUCAUUACCUUUUCUGGAACUCUUUUAACAAUAGUUAUGUCCUUCCCAAGGUAAGAGAUGAACCAGUCAACAUCGAAAAUGUUUAAGAAGUCACUGCAUGUUAAGUCAAUUCACAAAUAUCAAUGCAAUUCAAACACAUGGAAAUCCCCUAUAGGACUAGACUACAUAUCCUCCUGCUAUGGUAUUUAAUUGAAAUCUCAGCCUACCUAUCAUCCUUCCAGAAAGAUUGAUGAUCCAAUUCUGGUACAACUAAAGUAGCAUUAAGAAUCCGUGCAACAACUACAGCGUCAGUUAUCUGAAGAGCAGAAAUGGAUUCUUGACUUUAGGAUAUUGAGAUACAGAAACAAAGUUGAAGAAUUCAUAAAUCCUAAUAAAUGAGCCUUUAAACCAGACGAGUAGACAACAAUGAGAAACACACUUACGCCAGUUCUUUGUUGGUUGAGCCCUCCACUAGUUGCUAUAAGUAGAUAGCCGUUUGAAGAUCGCUCACGAAUGGCAGCUACAGUUCAAUACAGAAUUAGGGCCUGAAUUAUAGUUCAAAUCGAAAGAAAAAUGUACAACAGCAAACCGCUCACAGAACAUAUCUAGAAAAGCAUCCAUGGAAGACUACAAAGCAAAGAAAGAGUUUAUCCAUAUACGGCGCGGGAGAUGCGUCUACCCAGGAAGCAAUUAAGAUCACUCAAUGCAUCAAAUUCAAUUUCUUUUUAAUCCAAAUUAGAAAGGAGGGAAAAGAAGUAAACGAAGACAGGAUAAUUACAUUUUUUUGCUUGGGUAAAAGAUAAAGAAACAGAGCACCAUCUCUUUAGACCAUUUUGGUCAGCGGACUAGUAUGACGACACAAGUAGGUGUACUAACAACAUAGACAAAUAUUUGAAGAAAAGGAGAUGCAAAUAUUAUUCAUGCCAUGACUUUGGAAGCGAGUACAGGCAAGGGUUAAUCAGCUUACGGCCAAAAUGGCGUCCUCUUUCACUGCAUCCAUAGUAGAACUUUGAGAACUUCGAUUUCCAAAUAUCAAUUGCUGUACGGCCAUUGCCAUUCUACAUUAUAUACAAGUUCAUAGAGGAGCAUCAGUAGUAUUUCAUUAAAAAGAGAUUCCACUGAUAAGACAAGCAUAAAAGUUACAAUAUCACAAGACAAGGACCUAUAAAAGUAAUUCCUCAAUUAAGAGAGCAGAAAAAUGGCUUCUCCCCUGCUGUACAGCUGCUUUUGUAACAGAAAAUUUACAAUAACCUUUUACUGGGAAUGGGGGGGAAGGGAGGGAUGGGUUGGGUGGUACUGGGGGAGGGAGUGUAAGUGAGAGGUCUUGGGUUCAAGAUCUCCCACUUACACUAUUAAAAAAUUUAAAAAAAUAAAUUAAAAAAAAAAACUUUUGCUGGGAGCAUAGCACAUAAAUCAGUCAUUUUAGCAGGUAAGGCUCUGUCUAAAUUGAAUAAUAUAAGCUCAUUAAAAUGCAAAACUUUCCAAUUACUGUUCACAUAACUAUUUUGUCCUAUCCUCUUCCAGAUGAAUAAGUAGCAUCUAAUCUGGAAGGCAUGCAAGCAUCUUUUCUCAAAACCGAUAAGGGACAAACACAUUAAGCACUUCUGCUCAUUAGUCAAACAAAUCAAACAAUAAAGAUCAUGUACUCAUAUAGAAUGGCAAGCAGCACAUCAACUCCAGCAUGUAGGGGGAAAAUACAUCAGUUGACAGUUUCACAUAGCAGAUGAAGCUCUCAAAAAAUUCUCAUAUUUAAUAUUCUAUUAGUCGAACAUUAGAUGAUAUUUUACAGCAAGCAUCCGUCCAACUCUUUUUACUAAGAAUGAAAUAUAUUAAUUUCUUAAACAGAAACAAAAAUAACUGCUCCAACGAUACACACCAUCGCAUACAGCUAAGAAUCCAAAGUAAAUCUAGUACUUUUAUGUUUUGGGGCAAGAUUAUAAAAGAAAUUUUAAACAAAUAUAAUCUUGCUCAUAACAAUACUCGUGGUCUAAAAUGGUGCAUUCUCAUGCAAGUAGAUUUACUUGAAACUGUGAAAAAUCUUUCACCCCACAAUACCUGAAAAGCAGAAAUUAAAAACCGAAGCUGACACUUCUCGGUUUUUGAAGGGAGAAAAGAGGUGAAAGACAGGUAAAAGAAAGAAUCUUGCUCAUAGUCCCCCUACAGUAUAAGAUAAAAAUGAAAACUUUGAAACACUACAUUUAUAUUCAACCCCAUUAUGCUCGUAAGCUCCGAUUCUCUCCCGAUCAAAAACAACAAAAACCUAAAUCCAGUGACCAAUAAAAUCUUAACUUUCACUCAAAAGCUCAAGAAUCAGACCGAACCCCCUCCCCCCAAAAAAAGGAAAAAAAUCGCUCUUAAAGUGAAAACAGCGACGCACUGAGCAACAAUAUAUUGACUUUCGCUUGAAAAACAAAUAAAGAGAGAAAUUUAACAGCCUAGAAAAAAAAAUGGGAACAAAAACAAAUAAAAAUGUAAAAAAUGUAAAUCAUAAUGACAGUCGAUUACCAGCUCCUUAUGAUAGGGAAAUCGCUUGCCAAAACGCUGAGAGUACCAUUCAAGAUCAGAAGCCAAGUGUCCAGUGAAGAGUGAAAUCAACCCAACAGCAAAUAGCAUUACCCCACAAACCUUCACAGACCAUGAGAUCUUCGGUCGCCUUGCUGAUGCCGCCGUAGAUGCAUUUGAUGGCCAGAACCACAAUCUCCAAUUCUGCUGCUGGUCCUGUACCUUUAAUUUCUCCUUAUCAUUAACAUUAUUACUACUAUUACAAAAAAUUCCAAAACUAUUGACUACUACUCCGUCACUAUACUUCCAAGCCUUGUUGGCUACACCCAUGAUGAUGGCUUACUCUUCUUCUUCUGCUUGUAGAACUACAUUCAAAUUCAGCUUCAGGAACCAGUGAAACUUUUCCGGCUUUUUUACUCAUUACUAGUAAAUUAAUUUAUGACAUCAACCACAGGUACCCCUUGGCAGAAAAAUGCAGAAUCCGCUGUUUGUUUUCAAUUAAAUGCCAUAUGACCCUAAUUCUUUUAUGGCUUUUUAUUGGGAUUUGUUUAAUGGGAUUUUACUGGUGAGCGUUUGAAACUGUGGGUCAGUGUUGCUUUUCAGAGUCUCUCUUUUAGGAGGGUGAUAGUAAAGAAGAAGAGGCCAAGAGGGGAGCCCUCAGCGCGUGUUUCAAACGGUGUUUUAGUGUGUGUUUUGGGGUGUGGAAAUGGGGCGCUGUAGAAGGGGAAAAGGUGAAAUUUUGAGGAGAAAGAAUGGAAGAAGGGGGUGAAAUGGUGGGGCUCGAUCAGUGCUGAGACACGAAUCUAAAGAUUUUGAGACUGUGAAAGGAGACGGUGAAGAGGAUGACGCAAGGGAAAGGCUGUGACGUGCUUAUCAGGGAUUAAGAAUAAGCGAAGUUUCUUGAUGUAUAAGGGUAGGUAUAAUGAUGGCAGAUUAAUAUUUUUAGACAAAAUAAUUUUUGUUGCGUAGCCUUUUGUAUAAUUUGCCAAUUGCGCUUUGGUAAUUUGCUGUAUGAGUUACUAAUGAUUGGGUAGGUGUGUCAAAAGUAUGAUGUGUAGAGAUUUUGAUGAUCAUAUUUGGAUUUAAGUUUUUCAAGCAUGGAGAGAUAUCAUUUCUAUCAAGUUUUAAAUUCGAAAGUCUUUUGGAUAAUCGAAAUUGAUAAGAUGAGGGAGUUACAAAAUUUUGAUUUAGAUUACUAUUUUUUGAAAUGUUUAUAGAUAAAUGUACUGAAAAAGUCGAUCUAAACAAGGCUCAGAUUACAACGGAUUUUGAUAGUAAUUUCCUUCACUGAACCUUUUUCUUGUAGCUCAAAUAAUUGAGAGUUUCCAAUUCUUAUUCUAAUCUAUUGGAAGUGGGUAGGAAAAUGGCAUUUGAACAUCAUAAUGAAUAAAAUGCAUUUGAGAAAGAAUUGAUUACAUAUAACGCGAAUCUCCAACAGUAAAUCCUAAAAGGACAUUUCAACAUUUAUUGUACCGUGACAAUAUACUCCCUCCCUUUUUGUAUAACUGACGUUUAAGAAAUUUGUUCUGGUGUACUUUUAUCUGUCAUCUUAUUAUCCCCAUACAGCAUUAAUUACUUUUUCACAAUUUUACCCUUUUAUCUCUCUGGUAUUAAUACACUCCCAUGCAUUGCUUUUAGCCUAAUAAAACAGCACCAUUUAGUACUCUAGUGAGAGAAAAUAUGGGUGAAUUGGACAAUUAAUGAGGGUACAAAAGGAAAGUAGUGUACAAAUUUAAGCAUUGAAAAACUUUUCUUAAUUAGUGUGUAAAACCUUAAACGUCAGUUAUAAAAAGAGGGAGGGAGUAUUUUGAUAUAGGAAAAUGGUCCUCGUUUCUUUAUUUACCAUACUUUGUUGUGUCCUACCACACCCUACUUUGUUGUGAUUGGUAGGGGUGUACAAAAUCGAAAAAUUUUGAUUUAUCUACCGAAUUCGAAAUGAAUUCGGAAUUUUGAAUUCGGUAAUGAGAUUUUUCAAAUUGGAAUUCUUAUUUCGAUUUCGAAUCUGUUGUUCAUAUAUAUAUAUAUAUAUAUAAUAUAAUAUAUAGCAUUUAUAUAAUAAUAAUAAUUUUUAUAUUCAUGAAUUCGAUGAAAUCGAAAUUUACUGAAUUUCAAAUUCGAAUUCUGGUGAAUUCAAAAUCAAAAUCGGUCUAAAAUUUUGAUACCAAAGUUUCGAAAAAUUCCGAUUUCAAAGUUUCAAAUUACCGAUUUCGAUUUCGAUUCACAUCCCUAGUGAUUGGUAACUUCAAUGGCCCAACAUUCAACAUGGCUUCCCCAGAACUAAAAGCAUCCUUUAUCAAUUUACUACUAUUUAUUUUCGGUUCGUAUAUUAAUAGUCCUUUUAUAUUUUUUUUAUUAAUUGCCACCAUCUAUUCCUAUUCUAUUUUAAAGGGAUGAUCCAAUUAAAUUAAAAAAAAUCGACGAAAAUUGAACUAUCAUCGAACCAUACAUGUGCAUUACGCACCCUUAUCUGCUCUGGAGUCUAAUCCAAUCAAAAGUAUGAUUAGUAGCAGCCUUUAGUAGCCACGCUUAGGCAUCCAGCAUAUAUUUACUUUCAGUUGGUAUAUUAAUACGCCUUUUAUCUUUUUUUUUUUUUGUCAAUUGUCACGGUCUACUCCUUAUUCUAAGGGGAUGAUCCAAUUAGAUCAAGAAAAAUCAACGAAACUGAAUCAUUAUCGGACCAUAUGAAUGCACUAUGCACCUUUAUUUGCUCCGCAGUCUAGUCCAACCGAAAGUGUAAUUAGUAGCCACACUCAGGCAUCCAGCAUACAUUUCCCAAAUAGUGAAUUUCGGCGCUUGUUUGUGUAAUUGUAGUGCAUUCACAGUUUCCAGGUAUUGGGACCUUCGUUCUGGGAAAACAGAAAGCACUAAUGAAGAUUUAUAGUGCAUUUAAAAAAAAAAAAAGAAAGGAAAAAGUGAAUAAGAAUUCAUGAUUCGUGGGACGCGUGUUGUUGCGUCUUUAUUAUUGCUGAUGCCGAUGCCUGACCUUAAAAGGACGUGCUACCCUUACCUACUGGACACUACAGAGUAGCCACUGAGUCAUGGCACAUUUUGGAAUUUGUCUCCCAAAGCAAUUACCAACUGACUCCUGCUUAGAUUAGAUUGCUAUUUUUAGAAGUUAUUUUUUUGUUAUUAAAAAUAUAUAUAAUAAUAAUUUAAUAUAUCUAAAAUAAAAAAUAAUUAAAAAAUAUAUUAUCGAAGAGCAUAAAAAUUUUCUUGCGAAAAAUUACAAUCCAAACUAGGAGCUAGUCUCUCUAGUUUUUUGUCGGUUUUAUCUUUUGUUUUGUAGCAAAAUUUUUGUGUUUUUUGGCGGUUCAUUGGUGUAGCUUAUUAUUAUUAUUUUCUCGUGAGAAAGAACAAAUUGCAAUUGCAAUCCAAAUUUAUGAAAAUCAACUUAUAUGCUAUAAUUAGAACUAGGAUUGCUAUAUUUUCCGUGGACAUAUUUUUUAGUCAUUUUUUUAUUUCAUAUAUAUCAAAUCGUUACAGUAAUUAUUUUACAAAAAAAAGUCCAAAAAAAAUGCAAUCCAAACAAAGCUGAAGUUGAUUAACAAUUUUUUUUUGGCUAUUUUUGGAGAAUCAUUUUGGUUUCUUAAAUACUAGGCAUCAUGUCAUUUGAAACCGUGGGAGGGGAAUUUAGGAAACAAAAUACUAGGCUGUCUAUUAUCCUUUUUUUUUUUUUUUGGCAAGAUCUCUCAUUUUUAAGUUUUUUGAUUAAAUUUGUCACAAUCAAACACUUCAUUUCCCAGUUUCCCCAUAGGGAGAACAAAUUGACCAACGCCUUUCAUUUAGUGUUCGGUUGGUGAUUUAUUUUUAGAAAAUGAUUAUUGAGACAUCGUUUUCAAUCAUAUUUUUCUGGAAAUUCUUCCAAAAAUGCCUCAGACACACCUUCUUAUCUCAUCUCAUCAAGAUUGCCUUUCCAUAUGUCUUGAAAGUUCUAUGCCAGUGGGUUUUCUAUCUCUACAUCACAGUAGUGGUCCUGGAGAAUGGUCCUAUUACAAAUUCAGAAAUCGUCAAAAAGCAUAUUCAUCAUGUGUUUAGACCUUUUUGGUGGGCAUAAUAAUAUUAAAAAUACGGCAACAUUUUGAGAAAUGCUUUAACAUUUAGUUUUUGUUGGAGGUACCUUUUUUUUUUUUUAGGAUUUUACACUAAUUUUGCUACCAUAGUAUUGAACACAUUUAUUUUCUGCACUACGACAAAAUUGACAUGAAGCACACAUCACAUCUCCACAGGCUUUUCUCUUACAUUUUCAUAGAAUUUGUCAAAAAUUUUCGGCCAAGCUUUUGCUCACUGAAAUGUAGAAUAAAGGCAUUGACACAGAAACAAACUUGCAUCCAACAAUCACGUUUAUAACAAAUUGUUGUGGGUAAAUACUAAAAAGUUCAAUGGCUCGUCCAAUGGGAAUAGUUUCAAGUGAUGUUUGAAUUGCUAUUUUUAAAAGUUUUUACAAAAUAAUAAUGUGUUGUAACGAUUUGACGUAUGUGAGAUAAAAAGUUGAUUAAAAAAAUAUGUUCACGAAAAAUGUAAAAAUUUUUCUACAGAAAAUCAUAAUCCAAACAAAUUAGUGUUUUGAAAAUUAAAACUAAAUAGUAUAAUUGCAGGGGAGAAUAGAUGUGGGUGUAGCCCUUAUAAUUUUGGUGUAAAUUAGAUACUCUAAGAAUCUAUUUGAUAACAUACAAAAGUGUUGAAACUGAACCUUUUUAGAUAUUCAGAUGAUGUGUUUGACUGUUUGAUAAAUGAAAAUCCAUCUGAUGAACUUCUUACGCAAUGCUGAACUUGUGUGUAUUUUUUCCAGCACAAGAAUCCUAACCGAAUGUUUAAUUCUGAUAAUAAUCAAUAGAAUUAUUUCAACUACCUUAUCUUAUUUACCAAAUCUACCAUUAUUUGUUAAUUAUGUUCAAAAUUCUUAUCUAAUUAAGCAACAUGAUAUUCUCUCUCUAACGAUUUUCUAUAUCUCUUGUUUCAUUUUUUAAUAACUUUCACAUCUUCUCCAUAUUUCUCAUAUAAUAUAUUUCAUCUUUUACAUUAAUUUGAUUUAAAAUAAAUAUUGUCAUUUUCAUAACUAAAAAUUUUAAACUAAUUAAAUCAUAAGUUCUAUUUCUUUUUUGAAUGAAAAUAUAUAUAGUGGCAAAAUUGUCAAAUUAAACUUAUUAAGCAUUCAUUUAUAAAUAUUUAUCAAACAGUAUAAAUAAAUUUAGCAUUAAAAUUCAAACAUUCGUACAUUUCUUUUUGGUGCUUAAAAUCUAGCAAAUUAAUUAUUUCAGUAUUCAAAUUUCAGAAUUCAAACUUAAGAAUUCAGAUUCGAUUUUGCCAAAUGGAACCUAAAAGAAAACCAAAUCCUUUAGUAUUAUCCUUUUUUUUUUGGUUAGAAAACCAAAUCCUUUAUUAAAGCUGAGAGUCCUAAUCACAAUCCUUCUUUUUGUUGGAAAAUCAAAUCCUUUAUUAAAAGAAGCUAAAAUUGUCUUUUCGAAGAAAAACAUGGUCCCAAUAUCCAUGACACUGACCAUGAUCGCAUCCCAAAUAAACUGACUGAUUAUUCAAAAAGUGAUUUCGGCGGCAGAGAUCGUGCUAAUCAAAAUCAGUUAUGUGAUGAUUACUGAUUAUCAACUUUGUUGACCGGAACAAGAAGAACAACGAUACACUAAUAGACGCACGACAGAGAAGGUGCUAAGCUCCCUUCCCCAACAACCCCUGCCCGGGUUGCUUUCUUGGUUUUGAAUUGAAAGUUCCCUUGGCACCUAAUGACAAGAGCUUCACAUGUUGGCACUAUCAAGUCAAUAUUUUACAGGAUUGAAUCCUUUAAGAGUGGUUUUUUUUUUUUUGGGCUUGAAUCGUUUUAAGAGUGGUUUUUUGCAGGUAGGACCAUAUUCUUUAGGUCGGGGUUUGAACCUACCAUAUUCAUUAGGUUGGAAUUUGAAUCUCACCUGCAGUAAAAAAAAUUUAAAAGAGAUGUCACAGCACUUAUUUGAUUUAAUCGGAUCCGUAAAUCUAUUAGUCUCUUAUACAAUCUUUUUAGACUUUUCCUUUCUAUAGAAUAUCAUUGCAGCAAAAAAAAAAAAAAAAACAUUAAUGUUCAUAUGGACAGCUUUGCAGGUAGGCAUAUUUAAGAUUAGAUUAGACUUGGAGGAGCGAUUGUUAGUCUACUUACAAGCCCAAGAAAUUACCAAAGACCAGUUAUAUCCAACCCAAAAUUAGAGGGGGAAGUGCAACUUCCAACUCCAUCAAGUGGAAGAGGCCCGCAAGAUAAGAGAAUAAAAACAGGUACUAUUGGACUUCCCAAUAGGAAAGUUUGGGGUUAGGUUCCGUGUGAUUUUUUUUUUUUUUGGUCGACACAGGGGUGUUUGGGUCAAUCUUUACGGGGUCCGACUAAUUUCCUGUGGUCCGGGUCGGGCGCCCCAACCCGGCUCGAACACGUUAAGUGCGCGGAGGAAUCCAGCAGAGCGGAGACUCGAACUUGUGAUCUCAAGAUUCACUGGUGAGAAGCGCUGCCGCUGGACCAUUCAUGCGAGGGCUAGGUUCCGUGUGAUUGCAUCGGGCAUUUCACGCAUUCGAUCAGGUCAGCUUAACUCGGUCUGAUUUAAUCAACAACCUUUCCUUUCCGAUUCCUUCCUUUCCCUCAUUCCAAACGGUGCCCAAUCAAGAAUCGAAAGAAACUAAAGGGAGCGUGAAGAAACAGUUUGCCUUUUGUUUUUAGGGAUAAUUCUAGUUCGAAGCAGCAAUGUACAUGCCUUCUCAACAUUUUAUACAAGAGAGCGCAGCAAAUUUUCCAAGCCCCACCUCAAUGUCAAUUCCCGAGUACAAGAGAGCAGUUGCCUUUUCCUCCUCUUGGAAUAAUUGUGAUUUGAAAACCCCAAGAGCGCCCUGACAAUUUAAAUUGACGCUAGCUGCAAAUUGGAUGGUCUACUGUCUACAUAAGCUUAAUUGUCGACCCUGCAGUCAUGAAGCACUACUAUUUUGACAAUGACUUGGGAUUUUCACUAGAUUUCAAGACACUGCAACAUCAAAAUUGAUUCAGCACCAUCUAAGAUGAUGCAGAUAAGCAUGCUCGUAUACUGUCGAAGAUGCUUUGUCUUUAAGAGGUCAAGAAUCAGAUUACUAGUACACACUAUGGAUAGUAGUAUACUCAUAGUCAUGAAAGACCUCUUGAUUCGAAGGCAAAGAAAGAUGUGCAUUUUCUUGGUUCAGAGACGAGAACGACCUCUUGAAUCAUGAAAGGCGUCAUGGACAGUAUACUCAUAUUCAGAUUACUACCAAAGAUUUGCAUUUACAUACCAUAAGAGGAAAGAAAGGCCUCUCGAUCCAGGCAUGGAUAAUUGUCAGCAAUGAAAUUCUCAGCAAAAAAAAAAGAAAAGAAAAUGCCCUUCUUCACUCCUCGACUGCUAGUUUCUCGUUAAAUAAAUUUACAAACAAAAGGUGGUAAUCGAACUUGCUUUAGUGGCGGAAGAAGACGUUGUCAUUCCUUUUAUUCGACCUCCUAUCGAUCCGAUUUAAACCUUAAUUCCUGAACUUGGCUAAGUCGGUUCUCGGUCCGAGUUUGAAAAAACUAUGUAAGGGUGCAGAAUUUUCAAAAUCGGUAAUUCGGAAUUCGGCAUUGAAAUCGGAAUUUUCGAUUUCGAAUUAUGCGAAUUUGGUUCGAAUUCGAUAACGGAGUUUUUUUAAAUCGGAAUUUCCGAUUUCAAUUUCGUUUUAUAAUAUAUAUAUAUAUUAAUAUUUAUUUAUUUAUAUAAUAAUAUUUUUAUUUCAAUUUCAUUUUAUAAUAUGUAUAUUAAUAUAUAUUUAUAUAUUUUAUAAUAUAUGCAAUAUAAAUUUUAUAUUAUAUAACAAUACAUCUAACAAAAAAAAGGAAAAAAAGGUUUUCGAAUUCGGUCAAUUCGGAAUUUACCGAAUUCCGAAUGGAAUUAUUCGGAAUUCAAAAUCGAAAUCAAAAUCGAAACUACUGAAUUCGAAAUCGAAAUCGAUCGGUAAUUUCUAUGCCAAAAUUUCGAAAAAUUCUGAAUUCAAAUUUCUGAAUUACCGAAUUUGAAUUUGAUGCACACCCCUAGUUUAAAAGAAGAAAGAUUGAGAGACGCAUCCAAGAAUUCCACUGUCUCGUUACGUAUGUCAAAGGAUAUUACUUAUGAUUGGAGCUAUUAUAAGGAUGAAAUGCCAACGGGAUUAAGUUUAUUAAUAAAUCUGCUGGUCCGAAAAUUUCUGGAAACUCGAGCCGAUUACGCCAAAGAUGUUUAUUUCAUACUCGAUUAGCCAUUCUGGAUUUGGGCAACGAAAAUUGCUCUCUAGACUCCAGAAACUGGUGAAUAUAAAUCAACGGCCACAAUUUCAUGUGUUUUGUCUAACCAAAAGAAAACUCCAUCUAUUUCAACCGCAGGAUGGUCAACCGGACAUCAAGUCUGACAUGAAUUGUAGUCCAUGCACUAGUUUCAGAAGAGAAAGUUUCUAUGCGAAUUUUGGUAAACAUUAGUUUCGAUGGGAAUUUUGGUGAGCUUGCCAUGUAUCCCACCACGAACUAUCGUACAGAAAAUCAGAUCAUUGCCAGGGCGGCCAAGGUCAUCUGCCCUGCAUGAAAAUCCUAGAACCAACUUUCUGCAGCAAUAUUGAGGUCUCUGAAGGGCUAGGCUCUGUUUUGCUGCUGGAUUAUUCUAUGCAUUUUUUUCCAUUAAAAUUCUCUGCUUUCUACAAUACUGCACAGUUUAUGUUGCGUUACUGGAUGAAAUUCUUCCUCAUCUGUGGACUUCAAAGGAGAAUCUAGCAGACUCAUCCAAACUAGUUCCAUCUACUGAUCUCCUUGAACCAAACUUCUCACUUGAACUAAGCAUAUAAAUCUCCGGCUUACUUAAUUGUGUAAUAUUCUGACAAAAAAAAAUCCUACCAUCCUUGGGGAGGAUUUCCAUAUUCGAGAACGACAGGUAGAUACAUCCUUAUACCUGAGAUUCGACACGCACUCGAACCUACAAAGUUCCUUGGAAGGUAACACAUUUAUGAUAAUGUCUCCAGGCAGCUUCCUGUUCCUGCAACGUUGCUUCGAUUCUUUAGGCAGCUCCUGCUCAGUAGAAACUUCCAACCUGCUAUCCUCAAAUUUCUGGUGAUAUAAGAAUAUGGAGGAAAUUUUAGCAGGAGGAAACAACUUGCUCAGUAGCACAAACUGUUCAAUGACCAAUAAGCACAAUUCAAUCUCAAAGCAUCAUCUCAAUGGCUCAAGCUGGCUUGGACAAUCCAUCACAACAACUGUUAGAUGAAUUGAUCCUAAAUGAUUCUUUUGAUUCUAGACAAAAAUCUAGAUAAGUUAACCCUCUAAAGUAUCCUAAUUGAUCCUACAUGAUCAUGUACGGUCAUAAUUCAUCCUAAACUGAUUAUGUGCAUUGACAACAAAAAAAUUAAUUUUCCAAAAGAGCUGGCCAGAAACUAAUGUUUAGUGGAACUACUAAUCCCAGGAAUUCGGGAACGAUAUCUCAAGCCUUACUAAAUUACAUAGCAGUAAAAGAAACAGAAACGAGAAGCCAAGAAUUAAACAACUAAGAAGCAAGCCAUUCCUCUCAAACUUACAGAGAACCAAUAAAUAAAUAACUAGAAACAGGAAAAUACGCGGGAAGCCAGCAAGCUUUUUUUCUUAAUACAACAUUUCUUAUAAUUGGUCCUAUACUAGGAGGAACAGGAAGAGGGAUGAAGAUUGAUCCAACUAAACUAUUGAAAAUUCGAAGAGAACUAAAUUAGCUCUGAAAAUGUUCUACAAAAUCUUUGAUGGAAAAUGUGGGUAAGGGAUUUCGAACCCCUUACUUGUGCCCAAGGAGCCAAUUACUAAGGCCGGCGAGCUGAAAGCAAACAUAUCAUCUCAUUUUUUUUUGUUUUGGGGGGCGGGAAGGGGGAGGGGGUCAUAGUAGUAAUCGCCGAGAAGAAACAUGCCUUGCCGGCUUGGACUCAUCGAAAAUUUUACGAUCAUCAUGAUGAUAAAUUUUCUGCUUGCCAAAAACAAGUGGUCCUUCUUGUUCUUUAGCAUUGUUCUUGGAUCAAACUAUCAACCGUUCUCUCUUUUCUUAUUAGCCUUGAAAUAUUCAAAUUAGUUAAUGUCAGCAUAUAUUUUGUCAACUACUUCUUGUAUUUUCUUUGAGCAAGAAUUAUUAAACAACUUCCUUUUAAAAUGUCACAGCCUCAACCUAGGAUUGCAAAUGAGUUGAGUCGAAUUGAAUUUUGACCUAAUCGAGUCGAGUCUUGAUGUAAUUGUAUUGAACUCGAGCUCGACGAGUUGACAAUUCUGAUGCUCGAGCUUGAAAAAAUAAAAGUAAUUAUUUUAUUUUUUAAAAAAUAAAUAAAAUAAUAUUUUUUUAAUAAAUAAUAAAAUAUUAAGGAUAUAUAUGUAAUUUUACUAUUAAAAUUAAAAAAAUAUAUAAAUAUAUUUAAACUCGCGAGUCGGCUCGCAAAUUAACGAGUUUAAUCUUUUGAACUCGAGUUCGGACUCAAAUUUGACUCGGCUAGCUCGAUUGAGCUCGAGUCGAGAUUGAAUCAAGCUCGCGAGCGGUUCGAUUCGUUUGGACCGCCUAGACUCAACUAGUUAUUCACUUAAAAGUAUUAUACUUAUUUAUACUAUGUUAGGAUUAAAAGUGUUAGGCCUGUUUUCUUAGAUAUGGAUUUGAAGAGGGGGAAUUUUUCCAAGGUAAUUAUGUACAGUUUUCGUCCUAUAUUUCUGUUGGGUGGGAAUAGAAGUCUGUAUGUUGGAACGAAAUCAACGUACAUUUGCGUAAUUGACCUGACAAUUUAGAUUGCAUUGUUGUUUCCUAUGAGAAGAAAAAGUCUAUUUUGAAGCAAUCAAAAUUAGGAAUUAAGACUAGACUAGAAAAUGGACCCUUUGUUUGCUGCGUCAGACGACUCGUCCCUAUUGGUUCCUUUCUUUGCAAAGCGAAAGCGAAACUAAAGAAGAGUUGGACCUUUAACGUCUCUCUCGUUCUUUUAUCGAAUUACCAAAAAUCACUUCUACCCAAAGAGGAGGAGAAGAAGAAGAAGAAGAAGAAAAAACAUAUAUCAAUUCUAUUACGAGCCACAUUCGUAUAUAACAGAUUUUUUUUUUUUUUUUUUGAAAAAAAAAAAUUGCUAACAAGAAAAAAAACGAGAUUUAAAAACAAAGGACAAAAAAAAAAAAAAAAAAUUAGAACACACAACUUAGAGGUGUUGAACCCUCAACCUUAGCCAAAAUUCGUAAUAGAUUUAGAUUACUUGGUUAUAACCUUCGCUAAAUAAGUUUUUAAACUUUCCGGCACCCGAUCAUGUUUUUCCUAAGUUCAAAAUAAUUGAAAAUUAAGAAAAUACUCGUUACGUGUAAAUUAAUUAAUGCAUGGAUAAAUCUUGACACAUAGACAUAGCCACCACAAUUAAACAGUUUAAAUCCUUGUCCACAGUUAUAUUUACCAACUUUGAUUUGUAAUUGUGUGUUAAAAGUUUAGAUGAUUGAGAAAUUAGAGUAAACAUGAACCACGUUUAAAUUGUAAAUUAAUUGAUAUUUUGUUCAUCCAGCACAUAUAUAUAUAUAUAUAUAUAUAUAUAUAUAUAUUUUUUUUUUCUGGUCUUCCUCCAGAAAAGAAGCUUGGCCCCUCUCCAAAGUCUACAUAUGUUCUAAGAUCGAUCAUCGCAUCGUACAAGCAAACUUCUGAUGACGUAAAUAUCAACUAAUUUGGUCAACAAACUAAUCAAUUUCACAACUAAGUUUCACAGAAUUUUAGUCCUAAACAACAACAAAUCAUAGAAUAAAGUGGAUCCACUUUCCUGUCCACCUAAAAAACAAUCAUGGUCCAAGGCUUAAUUAGUCUACUACCAUCAAAAUUCAGACCAUGAGAGGAAAGGAAAAAAAAAAAAAAACAGCCGGUGGUUCACCCACCAGAACAGUUUUACACCCUCGAUCAAAUUAAGUCCGAAUCGGAAACUGAAAAGACUCACAUCCACACGGAAGAAUCUUCCUAAACUUUCUCCAAGUUAUUACUUAUGCAAUGAUCUUGUCUUCGAGCUAUAUAUGCUCUCCCUCGAUACGGACCAAAAAUAAGUGGUAUUUGCAUAGUAAUAUUCAAAACCAGGCCAUGGUCUCUUCCUUUGGAAUAGUAAACAAAGUUUGUUUGGUAGACGGUAAUUAAAUUGUUUCUUCAUAGUACUGUUAAUAAAGCCUCCCCAAUCUCUCCCCCCCACGAAAUCAAAAGGGCUGCCACCUCCGACCUCCAAAUAAGUAAUCAUCAUGUUGCCGUUUUUCAGUUAUUAUUAUGAAAAAAAAACAUUUGUGUUCUUCUCCUUGUUCGCCCUCCUCCUUUUUGUCCCGUGUCUUCCCGCCAGAAAGCUUAUUGACCCUUCAACUGAAUUAACUGCCGAUGUCCGGACCAACAGCAACGCCACGUGGCACAGCUUCACGAGAUUCCUGGACGCCGAGAAGGGCAGCCAACUCAGGGGCAUGUCGGAGCUCAAGAAGUACUUCCAACGUUUCGGCUACCUAUCAAUCCCAAACCAAAACCUCACGGAUUCUUUCGACGAAGACUUAGAAUCGGCCGUGCUCCAGUAUCAGAAAAACCUUGGAUUACCCGCGACUGGAAGGCUCGACUCUGAUACCAUGAAAGUAAUUACGUCGCCCAGGUGCGGCGUUAGCGACGAAAAAAGUCGCGCGGCCCAGAAGUUGCAUGCGAAAAUUCACUAUGCAUAUUUUGACGGUGAGCCCAGGUGGGAUAGAUCAUCUCCCAUGAUUUUGACAUAUGCUUUCUCGCCGGAUCAUACCAUAGACUAUAUAAGUUCGGCUGAUAUAAGAGCUGUUUUUGAACGCUCUUUCGCCCGGUGGUCGUCGGUGAUUCCGGUGAACUUCACAGAGGUGGACGACUAUUAUUCAGCCAACAUAAAAAUCGGGUGGUACCGGGGGGAUCACGGGGACGGACAGCCGUUUGACGGGGUGUUGGGAGUGCUAGCACACGCUUUCUCGCCGGAAAAUGGAAGGCUCCACCUGGACGGUGCUGAAGCGUGGGCCGUCGAUUUCAAAGAACAGAAGUCAAAGGUGGCGGUUGAUUUGGAAUCAGUGGCGACCCAUGAGAUCGGGCACAUACUUGGGUUGGCUCACUCGGCGGUUAAGGACGCAGUCAUGUACCCAAGUUUGAGUCCUAGGACUAAGAAAGUGGACCUAAGAGUUGAUGACGUGGAAGGGAUCCAGGCCUUAUACGGGUCAAACCCAAAUUUCAAGUACAGUUCUUUAUAUGAAUCGGAUAUUUCCUCAAGUCGGAGCAUUUACAUGGAAAGAAGAAGAUUUUCCAAGUGGACCACUGUAUUUUUGGUCAUGGUGGUUUUCAUUUUUUCGUUGUGAUUAUGAUUGCAUAGGUUUUUCCUUUUUGGCCCUUUUUGCUUUUUCUUUAUCUGAUACUUAUAGGUUUUAUUUGAUGUUGAAAUUUUUUAGAAAAAAAAUUGUUUACACUGAAAAGGAAGUAAAGAACAUUCUUUUGCAUCGUGGGAUGUCAUCUUUCAAAAGAAUCAUUCUUGUGUUCUUAGACCAAAUUGGAAGACAAUGCCGUGAAAACAUGAAAGAGAAGGCUGAUUAUUUACCUUUGUAAAAGCAAGGAACUUUUUGGAGGCUCGGAAACAGGGUAUAAGAAAGAAAGGAACUUGGAAGAUGGAUACAAAUGCUAAGGCUAUGCAAAGAUCUCUUUUGCUUGACGUAGGACUCUAGAAGUGUGUGUUCCGGAGAUAAAGAAAGGCAGAAAGCUAUAACUCACUGACUAGUCCAUUCAUGUUAUAUUAAUGCAUGCGGGUAAUGUUAUAUAAUUAUAAGAGUAUUAAUUUAUAUUAUUUGUAAGGAUAAAUUGAUUUAAAAGUUCAUCAUCUUAUGUCUUAGUCAUUUUAAGAUGACUAAUACCACCUUUUCAUGAAAUUAUUAUAUCGCAUGAAUUGAGAAUUAAUUCAAUUAGUUGAAAUAUGUAAUCUCGUGUAUAAAAUACAAUUAAAUAUGAGAUGAUAUAAAAUAAUUAAUCCAAUCAUGCGUCAUCAAUGAACUAAUCAAACUUAAAUAGGGAUUGAUAAAAUGAUCCAGCAAGCACCGUCUUUGGAUUGUGGUUGCCACCUUCGAUUGGGUUCUUUUGAAUGGAUUUUUCCGUUGAAUUCUUCUUCUUUUAGAUUAGGUUAGAAUAAGUUAUACAAUUGUUGUUGUUACUAAAAAAAAAAAAAAAAAGGUACCGUCUUGGAUUGUGAUUUGAGUUAUGGACUUUAUAGUCCUUGUGAUUUGGGUUGGACGGACAGCUUCGCUUAUGGUCCUUGUCCAACAGCUACGUGUCAUUUUUGAGGGUUUGUUUUGUUUUGGUUUUCUGUUUUUCUUUUUCCUUCUUCUUCCCCCGUUUGAAACUUAAAAAAUAAAAAUAAAAAUCUUUCCCGUUUGAAACUUACUUUUGAUUUUGAGGCCUGAAGCAUGAAUAUGUACAUAUCUCUAAGAUACAUAACCUCCAAAAAUUAUGUACCAAAAUGUUGUAUGGAGAAAAAUUUUUAGUAUAACGGAUAAUAAAAAAUAGUUUACUUGGAAGGUCACAUGCCAAAAUUUGGGUGCCCCGUGUGGCCGUGCCACGUGGUACACGUAUCUAUGACCCACAAAGGUAAUCAGGCGUUUUGGCACGAGUCAGAUAAGGAUUGGAGAAGUACCUGCAUUUGUCCAAGAUUAUGGGAUGUCAUCUACCCCAUCUUUGCUAUUAGGGGUCCAAGAUCAUUUCGUGGUUAUCUUGUUCAAAUAUCGAUUCAGAAUCAGUAGUUGCUCUGUUUAAGGGUAAUAAUAUCUAUAUCCAUUCGAUCUAACAAAAAGAAAAGAAAAUAAAAGAAAAAUAAUUAAAUUUAUAUACACUGAAAGUGUACAGAAUUAUAAACUCACAAUGUACGUACUAUUACUGUUGAAUGAUUGAUAACUGAUCUAAAUUUUAAAUUAAAAUUCAAUUUUUUUCUUGUUGUUAAGGAUCCAAUUGUGAUAGUGUAUGCAUUGUUAAUGUAUAUAAGAUUAAUUCAAAGAAAAAAAAAGGUAUUGAUGGUUGAAGUUAUCCUAAACUCCAAAUUCCUAAUAAAUUCGUUUUUGCAUUUUUUUCUAAGUAAUUUUAGAAUAGAAAAGUACGAAGUAGAGGAUAAAUUUUGUGACAAAUACAUUGAGACAAAUAUCAUGCCCACAAAUAUUUGUCUCAAUGUAUGUGGGCAUAAUUGCUUUUGCUAACCAUUGUUUAAAAGAAAAUUUUUUUAAGUGUGAAUGAGAGAGUUCGAAUUCGGAACUUUUCACAUACACUCCUUCCUCAUAAAUCACCCAACACAUUCCUCCUCCAUUAUUUUGAGUUUGCUAUAUAUGGCUUCUUGCUUUUAUCAAUUGCAUUAAUUUUACCAUUUUGGGUUUCAAUUGUAACUUGUAAUCUUGUACUACUAUUAUAAACCAAGGGGAAAAAAAAAAUCCCAUGCCAUUGGGGAGGAAGCUGGGGAAGCCUGAGCACAAUUUUAACAAACAUGAGGGACAGUUACAAAUAUUUGCACUUUCUACGGGGCCAUUCACGAAAAAACUUAAACCCUAAACCCUCGCAAAAAUCUACAAAGGGGAAAAUGUAAACUACAAACUCUAUAAGCCCUCUUCCUCAGCUCGCUCAUAUUUUUGGCAGCGCAUCACUUCAGAUCUCACUCCAUUUCCUAAUGGCAUCGAAGUGCAGCAGCAGAAUUAUGAAUAGGGCUACAAUUUCAUCCCUCAAAUCCUCCUUCAAUAAAUCAGCUUCCUCUUCUUCUUCUCUGGUUAACAGAUCCAUUCCGACGUCGUUUCCAAAAUCCACUAACGCCACCACGUCAUUCCUCCGCCGUUUCUCCCUCGCCAGGUUGCUUUUAUUUGUUCAGAUUAUUUUACCAUUUCUUUGCAUCUUAUUUAAGAUAUUUUCCUUCUUUUUUUUUUUAAGAAAACUGUUUUUAAAAUUUUUGAAAUGAAAUCAAUAGGGCUCCGUCGGAAUUGGGAGCGGUGCAGUCGAUGCUACCGCUGCACAGCGCGGUUGCGACGGCGAGGAUGACGUCGUGCCUGAGUUCAACAUCCAGGAGUUGCAGGGCUCUUUCACAGGGUACACUCUGCUGCACUUCUCCAGAGCUCUAGUAUUCUCUUCCCUUGUAUGUUAUUAUUAUUAUUAUUAUUAUUCUUGAAGUUCCGCAAUGAUUCCUGUAAUUCAAUUUUAAUUAAUUCGAUGACAUGCUAGUACUAUUUGGCUUGUUUCUUUCUUUAGUCCUUUUUGGCGUGGUUAUUUGAUGCUGAAUGGUGAAGAGUGAAUAUUUUCUGUAACGUUUCAUUUGCUUUCCUCUGAAUGAACAUUGGGAAUUCAGGACUAAUUAAACUACAGCAACCAUUUGAACAUGUUCCCUAUUUUUUUAGGUAUUUUUAAUGCUUUGGUUUACCAGAGUCAAAAGGCAUUGCUCGGUAUAGCAUUUUCAUUUAAUAUGAAGUUCUCAUUUUGUUGUUGCCUUUGUUUGAAUCAGAGGGAUUGGGUUCUAUUUGUGAUAGGAUUAUCAGUCGCUGAAUGUUUUACAUGAACCAAAGGUUACCCUUUUGCACAAUUUGUUGGAUGUCACGUGAGCAUUGCAAUGUUUUUCUGCAUGAUCACAGAUUCAGUAAUUGUAGACAUUCGGAGGGGAGGGGUCCAAGGACUCCUAAUGGUGGCUUAGUGCUGAUCUCAUAUGAGGAUACGUGUAAAUUAAGUUUCCUUGAUAGGACAUGGCAAUCCAUGGCUCUUUGUUUGAUAGAACAGAUAAUGAAACCAGGAAAGUGGUUGUCCUUGUUUAAUCUUUCUUCUUUGAUCUCUAAUUUUUCAUUGUUUGAAUGACUUUAGCAAGUACCAUCUUGUUGAUGAACCCUCCAACUUUAAUUAAUUUUUCUUGAUAGGACAUGUGAAUUUAUGGCUUCUUGUUUGGUAGAACAGAGGAAGAUGGUCAUCCUUGUUUUCUCUUUAUUCUUUGAUAUUCAACUUAUGAUUGUUCUGAUGACAUUAAUAUGUUCUUGAUAGAUGGAUCCUUCAACUCAACUGUUAAGGUUUACCCGGAGCCAGUUAAAUAUAUCAUAAUGCAUGCAGUAUCAUUACAUGUAUUCUUUGUUUUUGUAUGUGUGCUUUACGUUAAUGUAGAAGCUGAUGAAGUCCACUGCUAGGCUUCCACUUAAACAUAUGAUGUACUUGUCUGCAUGUGUAUGCAUAGGAAUUGAAUGUUCUAUGGGAUAAUGUAUCUUGCUCAAUAGUGGAGGCAUUCUUGCACAACUGUGGUUACAUGUUAGAAAAAGAGGCUGUUCUUUUGGAUACUAUUGCCUGAAUGAACCUUCUUACUCGCUUUUGUUGUUCAAGCUUUGCUUUUGAGCGAUUAUUUCAGAAAUUAUCAUAAAUUAAGAUUUGAGUUGAAAUUUAAUGUGUUCUACUCCCAAAAGAUACCAAGGUCAACUAGUUAUUUUGCUUCUCCAGUCUUAAACAUCUUUGUAUUUCAACACAAACCAUGCUAGGAACAAAUUGACCAUUUCUUUUUGGGGCGGAAGGCAUUUAUCCGCUAUCUGACCUGGACUAUUUGGUUCCUGCAGGCACAUGAGUUUCCAAAAGCUUGAAAGAAUUAUACUGCCAUUUUACAAGGUCUUCCCAUUAUGACUCAGUGCAUUACAUUCAGUUAUGGACAUUUGGUUAACAAUCUUAAGGAAUUUAGUUACAUGUUUGAUGGAUAUAAAAGACCAUAAAUCUCAAUUUGCUCUUGUAUAUGGGAUACAGUGAAAUUUGUACUUUUUAGCUCAAGUACUUAGUCAUCCUUUAUGUGUAUGAUUUGGAAUUUGCAGAGUCUCUUUUCCUAUCCUCUGUGGUUGUGAGGUCAGAGAGGUGCCUUAUGGAAAAGGGGGGGGGGGUUGUAUUGGCGACUUUUUUCUGUUCUCAUUCAAUAGUUGACUUUCCUGAAUUGUAUGUGUUCGGUGAUCUCUUCGUUAUUGUUCAUCUUUUGUGGUCUCUGUGUUGGCGUGCCUAUGUGCCACCUCACUAAACUCACAUGAGAAUUGAGGUUUGGAAAAUUUUGUGGAAUUUCAUUAGUAUGGGCAGUUUUUUACUUUUAGGUAAAGGAAGCCCCAGUUAGCCGAUGUAAGAACACCUCUAUUACUUGAAAUCAGGAAGCUUUGAUUUGUUAAAUCCCUGACAACUUCAUAUCUGCUAAAUUGCUGCAUCAAAUAGUAAAACCAUCUGUUCUGUUUAAAAAGCCACACCCACUCAAAAGACUUUUCAUAUCUAUUCUUGUUCUGGCUCUUGCCUCCAAUUUGAUGAAUUACUAGUGUCUCAACAUUAGAGUGAGAAUAUAAAAUCGACUACAUGGUUUUAUUUUGAGGGCGGGAUACAGUGUUCCACAACCAACCUAUUGCUAUGUAAACUACAAUGGUUUGCUACCUGGCUUAUCUUUCUAUGAAAUUGGAUGAAAAUUUGUGGGGAAAACCCUUUCCACUAAAGAUUUGAACAAUCCUGUGUGGUCGAAUGGCUAGUUUUUAAGAUUUCAAAUUACUUUGGCUCCUGAUAAUGGGUGAAGUCUUUUUUUAUCUCCAUAUAAAGGUUUAGAAACCAGUAUGUUCUUCGUACAACGAUUGUGCUUUGGUUUGAUUGCAAUGUUAUGGUAAUGACAAUUCUCCUUUUCCCAGAUGAAUAUGAUGGAACGUGAUACAUUUUUGCUGUUUUUGGAGGUGGGCUCCAUCACCUGCUCAAGUGAAUCUAGUUGCAAGGAACUUUUCUUUGUUUAUAACAUGUCUUAAGAUACUUUUUGUGGACGUUUUAGCUAGAAAUGAACUCGGUCUAGCUGUCUGUACAGUCACUUGCAAACUAAAGCUGUGGUAGAAUAUGUUUUCCCAAAAUACUUUUGGGAGAUGAUAGUAAAAACGAGCUGAUAAGCAAUUUGAUGAGAAUGUGCCGAGGUAGGACUAGGGAGCUGCUAGACGAAUAGUACCAAAACAAGGAGGAUUUUCUGAGCGGAGAUGAUUAUUUGUAUAAUUUGGCAACAAGUUAUUUAACAGUCAUUUUCUGAAAUAUCUGUUGAUGAGAAAAGUCUUCUUUGUUUUAUUUUGACAUGGUUUGAUUGUAAUUCUGAUACGAGUUCUUUUUUGUUUGUUGAAUUAGAGCUGGGUCAGUCAGUUCCAAGGUGACUUCAAUAGGUGAACAUGAAGUGCUAUGCCUUCUUGUGAAUGGAUUACCAGGGUAUUUGCAUAUAUUCUAUGCAAACAUUUAGUUGAUCAUAAAGUAAAGUUGCACUUUGCAAAGCAGCAAAUUCAGCUAUUAUUGUACCCCACACGAGAUAUGUUGAUCCAUUAAAUGUUUGGCACAGCCUUUGAGUUUUGGUUGGAUUACUGGACUAGGAUUUAAAUUGGAUUGUGACGUGGUUGUUUUUUCAUAUCUCAACUAUGGCAAUACAUCAAUGCCUGAAGGUAUCAUUCCAUUUCUCAAAUUGCCAAGAAAUAGAGAUGUAUCAAUUGAUAUUGUAAAUCUUUACGCUUUUUAUGUGUUUCUUGGUUCGUUUAUAGUACAAAGUUUCCAAUGUUUCAUACACCACCUCCCAUUUGAGGGCAUUUGAGGGCUGCAAACGAGUUGAGUUUUAACUUAUUCAAUUGAAGCUUGACUGAGUUUUAAUAAGUUCAAAUUUAAGCUCCAACAUGACGAGUUCUCAGUAUAAUACUUGAACUUGAGUUUAACCCUAAGUUUGAGCCUAGUCUAGCUCAAAAAAAAAGGAAAAAUAAUUAUUAUGUUUAUUAAAAUGGAUAAUAUGGGCACUUCAUGUUAAUAAAUAAUAAAAAACUUAGAGAUAUACAUGUAAUUAUAUUAGUAAAAAUAAAAAAUAUUAAAAAAAAUAUAUAUAUAUAUAUAUAUUUGAUACUCGGCUCGACCUUGACAGCUUGAGCUCAAGUUGACACCAAACUAGAGUCUAGUUUUGAUUUAUUUUUUUUUUUGCUGACGGAGUGGGUGUCUGGCCCGACUAAUCCCACCCCACUCCGGCCCGGGAGAGGAGGCCUCACUCCACUCUGAGCACGGUAGCAAGGGGGUUCGAAUUCUGAUUGCCCAGGUAAGUCUACCAUACCCUAAAGAGGGGAAGCUGACCGCUCCAGCAAGGGGGUUCGAACUCUGAUUGCCCAGGUAAGUCUACCAUAUCCUAAAGAGGGGAAGCUGACCGCUCCAGCUAACCCCUGGAGGCACCGUCUAGUUUUGAUUGAUCUGACUCAAUUUGUUUGCAGCCUCGUCUCCAAAACACAAUUUUAAUGCGUAGGCCCCAUAUAUGGGAGCAAAGCAUGAAUACAAGCGACAACUGAGCGAUGGCAUCCUAGUUUUGGUUGCAGUCGAUGUAUUUCGUGUUGCAACCAAGUAUCAUACGAAUCUAAAGUUGUACAUCUGAUUUAAACCAUGGAUGCAAUAAUAAACGAGUGUUUCAUUCUUCCUUCAAGAUGUUAACGAACGUUAGACUCGGCUAGCCUUAGAUGGUAGACACGUCCUCUAUUUUCUUCACAAUAUGGAUGAAGUUGGAAAUGUAUUUUCCAAUUCAAUCCAGCUAUGGCCAAUCUCUUUUCUCACCUCUUUCUCCUUCAUCAUUGUCCUAAUCUGAAUAACAUCUCUCCAUUUCUCAUGACGAGCGUAAACAUUAGACAUCAGUACAUAAACAUAUUCACUAUCACCUUCAAGUUGCAUCACCUUUUCCGCUGCCACUUUGGCCAUUUUUACAUUCCCGCAAGUAACACAAGCAGCAAGCAAUGCUCUCCAAACUGCUCCAUUCGACUCAAAUCCCAGCUGAUGUAUCAUCUUCUCUGCCUGAUACACCUUUCCUUCUUGGCCCAUGAUCCUGAUCAUGGAAGAGCAAUGCUCAGCAGUGGGAUUAAUCCUGUACUCGUUCACCAUCAAUUCAAAAUAUCGAUUUGCAGCAUCCAAAGGCAUUCUGUUAUGCCAACAUGCAGACAAAACAUUGAGGAAAGUAAUUCUAUCUGGCUGUAAAUUUUUCACAAGCAUCAACCUCUCAAAAAGACGUAACACCUUGCUGGAAUCACCAUUGUGAGCAUAUCCAGAUAUCAUCGUGUUCCAAGUUAUCAGAUUCUUCUUCUGUAGCCAGUGGAAUACCAUUUCAGCUUCAGUUAUUCUCCCGCAUUUUGAAUACAUGUCAAUAAGAGCACUUCCAAUGACCACUGAUCCAUCUAAACCAGAUUUUACUGUACAACAGUGGAUCAACAUCCCCCAGGUGACUGCUGAUAAACCUGCAAUCCCACUCAAUAUACUUGAAUAUGUGAACUGAUCCUUUUGAACACCACUAAAGUGCAUCUUGCUGAAAAAUUCCAAAGCAUCCCUUGCUCUAUAACGGUUUACAUAGCUCGUUAUCACAGAAUUCCAUGAAGAUGAAUUUGGGUUCGGCAUUCUGGAUAAAAGGUCAAUAGCAUCUUCUAUAUUACCAAACUGUGCAAUGCCGCUGAUCACCUCAUUAUAAGAGAUUGUGUCGGGAUCAUUCAUUUGAUGCAAAAAGCUUAACGCUUGCUCAAGCCUUCCAUUUCUAGCAUUAGCUGCUAUAACUGAAUUCCAAGAAAUGGAAUCCCUAUCAAUCAUCUCAUCAAACACCCUCAUAGACUCUUCAACAGCUCCACAUUUGCCAUACAUGUCAAUUAAACAGUUCCCUACGAUAACACUGUAUUCAACACCAAGUUUCACAAUCUUGGAAUGUAUUAGUUUUCCAAACUGCAAUAAAGCCAGCUGCCCACAUGCGGACAAAGCAGCUGUGCAUGUAUAUGAAUCUGCAGAAAUACCAGAUUUUUCUAGCUGGAGAAACAAGGUGAGGGAUUUCCUGAAUUGCCCAGAACGAACAUACCCAGAAAUUAAAGAAUUCCAACCAACUAAAUUUGGUUCAGGAAUUUCAGCGAACAGGUUCCGCGCUUCAUAAAUUAGCUCAAAUUUUACGUAGAAAUUGAUCAAAGCGGUGGAAACAAAGACAUUGGAAUCAUGCCCAGAUUGUAUAAUUUGGCAGUGAAGCUGUUGGCCGAGUGAAAACCAGCCACAUUUGGUACAUGUACGGAUCAAGUGGACUAAAGCAUAGUCAUUUGGCUUGGAGCCGGAGUUCAUCAUCAGACAGGCACUCAGCAAGGCGAUGUCAGAAAAAAGCCCACCUUGAGCCAGGGCUGAAAUGGUAUUGGCCCAUGACACAGGGUCACUUUCUUGAACGGGAUCAAUCGUGGUGCUAAUUUGCUUUAACAAGAAAUGAUUCGGCUUUCUUUGAUAGAAAAAAAGCGGGCUUUUCCUUAGUUGGAGAAUGAAUCUUAGCAUAAUUUUCCCUAGCACAACGUCAUCUCAAUAUGCAUGACUACAAUACUAAACUCUCGGGCUUUUCUUUAGUUUGAGAAUAAAUCUUAGCAUAAUUUCCCUAACACAACAUUAUUAUGUCUUUUGUAAAGAAAUAAAUAGGAAAAACAGCAUCUGAAGGCUAAUUUGAGUAGGUUGUUCAAGUAUACCAGACAAGCAAUAUAUUUCAAUAGAAACUUUAACAGCUCGAAUCGAUGAAGUAAAAAUCUUUGGUCAUCUUCUAGAAGUUGGAUUAUUGAAUGAAAUGAUGCUAACAACGUAUACAUCCCUAUGUUUACCAAACUAUACAUUCUUUUUUAUGACUGGUUAAUUUAGCAGAAGAAUAAUUUGCACGGGGACUAAACUAUCUCAUUCUCAUGUACCCCACCCAUUAAAAUUUACAAUGACUUCAAGAAUUUGUCACCCUUUUUAACUGAAAAUUUACCUGAGAAGUAACUUUUUGCUUGCGUUGCAAUACUUCCAUUAUUGGAAAGCUACAAGGAGGUAUAGCUAAGUAUUUCUUGAGUUUUAGACCUUUAAAGGUAAAGGAGCAAGAACUUAGCAAGAUGGAAAUGUUGUUCUUUGUCCUAUGCUAGCUUAGGAUCUCGGAAUAAGAAAGUUUACUUUAUUAUUGAGAGGCUUCUUGCGUUUUUGUUAUAUCCAUCAUAAGCUCUCUCCUGUUAUUGUCAAACACAAUAACUAAACGUUGCUAAACAACUUAAACCUACAUGACAUGAUGGUAACUAUUUUGUCGAACAAUUUUUUAUCCAGAUGAUCACUUAUGGUGCUUGUAGCACUUUGUACAUGCAAAUAAGCUUUUUAUGAAAUAGCGUGGAUGAUAUUUUCAUGACUUUUAUCAGACAAGGAUGAAGGAACUAAUUAAGGACACCGGUUUCUGACGAGUUUAAGAGGAUAUUCAGAUGCGCAUGAUACAAAAAGCAAAUUUUUCGUUAACUUCACCUCAGAUUCAGAAUUUGUACAAAUGAAUGAGGUAAGGGGCAAUCAAAAUUGCUGAAAGCUGAAUCCUAUGCUUUAAGUUUCAAGAAAAUGUUUUGAUCAUGAAACUCAAUCUAAACAGGUGUGUCAUUAGGAGUAUAAUCACUUUAAAAGUUGUACAAGGUGGUGGAUCUAAGGACGACAUAUAUGCACGAAGUAUGAGCUACCAAAUGCAAUCUUCCUUGUGUUUUCAAGACGCCAAUUGUGGACCACUGAAGAGGUAGCUCUCGAGGUCAUUUAUUGUCUUUGCAUCAAUUAAUCUUACAUUGUCCUGUAUAGUCUUUGAUUUUGAUGAAAAUAUGAUCGGAGCAUAGAAUAAUGAAUUACAAAAAAAUGAUGUAACAACAACGCUUGGGCACAUGGGUGCCAAAAUCACAUCCAGAAAGCGGUAUGAGAACUUGAACAUUUUAUCUAUCAUCAAACACAAGGUGGCGAAAGUAGCUUUCAUGGUUCUUGAGGAUGCUCACCCCGGCCACCCUCUACGGCCGAGGUGAUCCCCCCACCUUGUCCUUCUAAUGAGCUCGGCGGGUCCCAGGUCUACUGCUUAGGUGACCUCCACCUCUCAGGCUUCCACCUCGGCUGCACGCUGAUGAUGUUAACCUACCUGACAUCCUCCAGGGCCAGUGCUUUAUCUGAAAAGCACCUGGGAGACUUAAUGACCACUGCGUAAAGCUCCUCUUCUCCCUGCCCAGGCGGCUACAGUGUCAGUGUCAGGUCUCAUGGCAGGGAACAGAGCCGUAAUACCAGGACGUGGGUCCCACCAGCAUGCGCUCUCCGGCCUACCUUUCACUCUCACUCUAUAAAUACCCCUCACCUACUCUCAAUAAGUAGGCAUACUGUUCACUCACUCAUACUCUUAUUCUUCUCGUUCUCAUACUAACUUGAUCGUCGGAGUGAUCCCAGGGGAAGAGCCCCGCCUUCCACUUCGGACUAGUAGCCUCACUUUACCUGAGGAGAUACAAUCGAGUUCACCUCACCACAUUUACGAGAGGGCUGAUUUCGGUUGGACUAAUUACCCGCCAAAAAUCACCUCUUCAAUUGGCGCCGUCUGUGGGAACAAGACUAUUGCUAAAAUGAGAUCCACGCGCUCCAGAAGCGGAAGAGUUCCCUCGACCGGGGCUGGGCAGACCUCGGGAGCCCAGCAAGAUCGCAUUUCUGAAGAGCAAGGGUCCCAAAGGACCCAGCCCAACAACGAAAACGCCAUCGCCAAGAUGGCCGAGUUCUUAACGGACAACCCCAACAUUUUUGAGGAGCUAGGAAGGUACCUCAAGAGGCAAGGGAAAGAAAAAGCCGAGUCUUCCAAGAGGAGAUCGACGAAGUCCCCUGAAGCACCUUCAGGUGAGGACUCCGAUGAGGGGUGUCUCUCUCGGAGUACCUCCAGGCGCGCCUCCUCCAAGAUAACCUCCAAAAUUGCCUCCAUCUCCCGGGCGUUUUCCCGGGGACUGCUAGGGAAACGGGCCGAGGACCCACCUCGGCGCCCCGGGAGCCUAGCUUCUGACUACAUGAGGGCUCCGCCCUUCACUGAUGACAUCAAUGGGGAGAUGGUGCCCCCGAACUUUAAGCUUCCAAACUUGCACACCUAUGACGGCCGAGGUGACCCCGAGGAUCACCUCCGCGCCUUCAUCUCCGCAUUCCGACUCUAUUGCGUCCCCGACGCUGUGAUCUGUUGGGCUUUCCCCAUCUUCCUACAUGGGACUGCCCGAAAGUGGUUCUGGAGUUUAGAACCAAGGAGUAUUUUCUCCCUGGAUGAGCUAAUAGACCGGUUCAUCCACCGCUUUGUGUCGUCCCGACCUAUUACAAAGACUUCAACUUACCUCCUGAAUUUGCAACAGACUCCCGGCGAGUCACUGCGCUCAUAUGCGCAGAGGUUCAAUGAGGAGAACGUACAGAUACCUGAUCAAAAUGAGCAAGUUAUCAUAGCCGCUUUCACCAACGAGCUGAUUGCGGGAAUCUUCAACACCGAAAUAUAUCGAGACUACCCCCGCACACUUCGGGAAUUUUGGGAACGAGUUAACCAAGGAAUCCAAAGUGAGGACGUGAAUCGCAUGAAGCGGGAGGCCCAAGCAGCCCGUACCGGGCAAGAAUCUCGGAGGAGAAAGGACACCGGCUGAGCUGAACAAGGCCCCGGCAGCUCAUCCAGCCAGUUCCGAGACCGCCGAAGCGUCUUUGAUCGGAUCGUGAAGGGGAGGUCGUCCACCUCGGACGCCGAGCUGACACCCCUAAAUUCCAGCCGAUCUCAUGUUUUGGCUGUGAUGAGGCAGAAUCACCUCGGUCGAACUCCUCCUGAGAUCCCAGGAAGAAGGGAUAAGAGGAAUUCCAACCUCUACUGUGCCUACCACCGAGAUGUGGGGCACGAGACCGAAGACUGUAACGACUUGAAGCGAGAAAUUGAAAACCUGAUCCAACAAGGAUACUUAAAGCAAUUCGUCCGCAAAGAUGGGGGUUUCAACCGAAGCGCCUCCCACCGGGAAAGCCGAGGUCCUCGCCGAGAAGCCAGGCCGGACACUAAGCUUCAAUGCCGAGGUCCCAAGGACCGAAAGGGGGAUCAGAGGCCUCCACGCGACGGAUCACCAGGCUACGGUCCAAAUAUUGUCGGGGUGAUCAACACCAUCUCGGGUGACCCCACGGGAGGAGACAGCCAGAACUCCCAAAAAAGGACCUACUGUCAAGCCGGUAUGGAGGUGGUCGAGCAAAGUUCUAGGCUGUCCGAGGAUAUAACCUAUGGUCCCCGUGACCCUGUACCCGCCGCCUCCAGUAAUCACGAGACUCUCGUGAUCGAGGUCCUUACUAAUAAUUAUAUAGUCAAAAAGGUUUAUGUUGACCCUGGAAGCUCGGUAGACGUCCUGUACUACCGAACUUUCGAGAGUUUGAAGCUGACCCGGGAGCAACUCACUCCGGUCAGAACUCCCCUUGUCGGUUUCGCGGGACACGUCGUCCACCCGGAGGGCAUGGUGACCCUGAUGGUAACUAUCGGGCGACAUCCACGCUGCCGAACUGUGCCUGUCAGUUUUGCGAUGGUCAAAGCAGACUCUCCCUACAAUAUGCUGAUAGGCCGGCCCACGCUCAACGCCUUGAGAGCCGUAUAUUCCACCUACCACCUGAGUUUUAAAUUUCCAACACCUGCGGGGGUGGCCGAGGUGAGCAGCGACGUGGGCGCCGCCCGGAAAUGCUACCUCGCCACCAUUUAAGCAGCAGUCAUACUCCGACCCUCGGCUAGGUCAGAAGAAGAGAGGCCAGCGGUCCUCUCCAUAGACUGCAUCGACUCUCAGAAGUCAGGAGAACCCAACAGGCUUGAGCCCAGGGAUGAGGUGGAACAAGUGGUCUUGGAUGAAGCGAAACCUGACCAAGUAGUCCAAGUAGGGGCCGGACUCCCCUCACCCCUUAAAGAAGAAAUGAUCUCCCUGAUCAAGGACCACCGAGACGUCUUCGCGUGGUCCGCAGAUGAAGUGGUCGGAGUGCCACCCGAACUCAUGAUUCACCAACUCAACGUUAACCCACAGGCUCGACCUGUGUGGCAGAAACGAAGGCACUUAGGCCCCGAACGUAGCAAGGCCAUAUCGGAUGAGGUCGACAAACUCUUGUCGGCCAAGAUGAUCCAUGAGGUCCAAUAUCUCACCUGGCUGUUCAACCCAGUCAUGGUCAAAAAGGAUAUCGGUGGUUGGAGAAUGUGUGUGGAUUUCACCGACCUCAACAAGGCCUGCCCCAAAGAUUGCUACCCUCUGCCGAGGAUAGACGCCCUUGUCGACUCGGCAAUGGGAUACGUGAUCCUUUGCUUCCUGGAUGCCUUCAAAGGGUACGAUCAAAUAGGAAUGAGUGAAGAGAAUCAAGAGAAGACGGCGUUCUACACCGACCAAGGUGUUUAUUGUUAUACUACCAUGCCGUUCGGCUUAAAGAACGCCGGAGCGACCUACCAAAGGCUGAUCAACCGACUCUUAAAAAAUCAGAUCGGCCGCAAUGUGGAGGCCUAUGUGGACGACAUUCUCAUCAAAAACCUCACCACUUCAGCCUUUCUGUCGGACGUAAGGGAGGUCUUCGGUGUCCUACGGGACUCAAGGAUGAAUCUCAAUCCCAAGAAGUGCGUCUUCGGCGUCACCUCGAAAAAAUUCUUGGGGUAUCUGGUUUUCCACCGGGGAAUCGAGACCAACCCCGACAAGAUCAAGGCCAUUCAGGACAUGUCCCCACCUCGGAACAUCCGAAAAGUCCAAAGGCUGAAUGGACGCCUGGCCGCGCUGAAUCGCUUCUUGUCCCAGUCUGCUGAGAAAGCUCUGCCCUUCUUUAAGGUGCUGAAAAAGGCUGACCAGUUAACCUGGACUGAGGAGUGCCAAGCUGCCUUCGACAAGCUAAAGCAGUACCUCCAUCACCUACCAACUCUCGCUUCACCUCGGCCCGAGAAGAAACUCUACCUCUACCUCUCCGCAGCCGACGAGGCUGUCAGCGCUGUUCUUAUCCGGGAUGAGGGCACUCAAGUGCCAAUCUACUACUUCAGCCGAGCUCUCCGCGGGCCGGAACUCAAUACACUCAAAUGGAAAAACUGGUGUUGGGACUAGUCCACGCAACUCGGCGAUUGAAGCCCUACUUCCUUGCUCAUCCCAUCUCCGUCAGGACCGACCAGCCCAUUCGGCAAAUAUUGGUGCGACCCGAGGCUUCCGGUCGUCUCACCAAGUGGGCUGUCGAAUUGGGAGAGUAUGACUUGUCAUAUGAGCCCCGCACCGCCAUAAAAGCACAGGUCUUAGCCGACUUCCUUGCCGAACUCACCUUCACGGAAGGUUCGGAGUCCACCUCCACCUUUGCCGAGGUGUCCACCCCAUCCCUGUGGACAUUGUAUGUAGAUGGAUCCUCUAAUGGAGAGGGCAGCGGAGCUGGAUUGCUCCUGGAGGGCCCCUAGGGAGAAGUGUGCUCGUACGCCCUCCGCUUUGGUUUCCCAGCCACCAAUAAUGAAGCCGAGUAUGAGGCUUUAAUUGCUGGACUCCAGCUGGCCCGCAGGCUCGGCGCCCAGCAAAUCCACGUCUGCAGUGACUCCCAACUCGUUGUACGCCAAGUUCUUGGUGAAUACGAGGCCAAGGAUGAGACCAUGCAACAGUACCUCUCCAAAGUUCACCAACUCACCGCAUACUUCGAGUCUUUCGAAAUCCAAAAAAUACCCCGGUCCCAGAAUAAGCGAGCCGACGCCUUAUCCCGGCUGGUUUCCACAUCAUUCUCUGAUCUCAACAAAACAGUUUUAGUGGAAGUACUGACCGAGCCGGGAUACCUGGAAGAAGUGGCCUACCUCGUCCACUCUGGAGAUACCUGAAUGAGCCCGUUCAUCCUUUUCUUAGGUCAGGGAGUCCUCCCCGAAGACCGAGCCGAGGCGAGAAGAAUACAACGCAAAGCUGCUCGGUACGUCCUCCGCGAUGGGGAGUUGUACAAGCGCUCCUACCUUGGCCCGUGGUUGAGGUGCGUUACAUCCGAGGAAGGACGCCAGGUCCUUUACGAGAUCCACGAGGGCCUAUGUGGAGCCCACAUCGGCCACAGGAUGUUAGCCAAGAAGGCUUUGCUUCUUGGAUAUUUCUGACCCUCCGUUCGACAAGAUGCUUAGGACCUCGUUCUCGGUUGCCCUUCCUGCCAAGUCCACGCCCCUGAGCACCACCAGCCCUCAAACUUCAUGGUGCCCGUCACCUCACCCUGGCCGUUUGAGCAAUGGGGGACAGACAUCAUAGAUCCUUUCCCCAAGGCCGUCGGGGGUUAUACCUUUCUGGUAACCGCUGUGGAUUACUUCACCAAGUGGGUUGAGGCUGAGCCUCUAAGGACCAUCACCGGGUUGUGCAAUCUAAUCUUAAGGUAUAUUGUAAACUGAGCUACCGAGAUGGCUCACUAGUGCCGAGGUCUUGGCACGCCGAGAACCUUAAAUUGUAUUAUGCUUGAACUUUUGACCAAGUUAUGAUCUCAGAUGUUUUGUUAUUUUUUAACACUCCGAUGUUACACAUCUGCUAUUAAAAAAUAAGGGGGACAAGCAAGGGACGAAAUCAAGACAAGAAAUUAAAGUGCCGAAAUAAGAAGAAAUAAACAUUUCAUUUAAUGAAAGGACAACACAAAAAAGAAUACAAGACUGAGGUAGGGAGUGCUACUAAGCAUCUCCCACCUCGAAACUCUAUCUAAUUGACUACAAGCCGACCCCUGUCUCGGCUCUCUCCUCCGUCUCGGCUCCCUCCUGGACAGCCUUCUCUCCGGUCUCUUCCCCGCCGGGGUGAGGAUCUCCUCCUCCCUGCUAUUCGCCGACGUCUCCCCCAGCUCCUACUCCAUCGCCCUCCUUGAACACCUGGUCGAGUUCGGACAGCCACUUGUUGAACUCGUCCCGGAUUUCGGACAAGUUCCUUCCAGCUUGGAGGCCCUCGGCCAUCCGAUCGCACAACUCCUUGGAGUCCUCAUUGUAGUUGGCAUUGUCUUUCAGAGACUUCAAGGCUUUAGAGGAGAGGUGAGCUGCGGCCUCCUCCACGGCUGAUGUGAAGCCGAACAUGAAACUCGGCGCGAGUAGUUGGCCGAGAUCCCGGGUGAAGUUCUCGGACCUCCACGGCCGAGGCCCCAGCACUCUCGAGGUCUUGUUCGUGGGACUUUUUCACCUCGUCCCCCCUCUUCUGUUCUUCCUCGAGGGCCGAUGUGAGGUUGUUGAUUGUAGCCACGGCCUCCUCAUCCUUCGUCUCGGCCUCUUUAAGCUGUUUUUGAAGCUCGGCCUUCUCAGACUCGGACACGGCCAGUUUUUUCUCCAACUUGGAGAUCUGCUUUUGUAACUUGCCGGAGUCCUGCGCCUCGACCAGAGCACAGUAUCGGUGUGUCAUCUCGGCCACAAAAGCUGAGUUGGAGGCUGUGGUCACCAUGAGGCUUUGAACCACUUCGGCCGGAGUCAGUUUCUUCAUAUACUCCAAGUCCCUUGGCAAGGUGGACUGCAUCACCAGCAUUUGUGCAACCCGAGGAUGGCUGCACCUGUCGUUGACCGUAAGUGUCCAGUUCGGACACCAGUGCUCGCCGGAGUGCGUUUUCUCCUUCCCAGAAAACACCGGGGGUUAUGGAAACGGUUCCAUAGUGAGGUCCCCGAAACCGGAUUGACUGGGGGCUUUAGCUGCUUACCUUCGCCAUAAGGAGGCGGGAGUGCCCUGACAAUUUCAAGAGGCACUCCCUCUGACACAGGAGAGGUAGACCCAGUAGCCGCGGCAGCCGAGUUGCUUUGGGCUGCCGUGGCGGGAGUGCUCUUGGCCGCCGAAAUCUUGGCGGCCUGCCCUUGUGACUUCUUCUUCGGCGGAGGGGCCGACGUCUCAUCGGAGCUCUUCCUCUUCGAACUUUUGGCCACCUCGGCCGAACCCGAUGUGACGAUAUCGGACAAUUUGACCACUGCACAAGAAACAAACAUUAUUAUUUGUCACAGUCGAAAUGAAAGAAAAGCCGUGAAAAAAAAAUUACAAGGUUUCUUAAGUUUAGUGGAAGUGAAGGGAGUCUUGUCAGGACUGAGCAAAGCUCGACUAAUCCCCCCGUCAACCAGCACGGCUUCGAGGUAGUCCAAACUGUAUAUCCGAAGUCCUGACCCCAUCAGCUUCUGGAAGGCCUCCUCCUCGGCAUCCCCUGCGGAGGGGUCGGCCUUCGCUUUAAUUGGCCUCCACCAAAAACCCCUGGGGAAGUCCACUCCGGAUACAAAGAAGAAGUCGCGCUUCCAAUUCUUGAUCGGGCUGGGAGCACCAAUCACGAAUUUCGGGAUGGCAUUGUUUCGGUUGCAGAUAUAAAACCAUCUCUUGUCCGUCCCAUGCGCCUUGAGAGUGUAGCAUCGGCGGAAGAGAUCCACAGAGGGAGUCACCUCCUGAUGUCGACACAACAUCUCGAAGCCUACGAGGAUGAGGACGGCGUUCGGAGUGAGCUGAGUAAUCCUCACGCGGAAGUGACGAAGUACGUCUCUCAAGAACCUCGACGUCGGCAUUCUCAACCCGGCCUCCAACUGUUGGACGUAAAUGGCCACCAUGCCCAUGGGGGGCUUCUCGGCUGAGUCAUCUGGCCCGGACGGUGUGAUGAUAUACCCCAGCCAGAAAGGGUACUUGCUUAACACCUUUUCGGCCCUAUCUCUUCCUAUGCGACUUCUAAAUUUCGGCAUCUGGCCGAAGUCGAUGUUGGCCGCGUCCCUCGGAGCGACUGGCUCCGGUACGCCCUCGUCAUGGGGUAUCUCGGUCCCGAACUCGGUAUUAUAGACGACCUCGGAACCACCCUCGCUCAUCUCGGAUGACUCCAAUUCCGAGCCUGCCUCGCCGGCUCUCACCUCGGCUGAUCCUUCCGUAGAACUAGGCGAUGAUCCUUCAGAGCUGGACGUAGUCGCUUCUUCCAAAGGAUCCGGCCUCGCCUCGGCCCGGUAGCUCGGUUCCACGGUCUCUUUAUGGGUUUUAGCCGUUUUGGCCAUGAGUGAAAAGAUGAAAUGGAAAAGAAGGAUACUUACUGUUGACUACGGAAUUGAACGAAGAUGAUGACUUCGGCUGUGAUCUCGGCGAGAAAGGCUGACCUCGGCAACACUCACGAAGUUGGCAAGUCCUAGCAAAAGAGGAAAAAGUGUGAGAUGUCCGGUGGAGGGGACCCCCCAUUUAUAGGGGUCUGGGAGAACCCGAGGAGGCGGCAAGAAAGCUAAAAGACGGUCACGUUCAAAGUUCAAAACGUCCCCCCUCUCUCUCUCCUCAUUAAUAUCCCGUCCUUUCAUCUGACACCCUCUCUGCACGAAGCGUCCCACUAUUUCACGACGCGACGGUUCCUCGUAACCGCCCUGCUCAUCACGUCCUAUCAACUAAUUCGCCCACGUGCCACGUCCCCGCGUCUUCCGGAGCAGUUACAGGACCCUGACUGUGAAUGACUUCUGUUCAACAAUGACUUCGACUCAACAACGACUUCUAAUGACUUCGGCUCAAGGAAUCCUCGGUACCUCCCAGGCCCAGAACUUCCGAGGCUUGGGGGGCUUAUUGAGGAUGCUCACCCCGGCCACCCUCUACGGCCGAGGUGAUCCCCCCACCUUGUCCUUCUAAUGAGCUCGACGGGUCCCAGGUCUACUGCUUAGGUGGCCUCCACCUCUCAGGCUUCCACCUCGGCUGCAAGCUGAUGAUGUCAACCUACCUGACAUCCUUCAAGGCCAGUGCUUUAUCUGAAAAGCACCUGGGAGACUUAAUGACCACUGCGUAAAGCUCCUCUUCUCCCUGCCCAGGCGGCUACAGUGUCAGUGUCAGGUCUCAUGGCAGGGAACAGAGCCGUAAUACCAGGACGUGGGUCCCACUAGCAUGCGCUCUCCGGCCUACCUUUCACUUUCACUCUAUAAAUACCCCUCACCUACUCUCAACAAGUAGGCAUACUGUUCACUCACUCAUACUCUUAUUCUUCUCGUUCUCAUACUAACUUGAUCGUUGGAGUGAUCCCAGGGGAAGAGCCCCGCCUCCCACUUCGGACUAGUAGCCUCACUUUACCCGAGGAGAUACAAUCGAGUUCACCUCACCACAUUUACGAGAGGGCUGAUUUCGGUUGGACUAAUUACCCGCCAAAAAUCACCUCUUCAGUUCUCAUAUACGGAAAUUUGACAUUUAGAUAUAUAUAAUUCAUUGCAAUUGUGAUAUACUUAUGUUGUUGAGUGAUUCUGUGAAGGAUGGUGUGAAAUUCUGAAGAGAUAUUUUGUCCUUUGAUUUUGUUUUUGCCUGUGGACAGCAAUUAGGAUGGACUCUUUGCCAGCCAUAACAAAAUCCAAGGGUUGGAUGAGGGCAUAGCUCUUAAAAGAGUAGAGCCAAAGGAAUGCCUCAAAAUCCCAAAGAUACAAAGCAUGCAAAAUUAGUAGUUUGACAAAAGUAUAUCAUCUCCCUAAGUGUAAAUAGAAUAGGAGAUCCCUGCAAGACAAUAUUAUGAUCAAUUGUCACUGUUACAUGUCACAACCCAAUUUGGAAAAAGAAGCAAUAAGUCAAAGUUAUGCAUUGAUUCCUGUUCAAAUUGGGCAAUAAAUCGAAGUUAUAUAUUGAUUCUUUUUCUUGUAAAUGGCUGUGGAAAAACUAAAGCAGCAGAGAUAUCACCUACGAAAUUUACACAAAGAUAGACAGAUUUGGGGGCUACGUGGGAUUUGCAUUAUUUCAAUGUAGUGUUUAAGGGAUGUUACAAGAAUAUCCUCCAGUUGGAAGCUAAUCCAUGAACUGGUCCAGGUGAGCUUCUAAAAAUUUGGACUAAAUUGAAUUAUCAAGCUGGUUUUUCGGACCAAGUUUAGAAAUCGUUUACCAAGAAAAUGAGAGAAGAGGGGUAAAAUGAAAAAAAAAAAGAAAAAGAAAAUAAACUCAUCAGUUUAUUUACUUCUAUUUCCAGCAAGGUACGAGAAAGAAAAAUAUCCAACAACAAAAAAUAUUGGAUGGAAAUCCGGGCUUGACUACAGAAAAAAGCUUUACCACUCAAGUUUCUACUCAAAACCCCUGAAGUUCAACCUUCCAUUCCAAAACAAAAAUUACGCCAUUGCUUUCCAAAGUUUUCAAGAUGUUUAUUACAAGCAAAAGAAAAUUGAAGGAGAAAAAUCCCAAUGUGGAAAUGCAUAUUCCGAACAAGGUCAAAAGUCAAACAAAAUUCAUCGGAAAUAAUUACCCUGUCAAAAAAUCUGAAGGUCACUUUCACAUUGAAGAAUUACCAUGGCCAGGAAGAAGACUGGUAGACGGAGGUGUACUUGUGACUACGUUGUAAGCACUUUGAACGUUAGCUAAAAGCAGAAUAGUGAGAGGUGGAUGCAUUAACCAAUCACUAGUUAUCUAGACAAAGACUAAUAAUAUGGAAAUAUUGAUUCUUGAUUCAAAUUUGCAUCAUUAAUCUGACAGCUAGGUUUUAGGGAGAUGUUUUCAUGCAUGAGGUCAUGCAUGUCUAGGUAGCUGGAGAAGAAUAAAGAGUAGAAGAAAUAAGGUUUAUUACCAGUCAGAGGAAGCGUCUGUUUGCAAGACAAGUACAAGAUGAUGGGAAGUCCAAGAAGAGAAUAUCUUGAAGAUGUUGCAAUAAUUGCAGGGUUAAUUGGGAUGCAAUUUAUGUAUGCAGGAAACUCAAUUUUGGUUAGUUAUCUCAUGUUAACGGGAUUUACACCUGCAUCUCUCAUCAUCCUGUCUUCCUUGGCCACGUUUGUGAUUCUAUUGCCUUUCUCCGUAAUUUUUGAAAGGUAUGCUUCUUUUCCCCAAUCUUUGCAGACAGGCAUUAGUAAGUUUUUCGGCUAACGAUUUAUUUUUGUUCAUGGUACAGGAGGCUGUGGCCAAGGAAAUUCCGUCUGAAGCUAUGGGUACAGCUGGUUUUAAUUUCUUUUGGAGGGUACGUAAAAGAAGAUUGUUUACCUUUUCUCAUUAGUUACUAGACGUUCCUUGUUUCCUGACAUGCAUAGAUUAACCAUAGGAAUGCAUAGAAUUGCUUCUUUCUUUUUUUUCUUUUUCUGUUCUUCCUCCUUUGUGGUUGCCUUUUUAGUUGACCAUACUGAAAUGUUUUACAAGUAGAACCUGGAGAGGAGAAUGAAAAUUUUAGGCAGAAGAACAUGUUUUUCAUAAUACUUCAGAUGUUGAAAGGCAAAACCUUCUUGCACUCACAAGCUAAACGAUAUUCACAUUUCUCUCCUCCGUUGUCUUCCUAGCCACAGCGCUUUCUUGAAUUUCAAAUGGCAUGUUAUGCUUUUAGGGACAUGAUUUGCCUAGGAAAAACUAAACGGAAGUUUCUUUUUGGAGGUUUCACUCUUCAAGGCCAAGUAGUCGAGUAAAUUAUCUAUCCAUUUGUUGUUUGGAUGGCAGGGUGACAUUAUUCCAAUCUCUGUUCCUGAAGGGCAUCAGUCUUACUUCACCAGCAAUGGCAACAGCCAUGCCAAACAUUGCUCCAGGAUUCAUAUUUUUCAUUGCUUGGGCUCUCAGGUAUAAGCAAUCUGGUUUUGAUUUUUGUGUUACAAUUACUGACAAACCAAAACUACCAACUGCUACAAAAUGAAAAAACUUAAUUCAGAACUCAUGAUAAGUUGCAGCAUACUUGGGGAUGAAUGGAAGCAAACAAAGAGUAGAAACUUAAAGAAUACCUGAAUAUGUAUUCAGAGAGGAAACAAAAAAUGUCUAUUGCAGAAUGCAGAUUAAUUUCGAGAGAAGGUUUAGGAGACGAGCAGUAUAGGCAAAGUACGUUUCAAGUCGAGAACUCUUUGGACGGAUUUGUAACUUCUCAUGAGUAAAUUAAUCAGAGAAUUUAAUCAGGACGAAUCAAGUUCAGACUCAUCGAAAAUACAGAAAUAUUACAUAAUCCAAUUGAUUGCGGUUAGUGAUAUAUUACCCAGGAUAUAUCCAUGAGUUUCUUAAAAGAUGGACACUUCGUGUGCAGGUUGGAGAAAGUUGAGUUAGGCUGCAUAUAUAGCAAAGCAAAAAUUGCAGGAACACUGCUGUGUGUUGCCGGUGCUGUUAUAAUGAGCCUUACGCAAAGUACCUUGGGUAGUCAUAAAGCAAGAGAAGCUCAUUUAUCAGUACCACCUACACUGUCACGAAACUUAUUUGACGAGCGAAAGAUCAUGGGUUGCUUUUAUCUCAUGGCAGCCGUCUUCGUCCUAUCAAGCACUAUUAUCUUACAGGUAAUUGAAUGUUCCCCAGUAGUAGAAGAGAUUGAAGAAACUAUGCAUUUUUUCUAAUUCCUAACUUUGUGCUUUUUUGGUCUGAUCGUGUUACAGGCUACAACAUUAAGGAAUUUCCCAGCUCCGAUAUCCUUAUCUACAAUAACAACUUUAAUAGGGGUGGUAUUGACUGGAAUUGCCCAGUUGAUUCAAGAUGGCAGAUUAGAUAUUGGAUGGCCCUUGUUAAGCAUCAAAGAUAUCAUGUGCUACUCUGUACUGGUAAAGUACUUAUCCUCCCAAGUUGCCCUUCUUCUUCUUUUUUUUUUUUUUUUUUGGUUUUCCUUGUUAAAGAGAUGAACUACACAACAAAGGGCAAGAAUAAUAUAUCAAUAUGGUCUUUUGAUUCUAUGUCACGUUCAUGAACCACGUGAUUAUUUCCAAGAAAUGAAAAAGAAAGAGCCUUGAUCAUUGAAUACAUCAUUAAAGUUUCUUUCCAGUUUAAAUAGUUGCCUUUGAACGAUGGCUAAAUUCCUUGACCUUUUACUGCAACAGGCAGGAAGCAUCAGUGGAGCAUGUGUUACCUUCAAUAUAUGGGCAAUGAAGAAAAGAGGGCCAGUUCUGGUGUCCAUUUUUAGUCCCAUUGGAACUGUCGUGUCGCUAGCCUUUUCAGUAAUCACCUUAGGAAGCUCCAUUACCGUAGGAAGGUAUCACGAAUCAAAUACCAAAUCAUGCUUUAAAUUUUACUUCUCAACCAGGAGCCUCAAACAUCGAUAAUCUAACCACUAGAUGUCUUUCCACAGUCUCGCAGGCAUGUCCAUCAUGUUUACUGGUCUCUAUAGUGUACUAUGGGCUAAAGGGAAGGAAGGAUUCUCCGAGAAUAACAACUCCUCAGAAAGUGAGUACGAUGUGGAGAAGCCUCUCUUAUCUUGACAUUAUCUACUUUGAUUGUUUAGAUGUAAUCUAUCAACUAUUAUUGUACAGGAUAGGGAACAUAUCCCCAAGAAUUGGUGAUAUGAAUUUUAGGUUCGAUUAAGUUAUAAUGUGAUAUACAAGAACAGAAAACUAAAGAUCCCAGAUUAUAAUUUCAGACAGAAAAUUACUAACAUAGUUAGUUUUGAAUACUACUAACAGUUUUCAGUGCAUAGUUGAAAGUCCGAAGUACCAAUCCUAGUAUGUUUCUGCAGCUCCAUGAUGCACACAAUAUACGUCAUACAACGGUUGAUUCUGGAUGCAAGACAGUAAAGGAUCUAUACCAUUAUUGUAGAUCUUAAACUAAAUUUUGGCAUAAUGCUGGCAGCAGAGAUCAGUGCUUUUGGUACAGCACACUUGAAAGAGUAAUCGGGUUUGUGCAAGGAUAAAGUUCAUGUACGUGACAAUGGAUUAUGGCUGCAAAGCACUGUGACUGACUUUCUUUUUUUUUUUUUUUUGACGUUUUGAGGAGGAAAACUUUGAACAACUGAUUUUUUUAGUCCUUUUUUGAUGGGCUGAAAGGAUUGAGUUUGUGUUUGAGUUUCAGUGCAGAGAUGAAUUUCCAGUCAUGGUAGCUUAGUACGAUGCUCAGGAUGGAAACCUGACUUUUUGACUAACUGAAUAUCAUGCAUAUGUUUCUCUCAAUCAACUUAUGGUAAUGAGUAUAUUUGUUCCUCGUUUUGUUUAAGGGAAUGGCAGGCAGAACAUUCCACAAACGCUUGAAAGAUCAAGAGAAUUUGAACCCCUGAGUUCGAAGGAAACGCAAUUAAUCCCACAAGACACCAUUCACUUGCCUGAUUUCCAGUUCAAUUAGCUCCAAAAGUAACCGAAAACUAAUAGUACUAAACACUAUUUAGACCUAAUUAAGCAUCAGAUUUAGUGUAGUUAAGACAAGGUAAGCUCCUAAGUGAAAUCGUUUGAAAAGCCAACGUAAGUACACAUUCUUAUCAGUAAUCUGUCUCUAGGUGAUGCCAAGUUGUUGGAUAAACAGCAAAGGAACCUAUCUUGCUAGACCUCACCAGAUAGUUUGCAUUUUGCAAAUUAGGUGUGAUCAAUUUUGAGAUAGAUUGUUAGAACUUGAUUUGACCAAUAAGAUGUGUUGAUUGCCUGUAGUUCUACAACUGAGACCGUGAGUUUAUUCCACAAGUAUGUCCACCCCCCCUCCCCCACACAACAAGCCCACAUAUAAGAAGUUAAAGAACGCAAUUCUUGAUGGACUUGUUCCCUGGGUAAAAAGUAAAUACUGGGAGGAUAAUAAUACUGCGAGACACAGACUGAGGAUAACAUCAUAUACUUACAUGAUUGAUUUAUUUCUCUAAUCUUGUUGCAAAGCUUCCAAUACAAAUUGAUAAAGGGUUGAGGGUCUGUUUGCAAACAAGUUUUUGGCGUUUGUCUUUUACAAGUUUUUUAACAACUUUAACUACAAUAAUCUCAAAAAACUCCUCAAAAUUUUUAAACUAUAUACUUCAAAAUAGUCAAAAUUUUUUCAAAGUUUUAGAUAAAUAUCCAAAAAACUCAUUUGUCAAACGGGAUCUGAGUUUAUACUUCUGGUCAUGGCCACUGGUUUAAUAUAUUUAAACCAUCAUUUUCUUAUUGCCACUGGUUUAACAUAUUUAAACCUUUGAGAGAUCAAUGAUUCAAAUCUUAUCUUCCACCAAAUGUCACAAUAUGUGGCUUCUCUAAAAAAAUCUAUAUGAGUGCGUAGUACACCUGUCUGAUCCAAUAGUAAUUCAGUUUCCAUUGAUUCCCUAUAGACUCAGUUGGACCUCCCCGUAGUUAGGAUAGAAUAGGAUAAUAUAUAUAAAGUCCCCUUAGAUGUCCCUAUUGGUCCCCCGUAAACACAAUUGAGCCUUCUCUUAGAUUAGUAUAAAGUAGGAUGAUGUAAAUAAAAUUCCCUUAGAUUAGGAUAAAGUAGGAUAAUAUAGAUAAUGUGACGACGACAAAAGAAAAAACCAUCAUUUUCACUUGAGCAUAGGCCUCUCAAAUUAAGAUAAAAUAGGAUAAUAUAGAUAAAAUCCCCUUAAAUUAGGAUAGAACGGGAUAAUACGGAUAAAGUGCGGAUGAAAAAAAAACAUCAUUUUCACUUGAGCAUCGGCAUAGACUUCUGCUUUUCUCUAAGCUUUGAACAGCUUCUGAGACCAUGACUUUGUCGGCUUGCCUUUUUAACACUUCUAUCCGACAGUAUCGAUGGAAUAUUCUCUCUAAUUUUCAUCUUCAUACGCCGUAAGUUUAGCUUCAUUGUUGGGGCCAGCAUAACAUUUUUUUAAUUGAAAAAAAGGAAAAUCGUCCAAAACGUCUUUUACUAAAAUAAUUUUUUUGUCCUUCACUUUUAAAAGUGUAAUUUUAUAUCCCUUACAUAUUCACAUCGAUCAAAUUUAGUCCCUAACUAGAUUUUCGAUCAUUUUUUAGUCGGAAUCCAUCACGUGCAAGGCACGUAAUCAUUUUUGAAGGGUAAAUUUGUCAAAUUAUAUUUUACAUAAUUUAAUCUAUAGUCCUACAUUUUAUAAAACAAAAUUUUUCGUCCCUCAUAUUUUAUAAAAUAAUUUUUUCAUCCCUCACAUUUCACAAAAUGAAUUUCUCCAUUCCUCACAUUUUCAAAAAAUGAAUAUUUUCAUCCCUCAUUAAUUAUGUGUGUAAGGGAAACCCUAAAAAAUAUAUAUAUAUAUAUAUAUAUGUGUGUGUGUGUGUGUGAAUACAUUUUAUUUAAACACAUAUAUAUGUCUAUUUGAUUUUGCUUUAAUAAUACAAAUAGAAUAAAUAUAUGUAUAUGUCUAUUUGAUUUCACUUAACAAUAUGAAUACCAUAUAUUAUACGUGAUCAUUUGAUUUUAUCUGAUAUUAGCUAGUAAAAAAUCUUGCAUUCAUUGUCAAGUUGGUCAAUAAAGUUAUUUUCGGUCAAAAUACAAUAAGAAUAUGCAAAUUAAGGUUCUAUUGGUAAAUAUUAGUCAUAAUCAUACAAAAAGAGAAGAUAGCCCACAAAUUGGGCCCAAUUACAUACAUGUGUUUAUGCUAUUAUUAUUAAAUAAAAUCAAAUAGACAUAUACAUGUGUUUAAAAAAAAUGUAUUCACACACAUAAUUAGUGAGAAAUAAAAAAAUUCAUUUUUUGAAAUGUGAGGGAUGGAGAAAUUCAUUUUGUGAAAUGUGUGGGAUGAAAAAAAUUAUUUUAUAAAAUGUGAGGGACGAAAAAAAAUUUAUUUUAUAAAAUGUGGAGGACUAUAGAUCAAAUUAUGUAAAAUAUAAUUUGAUAAAUUCAAAUUAAUCCAAAAUUUUUAGCAAGAAAGCCUAAUGAAAUUUUCUCCAUAACUAUAAUUAAAAACUCAUUACCAAAUAACUUAUUGAAGGAAAAAUCUAGUACUGCAUAACUUUGUACUAUAAGUAGUUAAUUUUUGGCAUGGCAUGGCAUGGCCUGUGCUCAAAUUUUCAGUAUAUAGAAGUAUGUGUAUGUGUAGUGGCGGUGUGGUUGAGAGGCGGCGGGGUAGCACCACAAGUGGUAGAAACAGUCUCUCCACCACUUAAAAACGACACCCUCCACUUGUCAGACACUGGCUAUCACUCUACUCCGCUCCUCUACUCUUAACUAACUUCACUCUCUUCUCAUCCACAACCAACUAACUUCGACUAAAAACUAGGACUUCCGUCACUUUACUACACAACACCACACAACCUUCACUCUUGUCUGGUCUCACCCACAAUCCAUGCCACUUUUUAUGUUGUCAUGUUUAUCUUUAUCUUAAACUGUGUAAAAAGCGCAGGAAGCAGCACCAGCUUAUAUAUAUUUUACUGCUGCCACUGCUACGUACAACCAUUUCAAGUACUCUUGCAUUCUUAACUCGCCACCAAUUGUACUGAAAAACACACUCACUAGAAGUCCUAAUCUCUCCCCAAAAAACAAAAAAAAAAAGAAAGGAAAAAAGUGCUAACAAUGGGAAUGGCGGAAGAUCAUGUUGGACAAUUGCAAGAACCAACUUUCAAGCACUUUUGCAGGGUAUGCAAAAGAGGGUUUGGAUGUGCCGGAGCUCUGGGGGGUCACAUGAGGAGCCAUGCUGUUGGAGAUGUUCGGAUGCAUCAAUCGAGUCGCGAUCAAGAAAUAGGCACCAGCAGCUUCAUGAGAAGCAAUAAGGGGGAAGGAGGAAGCAAGCAUUCGUACUUCCUCCGAACCAAUUCCACCAAUCGAUUCACCGGUGCUUGUCGAGCUGGUGAAGAUCUUCAAGAAUUUAAUAAUAAGAGGACCUUCACCCGCUCUGCUUUCCAUGAUGAACGCGAGAAAUUUUCAUCUUCCGUGUCGUCUUCUGAAUCUGAGGUUGAAGAGAUGAUGCUCAAGUCCGCGCGAGCAAAAUCCAAAAAUUACGAGGACCGGCAUUGUGCCGCCUCCAGCGAAGAAGAGGAUCUCGCGAAUUGUUUGGUGAUGUUGUCAAACGAAUCAUUUGUUCAGUCGGAUAAGGAGCAGGAAAACACGGACAAACACGUGGAAAAAGGUACGUUCCAGUGCAAAGCUUGUAAGAAAGUGUUCAAUUCCCACCAAGCACUGGGGGGACAUAGAGCCAGUCAUAAGAAGGUGAAAGGUUGUUAUGCUGCCAGAUUCAACUGCAGCACCAACCUCAAUGAUCAGGAUAAUGACAAUAAUUACGAAGAUGCCUUCUACCAACACGAGGAACAUUUGGCUCCGUCAGAAAAUUCUUCAGAGCCAGGGCUUGAUCUUGAUUUCUCACCUCAUCAUGAUCACCUUCCAAAAAAUACUACAUUGUCAAAAAGGAAGUCCAAAGCUCAUCAAUGUUCGAUUUGUCAGAGGGUGUUUUCAUCAGGACAAGCCUUAGGUGGGCACAAAAGAUGUCACUGGCUAACCUCAAACUUACCUGAUAAUACUAUCAUACAGAACUUACGUGAGCUCCAAUUUGAUAGCCAACAACUAUUCAAGAAGCCUAUGCUCACAAAACCCGAGCCACUGCCUCUUGAUCUCAAUUUCCCUCCAUUGCUGAACAAUGCGGUUGAUAAUCUGCACAUGAACUCAGCUGAUGAUCCCCUCAAUCACGAAGCCCCAGCUAGAAUUUUUCUCCAACUGUGGGGUAACGAAGAGGCUGACAACAGUACUAGUAAUAAUAAUCAUCAGCAGAACUAUACUACUAAAAGCGUGGUUCGUGGUUCAUUGCAUGAUGAGGACGAAAGUGCUAAAGAAGAUGGUUAUAGAACGGAGCAGACUGCAAAACUGAGUAAUCUGAAAGAUAUGAAUUUGGAUGGAGGGUCUUCUCGGUGGUUACAGGUGGGGAUUGCUUCAACUACUGAUAUCACAGCCACCCCAUGAAGUGAUUGUUAGUGUUAGUAAUUAAUUAGUUAUCUACUUUAAGCAAGACUUGUAAUUAUUACAUGUUCUUCCAUGUUAAACAUAGAUAUAUUUGAUUGUCUCUCUGGUGGAAAUUCAAUUUACAAUUUCAUCAAUUUGUGCUCUAUUUUUUUUCCUACUGCCAAUAUUGAGUCUGCUGCCUUUUUUAAAAACAAAGAAGUGAUAGUAUAUAUUUUGUAGCUAAUGGCAUUACGGAUUUUUUUUUUCUUUUUUUUGUGGUCUUAUCUCUAGGGGGCCUCCCUCCCUACUGUCAUAUCCAGGUUCAAAUCCUGAAUCUGGCAUUUGAGAGUGAAGGGAGGGGUUAAACAAAAAACUUUUGUGUUUUAUGCAGAUACGGAAGAAGAACAUACAAAUAUAUCGAAAAAAAAUGUGGGAAAGAAUGAAGAAGCUAGCAUGUUGUGUAUAUGGAGUCGGCUGUGUUGGCUAAAUGCUGGCAUGAGAAUCACAUAAAAAACUGUUUACCCAAGCUGCGAAGUCAAAGUCAGAUACAAAGUACUAAUAAAACCAUGUGAUUAAUUAGGACAUUUACAAUUGAUCGUUCUUCCAUAAAUUACCCCAUAUGCAUGGAUUAUUUUUUCAAUCAGAGGAAAAUGCAUGGAGCUUGGUGCUUCACUUCUCCUAUCAAUGUAUUGUCUAGAAUUGAAGUGAAAAAGAGCAGUUGCCUGUUAUUACAUGGUGUAAGAAAAAAUGGUUGAUUUUUUUUGUUUUCUCUGCUACUUUUAAUUCAUUGAAAUCGUUAGUACUCAUGUCAUACGUAGCUGGUUCACACCAUUUUGAAAGGCCUCCACCCCAGCCCACCACAAAUAUCAUAUCACAUACGGUACCGGCGGCCAACAGGACAUCAUGCCCUGUGUCUCCAGCCGAUCAUCUUCAACGAAGACCAGCUAAACAUAGAGCCAAAAAUUGUGCUCCUGUUCUAGCUCAUGCAGGGAGUUGAAGGUCCAUCUACAAAGGACCACCCUGUAUCACAUAUUUAUAGCUCCUUCUUUAUGAAUUAAAGGGUGCCGUGAGAUGUUAGUGAUUUGCUGCAACUUUGUCGGUCAUUAUUAGCUCUAAAAGUCUACACUAUAUUACAAGACGGACGCUAUGACAUAGAGUAUGGUUAAGGAUGCUAACAAGUUUGAUCAAAUUGAACACCUAGUAUUUAAGCUUAUUCGAUUGUUUUAAUGAAUUCAAAAUUUUGUUUAAAUUUGGCUUGUUUAUUUGUAAAACCAAAUUUCAAGAGUGAAGUGAAAGCAAUGGUUAACCACUGGGCCAGGCCUCUGGCCCAGUGGCCACCAUCUCUUUGGUGGGGUCCACCAGAAAUACCACGUUUCAGUGGUUUGUCUCCAAAAAUUCAGGCGGAUGUACUGUGUACUCGUCUGGUUCGGUGGUGGUUCAGUCCUUUCCGGUUUAUCCCUGGGCCUACUUAGGUCCGCCUCCUUCCCCUUAGUAUAGGAUAAAUUAGGUUUAUCGUCUCCGAAAAAAAAAAAAAAAGUGAAAGCAAUGGUUAGAAAAGUGCAAACGCAUCCAGAAAUCGAGGAAUGCCUCUGCUGUGGAUGGCAAUGAGUUUCUGAUUUUUAGAUUAAUAUCUCAGACUUUUCCACAAGAUCGAGAUGCUUAUGGGCAUGCUCUUAUUUGUUUGUAGUUUCUUAAAUUAUUGCAAAUAAGUUAUUGGAAUUUUGAAAAAAAAAAAAAGAAGUAAUUUGUAAUAGAAAACUUAAUAAUUUACUCUAUAAAGUCAUAUUCUGAAGGUUUCCUUUUUCCUUCUUCCAAUAUUAAAGUCAUCAAAAUCAAGCAAAGGAUAAAGGUUGGAAAUAUACUUAAUUACUAGUAGAACAUAGUCCCUUGACUUGAUAGGCCUCCUCCGUAACAUUUCGUUGGAAGGAAAAAUUCCGCUGCCAAUUGCAAAUGUCAUUAACAUUUUUCCUUUGAUUUGUAUUAUAUUAUAUGCCUUCAAAUGGACUACUAAUUAGUAAUAUAAAUCAUCUUAAAUUAAAUCUAAAUCUACCGACUAUGACUCAAAGAAUCAGCCGAGGGCUUGCGUGACAAUGAAGGGCGGGGGAGGGGUGAGAAUGGCGCGUGGGAAACAAAGCAUGCGCAAUAACAGGACACGUCCAUGUACUGCAGAUCAUACCUGUUCUUUGUAUCCGUGGCCAUUGGCAUCUUCAACUUUCUCAAAAUUGGCUGCCUAGGAAUGCGUGUAAUCAUGUUUGGGGCAUAUCAACGAGACAGUUCGUAUCUGAUUCGUACAAUUAGUGUCAAUUUUGGUUCAGAAAUUAGCGUCAAAUUUGUUUCGGCGUAGAUUUAUUGAAUCGUUUAUGCCUUGCCUUCUUCAUCUGCGUUCAUGGAGCAUUACAAAUUUACAAAUUGAAGUUCUUGAAGGUUGCAUUUUCAAGUUGACCGUUCCUUAUAUAGAUUAAAGUAGAGUAAGAGUUGACAAUUGACCAAAAAAAAAAAAAAGAAAAAGAAAAAAGGUUCAAGUUCCCUACUAAACAUUAUUGUUGUUGUUAUUAAUCACAAAAGAGAAAAAGCAAAUUAAUGCUUUGAUGUUGUAAAGAGUGCAAUAAAAUUAGUAGCAAAGUUUAUAAUAAUGGUAAAUACUAGAGAAAUAAAAAAGGCUAAUUAAAAAGGUUUCUGUAAGGUAAACAAUGAAAAAAAAAAAAGAAAAGAAAAAUCCAAUCAUUGCAAACGCUCUCUGCAUAGGAAUCCUAUACAAUUUUUUUAUUAUUAUAGGAUCAAUGUUUUUACAUUAUACAAAAAUGCAGCAUCUAUUCUAGGAGUUGUUGAAUAGUUUGAGAAGACAGAAUAAAAAUGAAUUACUUGAGGAGUGACGACAUCCAUCUUCAGGAGAAAUAGGUAUAGAGCAGAUUAUUAUCGAUCGUCGAAAAAAAAUAAAUAAAUGCCCGUCAGCUCGGGGGAAUCAUUCGCUAAAAUUUUCGGUUGGACUUGCCCUGAUGGCGUUGCAGGAGUCGUGAAGCGCCGGGCCGUCAUGGAACUGAUGAGUACCACACUCAUUACUUGAGGAGUGAGGACAUCCAUCCUCAGGAGGAACAGUUAACAACUUACCACUUUUAUAUAUAUAUAGUAGGUGUUACUAUCACAAAGAUCCUAUACUUGUAUAAGACUAGAUUUCAUUAUAGUCUAACAAUUGAUAAAUCUUAUCCUUCUCUAAACAAAUUUACUUAAGAAGAGAACCUAAAUUCUUAGGGCUUGUUUUUUAACUGAUUCUGAUUUUAUAAAAAUUGAUUUUGUAUAAUUAAUUCUUGAAAAUCAUAUUUUUCAUAAUAACUCACGUGUUCUCGUUUAUUAGUUAAAAAAAAAACUAUUUUAAUGAAUGCAUCAGUGUUCUCAAGAAAAGUUAAAAAGUUGUUUUUGACAAAAAUAUUAUCAAUUUACCCUUAUAUGCUACAUAAAUAAAAUUUUUACUAAUUAAUUAAUUUUUAUGUAGAUAAUUACUUUUCUUGUGAAGAUUCAAUGUUGGAUAAGAAAAAAGGAAUUGAGGGAACACAGAUGAACUAAAAGUGGGGCAAAAAUUGGAGAAGAAUAAAGAGACAUGCGACGUAAAAAUUUAUCUAACCUUUGGGUAGUAAUUAUGUUAAAAUUUGAAAGGUAGUUUAGUUGAUGUUUAGCUUUGUUUUAUCCAAAAAUUUGAAAAUUAUGUAUUUAAAAAUCAGUUGAGAACACAACAAAAUAGCGUUUCGAAAAUCAUAUUUUUGUCGUCUACUCUAAAGACGUUUGUGCCCGAAAAUAUAACAUUUGAUCAAAGUCAAGAAAACUAUGGCCCCGUUUGACAGGUGAAUUUUUUGGAUGUUUAUCUAAAACUUUAUUGUAACUUAUUGUAGAAGUUGUAGGAAAAAUUUUUAAAGUGUGCAAGUUUUUGGAUAUUUUGAAGUGUAUAGUUUAAAAACUUUGUGAAAUUUUUUGAGGUUACUAUAGUUAAAGUUGUUAAAAAACUAACUUGACCAAAAACUUACUUAACAAAUAAAGGUCUAUAGUUAAACCAGCAUGUCCAGUAAUUUAAGAACUCUAACUUAUAGUAGCUUAAUUUUUUUUUCCCGUGUGGAUUGAAGGUAUAUUAUCACUAUUUUUACAAAUUGUAUUCAAUUAGGCCAAAAAAAAAAAAAAAUAGAGCAGAGAAAGGGAAAUUGACACACGCCUCUGAUACAGUGGCGGAUGCGUCAUCAGCAUCAUUUCUGUUUGUUCCAUAAUUGAUGCUUGAAGCUGGAUUGUACUAACUGCAUUACGAAUGCUCUGCGCUAUUAGACUCACCUGGCAAAACGCAUUUCUUUCGGCCUGCAAUUUGCAGGCUGAAUCAAUUGUACCGACCGGCGAGCCGGACUGGACUGGGCAGCAAGACUCGAAAAGCCAUUUUCUUGGUUAUCCUUUUCUUGUCACGUUCUGAUCUCAUUCUUUGAGAAACUGCGAAUAUUUACGGACAGUUUGAUACUUUAUAUUGUUCCAAUUCUUCUUUAAUCUGUUUAAAAAAAUGACUUUCUUGUUGCAUAGCUAUCAGUAGUAUGUUCAAAACAAGUCAUUUUGCCACAAUAAAACUGAAGUUUGUGAGUUGCCUCAUCAAUUUAGAGAUCCUUUCAUGAAUUAUAAUUUCGCUAAAGUUACCUCAGUUUAUGAUUCACUGACAAUGGGCAACUAUUAACAGUCCUCGUUCCUUAUUAUUUUGAAGUGACUUUUAUGCGGAAACUGAUCCUCGUUACAUCGUAACGGAAAUGGGGCACGGCCAUGAUGCGGCCUCAAAAAUUUGUGCGGUUCAGAUUACAGCAUGUAACUCGAUUUUCACGUCAUGUGUGUGGCUCACAAAAAAUUGUUCUAAAGUUACUCCAUGUGUAAAGAAAGUUACGCGAUGUCCAAAAAAUAUUACGCGCUGUUAGAAAAUGCACAAACCGACACAAACGGUUGCACCGUUUGUGCCCCAUGUCCAAUCGUAACGGAUAGGCUAAAGUAGCAGUAGUAAUAGCUUUUGCAUUGUUGACGUGAUCUACGGGUUACUUUUUCUGAAGAAAGCGCUACUAGACAUAUAAUCUCUAAAUCACCACAUACAAGACGUGCCAAUAUUGCACUCAUGAUAGUUAUAUUAAAUGUUUUUUCAAAAUUAAAUUUCUAUAACGUGGACCAUAUUCAAUGGACAAUAAUUCAAAGUUCAAAAUAAAGGCUGUUUAAAGAAAUGAAAUUUAUUAUUAUUAUUAGCAUAAAUCAUCAACCAAAAAAGGAUCAAGAAAAGUGCAGCAGCCCUUCUUAUGGCACGAAGCUUUAUCAUCAUCAAUGCCCUGCCCGUUUGGUCACAACAAACCCCAACGAUUCAUUGACUCGUGCGAGAUGGGCACGUAUUGGUUUUAGCGACACUUAUAGAGCUCAUGAUCGAGUUUGUUAACUGCCAUGGAAGAAGAAUAUUGUGUUAAUGGGUCUAAUCACAUUUUUUGAGAAAAAGAGAUGAUGCAGGAAUUAAGUAAGUGGAUCAUCAAUGUGCUGGAAGAUAAUGACAUUAUGUGUUUAGGUAGAGAAGUAAAGAGCACUUAUUGUGGUAACAAUUUGGAUUCAAACAUUUAAGUCGUAUAUUUCUGCAAUUGAGAAUUUCACCGAGAGCAUUUAUGCAUUAUGUUAUUUGACGAUGAAGUUUAAGAAUCAAAGUGAAAAAAUCAAAAGUAUAGUUGAGGGUGCAAAACGAAAUUAACACUAUUUAUUAUUUUUUCUCAAACCAUCCUAAAUAAAUCUUAGUUCCACCAUGUCAAAUUAGAACUUCAAUAUUGUUUGGAUCGUGAUUUUUCGCAGGAACACAAAAGUUUUGCGUCUUUCGUGAACACGUUUCUCAGUUAUCUUUUCAUCUCAGUUUCUGAUUUGUGUCGUGACAAUCUAGAACAGUUUCCUUGAAAGGCAUAAAAUGGUCCUCUGUCUUAAAAUUGAAGUUCAUAGAAGCCGAUUUAUGAUAUGAAACACUUUUAAAAACGCUACUUCGCCUAAAAGCCGCAUAAAUUUGCACUGCGCGACUUUAUUAAGGGCCAAAGUGGACUUGAGUAAAUUGGCCGCAUAAUCUAGGGACUAUAGUAGUAAAAGUGUCUGGUAUCGAACAAAACUAUGGGAGAACUGAAGUAAAUGGAAACCAAUUCAAUUCUACCAAAUUUAGACGAUUUGGUGGUGGUCUGCAAUUCAAGACAUAUUAUUGCUUGCUUGCUUGUUUGUUUAACUAAAUCCUAAAUCACAAAUUUUGGUGGAAAUGAAUUACAGUAAAAUCUCCCAUGCCAUGAGGAACAGUCCUAGAAACAGAAAACACCGCCUCUUAGUACUCGCAUCAAAGUUUGGAAUAAAGAAACAAAACUACGGAAAUGGCAAGAUUUGCAUGUUCCUUGUCCCUCUUUAUGUCUUCAUCCAUUCAUCCUUGUCACGCCUUUUCCAAUUUUCCCCCCUAACCUUCCAAUUAUAAACUUUGCCAAGUGAAAUCAUCACCUUCAAUUACAUUUUACAACUAAUUAUGCAAAUAGAAAUCCAUCCUUGUAAUUACUUCCGUCCCAAUUAAGGUCCAUCUAAAUGACAAUUUUUUUUGUGUGCAUAUAAUCGUAAUAUGUGAGCUGUUGGGCUUAACAAUAAUAUAGGUCUCCCUUGUACCAUUAUUAUCAUCAAAAAGAAAAGAAAAGAAAAAAGGGUUAAACUCAAGAAUUUAUAAUUGUCUUUUUCUUUCUUUUUUUUUUUUUAAUUUGUUUGGUAAAAAAUGAAAUAUUUUUGGGUGGAGUGUGGCUUUUUGGUGGAAGAAUGCUUGUCACCUACUCCUCUUAAGUUCCUCACUCCCACCGUACUUUUACUACUCACUUCUCCAAAGCUUAUAGGACAAGAGAGAGAAAAUCAAGGCAGCAGCUAUGUUGAGAGAGAAACUCAACUGAGCUGAAUAUAUAUGUACUGCUAGAAGUACAGAGCACACUACACAUUCACUAUACAAGAAAAUUAAAGAAGAUUACAAGAAAACCUCUUCAAUCUUUGGCGUUGUUGUGCGGUGAAAAAAGCCAAAAAAAAAAAAAGAAAAAUGGUGAGACCGGAGAGACACAAAUGUAAGCUUUGUUCAAGGAGUUUUCCGAGUGGAAGAGCUUUGGGUGGUCAUAUGAGGUCCCAUUUGGCCAACUUGCCGCUUCCUCCCAAGACACCGCAAAAACAGGAAGCCAGCAGCCAGCUCCCACCACAGCCCGGUGGUGACGCCUCAACCGAGUCAACAACUUCAUCUGAUUGUUCUUUGUCAGAGGAGGAAGUAGUAGUAGUACAAGUGAAGGAAUGUGCAGCUGAAGAUAAAGGGCUGGUUUAUGGACUCAGAGAGAAUCCCAAGAAGAGCUUCAGGAUGGUAGAUCCUCAGUUCUUGGAUGGUGGUUCGGUGGUUGUUCAAGACAGAGGAAGCGAGACCGAGUCAACUAGGAAACCAACUCGGCAAAGAUCCAAGCGAACUCGGAGAAUGCUUGUGUCUGCUGCUAAACAAGAAGGAGCUGAUGAGGCACUGAUUAAGGAGAAGAAAAUGAUGAAGACAACUGAGUCAUUGUUGGAGUUGGAACAACCGGUGAGUUCGGUCUCUGACACUUCACCAGAAGAAGAUCUUGCUUUAUGUUUGAUAAUGCUUUCUAGAGAUGUUUGGAGGAGGACUAGUACAACAACAACAACUACUACUACUACUACUACUUCAUAUGACUCCGCAGAAGAGUUGAAACUCGUGAAUAGUAGUACUAAAAGGAGGCACAAGAAGCAGAAGAAGAUCAAGAUUAAUAAUAAUGAUUCUUCAUCUGAUCAAGAAGGCGAGUCCUCAGAGGAAUUAGAAUUACCAAGAAAUGGUGUUAGUAGAAGUUGUAGCAUUAAAAAUGUGACGGUGGACAAAAAAGUGCAUGAGUGCCCAUUUUGUGGCAAAGUUUAUGGGUCAGGUCAAGCUCUCGGUGGCCACAAAAGAUCACACUUUUUGGGUUCAUCAACAACAUUAACAACUACAGCUACAGCAGCCACAGCGGCUGAGAGCUUGUUACUGGAAUCGUCAUCAAAUGCUGCUAAAUCUCAGCAAGGUACGUUGUUAAUGAUAGAUCUUAACUUGCCAGCUCCAAUGGAAGAUGAAGACAUUGACGAUGAUCAUCCUCAUGAAAGUGAAGACUUUAAUUUGCAUCAUAGAAGAGGCUUCUGCAGUUUCAGAUGCUGAUUUCACCAAUCCCAUCAACCAUUGACAAUCAACAAAUUUUAGAGAGCCUAUCAGUAUUCCUCCUUUGCUUUUUUAUUUUUAUUUUUUAAAAGCAUUUCCUAUUUUUGAGUUUCUUUGUGGCAAUAUGGUCGAUUCAGUUUUUAUCUAUUUGUAGGAAUGCAUUAACUUCAAAUUGCCAAUGUAAGCUUACUCUCCCUAGUAUCCUUCCAUUGGUAGUUGCAAACGUGCAAUACAUUGCUUUGUUUCGAUAUCUUCACAAGAAAUGUGCAGUUAGUCGCUGUAACUACUGGUGCGCCUGUGGGGCGCACCAGCUAGCUAGUGGGGUUACAGGAGAGCAAGAAAGACUUUGCAUUAUUCUACUGGUGAUUAAUUUCUAUACAUUUAUGUCUUCCCUUAAUUAGCUUGCAAUUUUUUCAGGGAUAUGUACAAUAUUGGUAGUAUUACACACUAUUAUCCAUCAUCCCAUUUUUCUUUCUUUCUUUCUUUCUUUUAUCCUCUGGGGACUUCAGUUUAUCUCGUAGUUCGAGGUUUGUGUGCAUGGUGGCAAUUCUCUUAAAGUUUUGCUUGUGAGACAAGAAUUUUGUUUCUGAAAAAAAGUAAGAGCACCAUAUUAAUUGUGUCCAGUGCUGCUGUCUACUUGUGAAAUUAAUCAAACUUAGUUCAGUUCCUGUUUACAGCUGUUGUUACCUUCGUGAUCUGUUCCCUUCUUUCGGUGUGGUAUAAAGAAUUCCAGAAAAUCCCAUUUCUUUUGUUCUCUCUCAUCAUUGGCUUGGUGGCUUUGUCUGCUUAAAGGACAGGGUUCCAGACUUCCAUUUCCUCCCUCCAUCCAUGUCCGCCAGAAUCUUGAUUUUAAAGACCGAAUUAACCUCUCAAAAAAGUGCAUGUGAUGUGAUUAAGUGCCAUUCUUGCAUGGACCCCUCCCUAGUCUCAUGGAUUAGCAACGUUGCUGGGAAGUUGACCUCAGAAUAUCCAAUCCUUCAAUCAAUUUUGGCUUCUCACAUGUAUAAACAAAUGUUUUUGGUGGCUUUGAAACGGUCCAAGAGCCCGAGAAAGUCAGUAGACUCAGUAAUAGUGCAGCUGCAGGCUUGCAGCUCAUGCCAUCAUGAUUGAAACCAGCCACUUUAUUGAUAUUAAAUAAAUUAGCUUCAAAUUCGGAUAUAUGCAUAGAUUGUUGUUCUAGUCACAUAAUUCAGAUUAUAAAUGCUACUCUUCACUUGAUCUUAGCCAAAAAUGCCGAGAAAGGUACUUGUUAAUGCUGCGACAUAUAAACACUGCAGUUACAGUUUUCAGCUGAAUACCUGGUCCAAGCUCCUAAGCUUUAACUUGGAGUUUGAAAUCAAUUGGUAUGAAUAAAGGUGAGAAAACAGGUUAGGCAGAGAGUAGAAGAAAAAAAAAAUCUGGGACCAUAAGUUACUCGUGUGUGUGUGUGUGUGUUAAUGAUGAUGCUCUAUUCACCCAAGAAAUUCCACUUCCUUUUCUUAUUCAGAUGAAGAUCCAACAUGUGAUUCAAGGUCUCGUUUUAAAAGGGACAAAAAUAUAGGAAAAACAGUAGUGAGAGGUCGAACAAAUUGACACUUAUUUUUACAGCAAAUUCAUAAAAGUGUCUAAAAAAAGUAUUUCGGCUUGUGUCAAUGAGCACCGAAAAUCAAGAAAUGCGUAGCUUCUUCAAAGUAAAAAUGAUAUUUCCUAAUGAUCGGCUCUUGCAGCAAGGGAUGAUUGGUUUUCAUUACGUAACAUCUAAUGAUUCAAUCAAAUGGUUACACCAAUUCAUUGAUCAGGCCCAAUUCACUUCUCAUGCAUGUGUUUUUUGACCCUAAGUGCUCAAAGAGAUUCUUACAAAUCGUCUGUCUGUCGAUAACGGUGUUCACAUCGGCACUGAGAUUUCGAAUACACGAUUUUUUGUGAGAAAGUGACAUGUUCCUAUCAAUUGAACCAAACCUGCGUCGUCGAAACCUGUGUCGACAGCUGCAUUUUUUCUCUUAGCAGUAUUACCAUGGAUAUCUAAAGGACAAAUAAUCUUUCUUUCUCCACAAUCCCCGUACCCCGCUGAUGAAGGGCAAAUUAAUAUCCCCAUUCAGCGCCAGAGUCACAUUCUGAUCUUCUUCUUUACUUUUUACGUGAAAUGGCCACCCCGAAUUUACUCAUGAGCAGCAGAAUAUUAUCGUCAUUUCUGGCCCGUAAUUAAUCUCCUUUUAUCUUGAAUAAACCAGUUGGUUGGAUUGGGAAUUUAUUGCAGAAUUUCUAUCCGGAGUACAAAUCCUGAAAUUUGAUUGCGGAUAGAAUUUAAUUGUUUCACAUAAUUUAAACCAUUUCUCCUACUCCUCACUCGGCAAUUUAUGCCUUUGGUUGGAGCCUAGAGGCGACACCAACUUUGAGUUUGCGGCAUCAAAGCCGCGAGUCCCUGUCCCAGCUCUUCAUUGUCAGACCUACAUACAUAUGUAUGUAUUUUGUGUGUUUGUUUAGACCAAGACCCACCUCGUACAGAUACCAAACCUAUCUCGUGGUACUUUAAAAUUCUGGAUCAAAGAUUAGGAACUUUUAACUACUCCCUGCCGCGAACGACGAUGGAUUGAGCAUUUCGGUUUUCCAAAGGUGUAAAUGUUUUAUUUAUUACACUUCUUGAAUAUAGGUGCCCUGUUGAAUAGAUAAGAGUUAAAGCAUCGUUUGUUCGAAUUUCACUAUCAAUACGAGGAUUAUGUUGACGGAUAUUCUAUAAGCAUCCGUGUAAGUUAUUCUCGGGACAUAUUGCGAAUCUGUAAUAGGAACUGAAAUAAAAAAACCACCCAAACGUCCUCAAAUUUCAUACAACAAAAACGUCUACACAAUUGUACUUUAUUAAGUAGUUUUACAAAGUUUCACCGAAUCAAUAAUAUGGUUAACUAAACUAAAGUAUGAAAUCACACGAUAAUGUUUUCAACAUUAAGCAAUGGCAAUGGGAUUACUGUAUUAAUAUUGUUGACGUACUUAUUCAUUUAAUCUCAUAUUUAAAAAAUAAAAUAAAAAAAAGGGGGCACGGGAUCUUUGCAGGACAAGGAAACAAAUGUCGUGAAGCUUUCCGAAAGUAACAAUUUUGAGUUUCGAAUUUUCACCAGUGCAUAUUGCAAUCUGAGAAUUUCCAACUUGAGUUUCUCUCUUGUCUGCCUUUUUUAUGGUUCUGUUACUAAAAUAAACAGCAAUCCCUCUAGAUUGUAUAAAGAAUUUGGGGUGGAAACCUAUUUGCAAAAUCAAAGGAUCAUGUCAUAGAUUUUGUAAAAUUUCUAAAGAAAUCCGGUAUAUGCAUACUAUCUAAACUACGUACCUAGUCUGUGGACUUUGAAUCUUGGUCCCCGCACGAACCAAUGGGCAGUUCGGUUUAGCAAUUUUCAUCAUCAUUGAUGACUGAUGACCAUACUAGUAGUUUCCCACGGAAAUUCUUAGUUGCCUGUGAAUUUUAGCCUGCAAAUAAUCCUGAAGUUGUUGAAUGACCCCCUUGCAAAUAAUUAUAUCAAUUUAAAGACAUUUCUAGUCUGCAAAUAAUCCUCAGUUAUUGAAUGGCCCUCUUGCUGAAUUGAUUUGUUCACUUUCGUGUGUAUAACUAUACAAUGUAUAAAGUAUCAUACGAUAGCCAAAGUCUAUGCACAAUUGAUUCAAAUAACAUUUUUAGGUAAUUUGUGUUUGGAUUGCAUUUUUCAUGAUUUUUCAUGAAAAAAAUACUGUAGCUAUUUGAUGUAUGUGAGGGAAAAAGGUAAUAGAGAAAUGUGAUCACAGAAAACGACGUAAUUUUUUGACGAAAAACAGCAAUCCAAACAAGACUGGCAUAAGAAUUAGUGACUAUUGCGCUUCUUAUAUCAUCAUUACUAAUACAAGGUUUUAAAUUCUAAACUCAAAGAAAUCGUAAAAUAAGACAUACCGGUUAUGAUUAAUAGACUUUAAAUUAACUAAUUAGUCUUCAUCCAAUUUGGGCAUUCACAGUUUAAUUUGCUAAUUUGGGCUUCCCAAGGAAUCAACAGCUUUCCUAUGCGUCUAAUAAUGACUCGAUUCGGAUGGUCCAAAAUGGAUUACAAAGUAUAUGGGUUAACUAGAGACCUAAAAUGGGCUGAACCCUUGUCUUCCAUCAAAUUGUCACUGUAUAUAUGGCUGUCUUAAGUAACUUUUUCCAAUGGGGUUUCUACUCCUAUCAACUCCCCCUCCUCCUAGAUUAGGUUAUACCUAAAAUGGGACGUUUAAAACUAAAAGAACAUGAAAGAAAAUGAAAAAUUACCCAAGGGCCGUUUGGUAAUAAAACUACUGCUGGUCAACUUCAGUUGUGCCACUCAGUCAAAAUUUGGCAAAUUGCAGAAAAGAACAAUCAAACAAACGGCUGAAAGGUUGGACCUUCGAUGUUCAACAUCCACAAAUCAUUUCUUUCUUUUUUUAACAUACGACAAAUCAUAAUCUCCUAAAAUCUCCUUUUGUUAUAAUUUGGAUUCACAUGAUGCAUCAAAAAAUCUAGUUCAAAAAAAAAAAAAAAAAGAUUCCUUCAAUUAUAUUCCGAAAGCGUGAGGUAAAAAAUUCCCAUGCUUCAAGUUCUAAGCCAUCUAAAACCAAAUCCUUAGCCAAAUAAAACCAAGUCUACCGAGUAAAUAAAACUAAUUUUGUAAAAAGAAAAACUAAGUACUUCUGCUAAAACUAAACUAAACCAAGUAAUUAGCCUUAGCUCCAUAAUCCACUCAGAAUUUUGUGAACAAAACCUUGACAUCUUCUCCAUAAAUCUUUUCAACCUUUCCCAUAGAGCUGUAGUAAUUCUAAUUCCCCACAGGUAAAGUGAACUCAACAAAACUUCUAACUCAUUUUGGAAUAAUCUCAACGUUGUCAUCAACUCUUUCUUGAUUUCUACUAAGAAGUCGCCUCAUCAAUUAUCGUCACCUCUUUCUGAGCAAUCAAUGCACGCCACAAAUUCAGGCUUAAUCUUUGAUAUAUUUGUCAGCUGCAAUCCGAUUUUCUUCACUUCUGGGAAACCCGUUUAUGAGAAACUUCUUGGUUUGGCGUUCCUCUUAAAUCUUAAUAAACUAUGGCACUUACGUAACCAAAGCAUAAUAACAGUACUGUAAAAAGGAGUUUCCAGAUAAGGUUUAGAAUUUUGUUCCGCACAAAUAAUUAAAUAAUUAAUUAGGGCGGGAGAGCUUAUUGAUAGACGACAGCAAAAAGGAGCAAACACCUGUCGUUAAAAUUUUCAUAUAUAUAUAUAUCUAGCGAAUCUUGCAUCAAACUAAAUUGCGCGAAAAUCGUUCAAAAAGUUGCUUGCAUUUUGUCAAAUAAAUCUUUUAGUCAUUCACUUUUAAAAUGUUAAUUUUAUGUUUUUUACAAAUUCAAAUUAGCAAAACUUAUUCUCAACCUAAGUUUCCGUGAAAUCACACCACCACUUGCAUGCAGUCAUACGAAAAGGUUUGCUUCUACCUUUUUUUUAAUGAAAAAUGAAUAUGGAUGGAAUCCUACCUCACUUAUUUAGGGGAAAAAAUGAAUAUAGAUCGGGUCAGAUUCUACAUUUUUAGGGAUAAAAAUAGAUAUGAAUCGAGUCUUUAAAAAAAAUUACAAAUGAGAUCUAACCUUUUUUCCUAAAAAAGGAUCAUAUAUGGGUUAUGUGAUAAAUUUAGGAUAAAAUGUGGUCGAAAAUUUAGAUUGGAAUCAAAUUUUACUAAUUAAAUUUGUAAUAGACGUAAAAUUAUUAUUUUAAAAGCAAAUAAUAAAAAAAUUGUUUGACAAAAUGUGAUGGACGUUCUGGAUGAUUUUUCUUUAAAUUGUCUAAACAUGUCUCUGUAACUUGCUUGGACCUACACAAAUUAAAAAGAAAAAAAAAAACAGAAAGAAACAAACAUCUAGACCUCACGAGGUCCAUGCUUUUAGAUUGGAUUCAAUUACGCCACCUAAUAUUCUGCUGUGAUAAGAAUAGGAUUUGGUUGGUUCUUUCUUCAACUUUAUUGAAAAUGAAGUAAAUAAACUAUUUAGGUUGAAGUUUCAAUGAAAGCCGUUCAUAUUUGACCAACCAAAUUAAAUUCUUUGUGCUUCAAAGUUCAAGCUAUCCAGAGAUAAUUAAUGUCAUAGGUUUGGUGAGAUAUAGAAAAUUUAACAGUAUGGCAACUUGUCUAUGUAUGUAUACUAGUUGAGCUACGAUGUGCCACGCAUAGUAACUGCUCACUGAAAAGUAUUCAAUGUACCAAUUAAUUAAGUAAUAUAUUCGUGAUAGUUGUACUCAUAUUUUUUUGGAAAAAAUAACAAAAUGUAUAAAUGUUUUCAUAAUUUAGAGAUGACAACGUAAUUGGUGUUUAAUAAUAAAACGAAAAAUGUGCAUAUUUUUUUCACGAAAAACUAAUUUUUUUGUCACCUUUUAGUAGUAUAAAAGAAAAUGUGCAUGGUUGUUUAAAAAAUAUACCAGUUUUGUUAAACUCUCAAGAAGUAUUCGUUUUAAACUCUUUAUUUUUUUAUAGCAUAGAAACCAUUCAAUUAUAUAUGAAAAAUAGUUUUUAUUUCUGUUAGUUUGGAAUAGUAUAGUCCUUUUAUUUUUUUGCAUGAUGUUGCACUAUUGAAUUAUAUUGUGAAGAAAACAAAUAAUUAGAGGACUGAAAGCUCAUUGUCUAGAGAUUUUCUUGACUCACCUUGCGGACAUCAUAUGAUAGAAAUCUCUUUAAUUUUCAUCUCAAAUAAGCUUGCCACCUAUAUAUCUAAAAAUUAGGGACAAUAUCUAAAAAAUAAUGGUCAAAGGUUUUAAACUCUAGCAAAUUACAUCACAAAGUUAACAAUCUAUCGGUAACUAAGAGGAGAACAAUUGAUAAAUUCAAAUCCAACAGCUCAAAAUUGACAAUAAAAAAGUAUUCAUUUAAUAAAACAAAAUAAAAAUAAAAGAGUUUUGUUUCUCUUAUACUUUUUUUUUUCAGAGCCACAGUAUAAGUUUUGAUAGAUUUUUUUUCCUUCUAAAUCCCAAACAAAUAGAAAAACCUAAAAUACAAAUUCAAACGCAUGAUAUAGUUAUAUUUACUUUCUAAAUAAAUAAGCUUGCAUUUACAUUUAUAGUUUGUAGGCUUUUUUUUUAUUUUAAUACUAUAAAACAGAUUGUCUAGAUUGUUUUUCUUUUUUUCUUUUUUCAUAGCAAGUGGCUGGAUUGCCCUUUUCUUACCAUACCGAUUCUUAUAAUGGCAGAACAAAGGUCAAUGCAGCAAAAGAAAUGCAAACUUCACCUCCCAUUAUGCUAUAUGGAAGUACCUGAAGGAGCUACCGUAGAACCAACUGGUUCUUAUAUUAUAGUUAGAUAGUUAGAUAUGCUGGAUGUGAAUGCAUUAGUUGAUUUGAGAGGUAAUUUAGGCUAAUUUUUAGGCACCUGUUGUUUGGAAACAUUUUAUAGGUGUAGAACGAUAAUGACUCUAGUGCUACGCAUUACUGACAUUCAUAUUUCUAAACCCAUCUUUCCCUAUACUCGAAUACACUUAUGAGGUUUGUGGGGGGUCUUUAUCCCUUAGUAGCAGCAGCCUUACAGGCUUCCCUAUUCUUUCUAUCCCACAUCGUUCUUGGGGGUUACGGGUUGGGUAGUUAAGUUCCCAGGUUUGCUUCAAAAGUUGCCGGCUUUUGAGAUUAAAUUUGAAAUUAGGUUUAAUUAAACAAUUUCUUACUUCUGUAAGAAAAGGAAAAAAGAAUACACUUGAAUUUUCAUGUGAAUUUCAAUAUUCUAUUCAACAACUGGAGGGGGGGAAAAGGAUCCAUCAUAACUACAGUACGAAGGACAGUAAUUUUUCUUGCCCCAAUCAAAUACGGAUGGGGAACAGCUAAACUCAUUCUUGCUGAUACAUGAAAUUUCCUUCUCAUUUUCUGGUUGCAGAAAUGAAGUACCGGUCAGAAUUCCAAGCUUGAUGUUGUCUGUGGAUAUCCACAGAGAGAAAUUUUAUGGAGGCAUAAUCGAUUCAGGAUCAAUAGAUAAACUCUACGUAGAUACAUAAGAACUUAGCUUGCUAAUUCACAAAGUUAAGUGAAGUCCAUUUGGCAUGUUAAAUGAAAUCAAGUGUUAAUUGAUUCGAGACCAGCUACCUAGUAAUUGUUUGGGAUUGACAUAAAAUUUUUUCCAAGCAUGAUCUUAUAGUGCCAGUUUCCUUUUACAUCCUCGCCUUUGGGAAGCUUGGAUACUUCUACAAAAAGAUCUGUGCGUGAGUUUAAAUCAAAAAAAAAAAAAAAGGGAGCAGUCCAGUGAGGUAACAACACAUGCCAGGUCUGGUCUAAUAAUAAUAUAUAUUCCCACUAGUACACUAAACGAUAAAUGCCCGCAAAUGUAGACAAAUUGUAAUUUAUCCAAAUCCCAUAAAAUUACGAUAAAAUACAACAAUAGAAAUACCGUAUAUAUAUUCUUAACAUUACAGUAAAAAAACCGUCCCCAGCUAAAGCAAAAACCAUAAAUUUUUAUAAUUUUAAAUUAUAAGGAAAAUUUAAAUACAAUGCCAAAUUUGGCCUUGGUAGGUUGUCGUUGAGAAUUGGAGAUUUGAGACUAGAAAGCAGAGAGACUUUCCUCUGGUGCGCGAAAUCGAGAGUUUGUCUUCUCUAUUAUUCACGUACACCCUGUUCCUCUCUCUCUCUCAUCGUUAUUUUUUUUUAUUUCUCUCUUUCUCUCUCUUUCUGUGUAUACUUAUAUUUAGGGGACUUGUAUAGUUUUAUGUCUAAUGUGCAUCGGCAAGGGAUUUUGCAGCUCGAUCUGUAAGUUGUUUUAAUCAAUUUUUUUUGCACGAAUUUUCGGUUGAAUUUUUUCAUCUCAUGCAUUGAAUUACAGCAGAAAUUUGGGGUGAAUUUGAAAGCCCUAGAUCUUACUUGAUUCGCAGUUUGAUUGGAUCGAGUAGGGCGAUUUUGGUUUGACGAAGUGGGUUUUGUAAUUGGAUCUGGAAAAAUUACUAGCUACAAUUUGAUAGGGUUUUAAUUUUGGUAGCGGUGAAUUUCUUUUUAUUGUUUUAGUGAGAAGUAUUCUCUACGGUUUGAGUUGAUGGCUUCGAAUCCUCCAUUCCAAGUGGAGGAUCAGACUGAUGAGGAUUUCUUUGAUAAGUUGGUGAACGAUGAUGACGAUGACGUUGAUCUUAAGGUCACUGCCACGUCAUCGUUGGCUUCCACGGCCUCAGGGCCUGUUUUCACAGAUGGGGAUGAGUCUGACGAGGUUAAGGGCUUUGCGAAUUUGAGUCUAAAUGAGGCAGAUGAUAGUGAUAAGAAUGAUAAAAAGAUGGGAAUAGAUGAUUUGGGUGGGAAAUUAGAGAUUGAGCCGAAUGGCGUGGUUAAUGAAGUUGUUGAGAUUGAUGCUAAAGGGGUCGUAGCGGUGGAGGGUGUAGUGGAGGAGAGUAAUGGUGUUUUGGAAUCAUCGAGUUCAUUUGAGUUUGCAGGUGUAGUUGAGGAAAAUAAUGAAAAUGUAGGUACUGAGGUUUUGUCUGAUGCGACCACCUCUAGUAAGAGUGGCGGAUCUGGAGCUUUGGGUGUGAAGGAGGUGCAAUGGAGUGCCUUUAAUACCAAACAGGCUCAGAAUGAUAGUAAUGGGUUUGGAUCCUACUCAGAUUUUUUCACCGAGUUGGGAGAGAAUGCUGGCGAUUCAAGUGCCAAUAUGGUGAACAAUUUUGAUAAUGAGAUAAAGGGUAUAUCUGCCAAUGAAAAACAUGAAUCUGCAUAUUUGGAUAGCUCAAAUUAUGGGGAUUUUCAAGAUAGUUAUAAUUAUGGUACAGCUGCACAUAAAAGUAUAGAGGGGCAGGAUCUAAAUAGCAGUCAAUACUGGGAAAACCAAUAUCCUGGGUGGAAGUUUGAUCCAACUACUGGUCAGUGGUAUCAGGUGGAUGGCUACAGUGCGGGUGUAAAUAUGCAGGGAACUGCAGACUCUAACCCAGCUGGUGAUUGGACUGCUUUUGAUGGAAAGGCUGAGGUUUCUUACUUGCAGAACACUGCUCAGUCUGUUGCUGGAACGGUAGCUGAGAGUGGUACGACUGAGAGCGUCACUAACUGGAAUCAAACAUCAUAUCUCAAUGAUGCUACUGGGGCUGAAUCAAAUUGGAAUCAGGUGUCUCACGUGAGCAGUACGGGUGGAACUACAUCAGAGUGGAAUCAAGGAUCACAAGUAAAAAACGAGUACCCAUCACAUAUGGUGUUUGAUCCUCAAUACCCUGGUUGGUACUAUGAUACAAAUGCCCAAGAGUGGCGAUUGUUGGAUGCAUAUGUUUCAUCUUCUCAAUCAACUACUGGAGCUCAAGAUCAGCAUAAGCAGAAUGUGUCUAUGACAGAUACUCUCUCUCAGUACGACGAUCAGAAGACAUUUGAUACAUAUAAACAGAAUGUCUCUAUGACAGAUACUUUCUCUCAGUAUGACAAUCAGAAGACAUUUGAUACAUAUAAGCAAAACCUGAAUUAUACUUCAGAAGGAUUUGCUGCCCAAAGCCAAGAUUACAACUGGGCUGGAUCAUUUGGUCAUUUCAACCAUCAAAAUUCAAAUAUGUGGCAGCAUGGAACUGCUGUUAAUCCUGAAUCCAGUACAGGUUAUGGGCAAAACCAACAAUUGAAGAACCAUUAUGGCGCAAAUGUUUUGGGAAACAACCGUGUUAAUCAACAGAACUCUAGCAAUUAUGGGGGAACAAUUCCUUAUCAUGAGAGAGGAAGUCAAAGUCAGAAAGAGUUUUCAGCAGUUGGUGGCUCAAAAAACUUUGGUCAUGCGCCUAAUUUUAGUCAGCAAUUUUAUCAGCCAAGUAUUGAGCAAAGUGAACAGAAGCAUGUCUCUGAUGAGUAUUUUGCCAAUCAGAAUUCAGUUAAUUUCCCCCAGCAACAGUUUAACGGUACCCAUCAAUUCUCUUAUGCUCCGACUGCUGGAAGGUCAUCUGCUGGCCGUCCUCCACAUGCAUUGGUUACUUUUGGUUUUGGCGGGAAACUUAUUGUGACAAAAGGAACUGAUUCUAUUGGAGGCUCAUCUUAUGGAAGCCAGGUUAGCUGCAUAAAAGUUUUUUUUUUGAAUUCCUGUUGAUUGAUGAUGCUUUCUCUGAUACCAAAGUUUUUUGUGUAUUCUCUUUAAAGAAUCCUGUAGGAAGCUCCAUAUCCAUUCUUAACUUGAUGGAAGUAGUAAAUGAGAAAGAUGGUGCUUCAGCCCGUGGAUUUGGUGUUUCUGAUUACUUUCGUUCUCUCUGUCAACACUCCAUCUCUGGUCCACUUCAUGGUGGGGGUGGUGGUAUCAAGGAGUUAAACAAAUGGAUUGAUGAGAGAGUUGGGAUCUCUGAUGCUUCUGAUUUGGACUCCAAAAAAGGGGAAGCUUUGAGGCUGCUUCUGUCUUUGCUAAAGAUUGCCUGUCAGCAUUAUGGAAAACUACGUUCUCCUUUUGGUGCCGAUACAUUGUCAAAGGUAAAACUUGAUUUUGAUUUGUUACAAAGUAUUUAAUAUUGAUUGAAUUUGUGGGAAAAGAAUCAUUACAUUUCGAUGUCUGUUGACUAUAAUAUUUCAUGAAAUGUGGUUGGUGGACUACUGCUAGUUUUGUUUCAAUUGCUUUUUGUGGUGAAACUUCUUUGGACCGAGCAGAAACCUGUGUUUUCGGUUUCUCUGAACUGUUUAACGAAUAAAAUCCUGAGUUGGAGUUGUCAAAAUAAUGGAUAAUAAUUUGUGAUAAGAUUGAGGAAAAAAGUCUGAAUUUAGAUGUUUAUUGAAUGUCUCAAAAGGGGCAGGGGUUGAAAAAGAUAAAGUAUCUACUUUCAAAAGUCAAAGAUGUUAUUACAUCCUGGUCUGGUGGUAAAGGGUGAAUGUUGGAAGAAUAGGGGUACUUGGCUUUGAGUUAUCUGCAAAGAAUAUGAUAUUGGGCGCCAUUUUGUGACUGUUUUAGGUUUUAUCAGUUAGGCAACUAGUUCAUGGUAAGCACAAUGUACUUGGACGGUGGGAAGCCACCAUGUUUUUUCCUCUCAAAAUCAUUGCUUAUUCAAUUCUUUCCUCCUACCCCCAACUUUCAGUGGCUUUAUUUCCUUGCUUACAGUUUUGAAGCCAAUCAGGUUGAUUUUCCUGGAAGUAUGAGUUUUCUGUUUUAGUUUUAGUUUUUUUUUUCUCCCUCCUUUGAUCUCCGAUAUUUUGGGGUAUGCCUUCUCUUUCAUUGCUGGUGAUUGUAGGACUUAUAGCUGCCUUUGGUUUCAAUUUGGGCCACCUCAUCCCUUUACGUCAUGCUCUAGAGCCUCUUUAAUAAUGCUCAUGUUGUUUUUCAAGAAACACAGUUUGGGCAUAUUCAGCUGCUGUCUUUGAAAAUAUUUCAAUCCCUUUUUUUGAUGUUAUUAACUUAUCUUCGCUAAUCUCGGAGAUUAUGCAUAGGACAUAUCUUUAUCUGUUGUGUUUCAGAAGUUUAUGUGAAGGUUUCUUCAAUGGAAAACAAUCAUAUUGUCUUUUACCUGUACCAAACAGUAUUGAUGACCAUGGAAUGUUCUCGUCUUUUCUUUCUGGAUUUUUAUUGUGUGGGUGAUGGUUGGUUGUGAUUCAGUGCACCGAUUAGAUGUUAAAACUUAAAAUGAGAAUCCUUGAGAUUGACAAGGCAACUAUUUGUUGGCUCCUUUAGCUCUAGCUGAUUAAUCUCCUGGGAGCCUUGUGGGGAUUGCUGUUUCUCUUAUAGUUAAUAAAGUUGUCUAUGAGAAUUGGUCCUGUGCCUUUUUGCUACAUUAGUGUCAUCUUGAGAUUUACGUGGCUUCUCUGGCUCUUUUGGCUUUUGAAAUUAACAGGAGAAUGAUACUCCAGAAGCAGCAGUUGCAAACCUUUUUGCAUCUGCCAAAAAGCUCGGUGCUCAAUUCAGUAAUUAUGGUGCGAUUGCCCAUUGCUUGCAAAAUUUGCCUUCCGAAGGGCAAAUGCGGGUAUGUGUGUGGUACCUUGUGGUUGUGAUUAUUACUUAUCCAAAGCACUUAUAGAUCACAAUAUUUGUUUAGCCCACUGCUUCUGAGGUUCAAAGUCUCUUGGUUUCUGGGAGAAAAAAAGAGGCCCUGCAUUGAUAUCUCAGAGUAUAGGAAUAUGAAAGUACAUAUAUUAUACGCACUACAAAAGACAGUCGUCGUACACAGGUGCACCUUUUUUUUUUCUGGGUUCUAAUCCACGAAUCCCUAUCCUUAACGCGAGGAAUUGAGGGCCAGCAAAGGUCUGGUGUCUGGGGAGCAAAAAGGCAGACAAAUGAUACAUGCCCACAUGGAAUUUUAUUAUAAUAUAGUCAAUCACAAUUCAAAGGCACUUGCAAUUUCUUGGCCUGCAGACAAUGUGUUUAGUAACCCUAAUAAUAUGGCCACACAUUUCACAUGCAAUGCAUCAGUGCGCAUGGCUUGACUUGCUUCCUCCUGAAAUUUGCAGAAAUCUUAGUGACACCAUUGCUUAUCAUUCUUUAAAGCUAAUCAAGAGACUGCACAAGUAAAAUAUUCAACACUUCGGGGAAAAAAUUCCAAUUGGACAAAUGUUCCACAACUGUUAAAAGUGAGAGCUAAAUGAGUUAAACUAAGAAGUGAAGAGAAACUAAUGCCUUCCUCACAUAUAGCCUAUACGGGAUAUUGCAUGAACAAUCUAUUAAGAAUAGCCAUUCAACUUAAUUAAUUUCCUCAAUGGUUUUUUCUACCAUAACCCCACUAGCCCUCGAUCUUGCCCUAGCAAGCCAGCGUUCAACAUGAGAGAGAGAGAGAGAGAGACUUAUGAGCCCAUGAAAGCACGCUCACUUAUUGUGUCUGCUGUGAAAUUGGCAUUGCUUGAAAGGUACUUUCAAGCAUGAAUUCAAGCCAAGUAAAAAUGAUGUUACAGGUCAAACAAGAAAGAUAAUUCUUGUUUCUCACUUUCAUUGCAUAAUAAUGAACAAAACAACUACAAGUCUCUUUUUCCAAGUAUUAAAAGCCAACUCGAUCAAAUUUUGUCUACCUUAGCUAGUUCCCUGAUUCUUGACCUUACAGAAUCUCCAACUCUUUCCUUUCAAACUCAAAACACCACGAGAGACUACUUUUCGGGUAGUUUAGGCCUUUUUUUUUUUUUUUUUUUGACGUUUUGAGGAGGAAAACUUUGAACAACUGAUUUUUUUAGUCCUUUUUUGAUGGGCUGAAAGGAUUGAGUUUGUGUUUGAGUUUCAGUGCAGAGAUGAAUUUCCAGUCAUGGUAGCUUAGUACGAUGCUCAGGAUGGAAACCUGACUUUUUGACUAACUGAAUAUCAUGCAUAUGUUUCUCUCAAUCAACUUAUGGUAAUGAGUAUAUUUGUUCCUCGUUUUGUUUAAGGGAAUGGCAGGCAGAACAUUCCACAAACGCUUGAAAGAUCAAGAGAAUUUGAACCCCUGAGUUCGAAGGAAACGCAAUUAAUCCCACAAGACACCAUUCACUUGCCUGAUUUCCAGUUCAAUUAGCUCCAAAAGUAACCGAAAACUAAUAGUACUAAACACUAUUUAGACCUAAUUAAGCAUCAGAUUUAGUGUAGUUAAGACAAGGUAAGCUCCUAAGUGAAAUCGUUUGAAAAGCCAACGUAAGUACACAUUCUUAUCAGUAAUCUGUCUCUAGGUGAUGCCAAGUUGUUGGAUAAACAGCAAAGGAACCUAUCUUGCUAGACCUCACCAGAUAGUUUGCAUUUUGCAAAUUAGGUGUGAUCAAUUUUGAGAUAGAUUGUUAGAACUUGAUUUGACCAAUAAGAUGUGUUGAUUGCCUGUAGUUCUACAACUGAGACCGUGAGUUUAUUCCACAAGUAUGUCCACCCCCCCUCCCCCACACAACAAGCCCACAUAUAAGAAGUUAAAGAACGCAAUUCUUGAUGGACUUGUUCCCUGGGUAAAAAGUAAAUACUGGGAGGAUAAUAAUACUGCGAGACACAGACUGAGGAUAACAUCAUAUACUUACAUGAUUGAUUUAUUUCUCUAAUCUUGUUGCAAAGCUUCCAAUACAAAUUGAUAAAGGGUUGAGGGUCUGUUUGCAAACAAGUUUUUGGCGUUUGUCUUUUACAAGUUUUUUAACAACUUUAACUACAAUAAUCUCAAAAAACUCCUCAAAAUUUUUAAACUAUAUACUUCAAAAUAGUCAAAAUUUUUUCAAAGUUUUAGAUAAAUAUCCAAAAAACUCAUUUGUCAAACGGGAUCUGAGUUUAUACUUCUGGUCAUGGCCACUGGUUUAAUAUAUUUAAACCAUCAUUUUCUUAUUGCCACUGGUUUAACAUAUUUAAACCUUUGAGAGAUCAAUGAUUCAAAUCUUAUCUUCCACCAAAUGUCACAAUAUGUGGCUUCUCUAAAAAAAUCUAUAUGAGUGCGUAGUACACCUGUCUGAUCCAAUAGUAAUUCAGUUUCCAUUGAUUCCCUAUAGACUCAGUUGGACCUCCCCGUAGUUAGGAUAGAAUAGGAUAAUAUAUAUAAAGUCCCCUUAGAUGUCCCUAUUGGUCCCCCGUAAACACAAUUGAGCCUUCUCUUAGAUUAGUAUAAAGUAGGAUGAUGUAAAUAAAAUUCCCUUAGAUUAGGAUAAAGUAGGAUAAUAUAGAUAAUGUGACGACGACAAAAGAAAAAACCAUCAUUUUCACUUGAGCAUAGGCCUCUCAAAUUAAGAUAAAAUAGGAUAAUAUAGAUAAAAUCCCCUUAAAUUAGGAUAGAACGGGAUAAUACGGAUAAAGUGCGGAUGAAAAAAAAACAUCAUUUUCACUUGAGCAUCGGCAUAGACUUCUGCUUUUCUCUAAGCUUUGAACAGCUUCUGAGACCAUGACUUUGUCGGCUUGCCUUUUUAACACUUCUAUCCGACAGUAUCGAUGGAAUAUUCUCUCUAAUUUUCAUCUUCAUACGCCGUAAGUUUAGCUUCAUUGUUGGGGCCAGCAUAACAUUUUUUUAAUUGAAAAAAAGGAAAAUCGUCCAAAACGUCUUUUACUAAAAUAAUUUUUUUGUCCUUCACUUUUAAAAGUGUAAUUUUAUAUCCCUUACAUAUUCACAUCGAUCAAAUUUAGUCCCUAACUAGAUUUUCGAUCAUUUUUUAGUCGGAAUCCAUCACGUGCAAGGCACGUAAUCAUUUUUGAAGGGUAAAUUUGUCAAAUUAUAUUUUACAUAAUUUAAUCUAUAGUCCUACAUUUUAUAAAACAAAAUUUUUCGUCCCUCAUAUUUUAUAAAAUAAUUUUUUCAUCCCUCACAUUUCACAAAAUGAAUUUCUCCAUUCCUCACAUUUUCAAAAAAUGAAUAUUUUCAUCCCUCAUUAAUUAUGUGUGUAAGGGAAACCCUAAAAAAUAUAUAUAUAUAUAUAUAUAUGUGUGUGUGUGUGUGUGAAUACAUUUUAUUUAAACACAUAUAUAUGUCUAUUUGAUUUUGCUUUAAUAAUACAAAUAGAAUAAAUAUAUGUAUAUGUCUAUUUGAUUUCACUUAACAAUAUGAAUACCAUAUAUUAUACGUGAUCAUUUGAUUUUAUCUGAUAUUAGCUAGUAAAAAAUCUUGCAUUCAUUGUCAAGUUGGUCAAUAAAGUUAUUUUCGGUCAAAAUACAAUAAGAAUAUGCAAAUUAAGGUUCUAUUGGUAAAUAUUAGUCAUAAUCAUACAAAAAGAGAAGAUAGCCCACAAAUUGGGCCCAAUUACAUACAUGUGUUUAUGCUAUUAUUAUUAAAUAAAAUCAAAUAGACAUAUACAUGUGUUUAAAAAAAAUGUAUUCACACACAUAAUUAGUGAGAAAUAAAAAAAUUCAUUUUUUGAAAUGUGAGGGAUGGAGAAAUUCAUUUUGUGAAAUGUGUGGGAUGAAAAAAAUUAUUUUAUAAAAUGUGAGGGACGAAAAAAAAUUUAUUUUAUAAAAUGUGGAGGACUAUAGAUCAAAUUAUGUAAAAUAUAAUUUGAUAAAUUCAAAUUAAUCCAAAAUUUUUAGCAAGAAAGCCUAAUGAAAUUUUCUCCAUAACUAUAAUUAAAAACUCAUUACCAAAUAACUUAUUGAAGGAAAAAUCUAGUACUGCAUAACUUUGUACUAUAAGUAGUUAAUUUUUGGCAUGGCAUGGCAUGGCCUGUGCUCAAAUUUUCAGUAUAUAGAAGUAUGUGUAUGUGUAGUGGCGGUGUGGUUGAGAGGCGGCGGGGUAGCACCACAAGUGGUAGAAACAGUCUCUCCACCACUUAAAAACGACACCCUCCACUUGUCAGACACUGGCUAUCACUCUACUCCGCUCCUCUACUCUUAACUAACUUCACUCUCUUCUCAUCCACAACCAACUAACUUCGACUAAAAACUAGGACUUCCGUCACUUUACUACACAACACCACACAACCUUCACUCUUGUCUGGUCUCACCCACAAUCCAUGCCACUUUUUAUGUUGUCAUGUUUAUCUUUAUCUUAAACUGUGUAAAAAGCGCAGGAAGCAGCACCAGCUUAUAUAUAUUUUACUGCUGCCACUGCUACGUACAACCAUUUCAAGUACUCUUGCAUUCUUAACUCGCCACCAAUUGUACUGAAAAACACACUCACUAGAAGUCCUAAUCUCUCCCCAAAAAACAAAAAAAAAAAGAAAGGAAAAAAGUGCUAACAAUGGGAAUGGCGGAAGAUCAUGUUGGACAAUUGCAAGAACCAACUUUCAAGCACUUUUGCAGGGUAUGCAAAAGAGGGUUUGGAUGUGCCGGAGCUCUGGGGGGUCACAUGAGGAGCCAUGCUGUUGGAGAUGUUCGGAUGCAUCAAUCGAGUCGCGAUCAAGAAAUAGGCACCAGCAGCUUCAUGAGAAGCAAUAAGGGGGAAGGAGGAAGCAAGCAUUCGUACUUCCUCCGAACCAAUUCCACCAAUCGAUUCACCGGUGCUUGUCGAGCUGGUGAAGAUCUUCAAGAAUUUAAUAAUAAGAGGACCUUCACCCGCUCUGCUUUCCAUGAUGAACGCGAGAAAUUUUCAUCUUCCGUGUCGUCUUCUGAAUCUGAGGUUGAAGAGAUGAUGCUCAAGUCCGCGCGAGCAAAAUCCAAAAAUUACGAGGACCGGCAUUGUGCCGCCUCCAGCGAAGAAGAGGAUCUCGCGAAUUGUUUGGUGAUGUUGUCAAACGAAUCAUUUGUUCAGUCGGAUAAGGAGCAGGAAAACACGGACAAACACGUGGAAAAAGGUACGUUCCAGUGCAAAGCUUGUAAGAAAGUGUUCAAUUCCCACCAAGCACUGGGGGGACAUAGAGCCAGUCAUAAGAAGGUGAAAGGUUGUUAUGCUGCCAGAUUCAACUGCAGCACCAACCUCAAUGAUCAGGAUAAUGACAAUAAUUACGAAGAUGCCUUCUACCAACACGAGGAACAUUUGGCUCCGUCAGAAAAUUCUUCAGAGCCAGGGCUUGAUCUUGAUUUCUCACCUCAUCAUGAUCACCUUCCAAAAAAUACUACAUUGUCAAAAAGGAAGUCCAAAGCUCAUCAAUGUUCGAUUUGUCAGAGGGUGUUUUCAUCAGGACAAGCCUUAGGUGGGCACAAAAGAUGUCACUGGCUAACCUCAAACUUACCUGAUAAUACUAUCAUACAGAACUUACGUGAGCUCCAAUUUGAUAGCCAACAACUAUUCAAGAAGCCUAUGCUCACAAAACCCGAGCCACUGCCUCUUGAUCUCAAUUUCCCUCCAUUGCUGAACAAUGCGGUUGAUAAUCUGCACAUGAACUCAGCUGAUGAUCCCCUCAAUCACGAAGCCCCAGCUAGAAUUUUUCUCCAACUGUGGGGUAACGAAGAGGCUGACAACAGUACUAGUAAUAAUAAUCAUCAGCAGAACUAUACUACUAAAAGCGUGGUUCGUGGUUCAUUGCAUGAUGAGGACGAAAGUGCUAAAGAAGAUGGUUAUAGAACGGAGCAGACUGCAAAACUGAGUAAUCUGAAAGAUAUGAAUUUGGAUGGAGGGUCUUCUCGGUGGUUACAGGUGGGGAUUGCUUCAACUACUGAUAUCACAGCCACCCCAUGAAGUGAUUGUUAGUGUUAGUAAUUAAUUAGUUAUCUACUUUAAGCAAGACUUGUAAUUAUUACAUGUUCUUCCAUGUUAAACAUAGAUAUAUUUGAUUGUCUCUCUGGUGGAAAUUCAAUUUACAAUUUCAUCAAUUUGUGCUCUAUUUUUUUUCCUACUGCCAAUAUUGAGUCUGCUGCCUUUUUUAAAAACAAAGAAGUGAUAGUAUAUAUUUUGUAGCUAAUGGCAUUACGGAUUUUUUUUUUCUUUUUUUUGUGGUCUUAUCUCUAGGGGGCCUCCCUCCCUACUGUCAUAUCCAGGUUCAAAUCCUGAAUCUGGCAUUUGAGAGUGAAGGGAGGGGUUAAACAAAAAACUUUUGUGUUUUAUGCAGAUACGGAAGAAGAACAUACAAAUAUAUCGAAAAAAAAUGUGGGAAAGAAUGAAGAAGCUAGCAUGUUGUGUAUAUGGAGUCGGCUGUGUUGGCUAAAUGCUGGCAUGAGAAUCACAUAAAAAACUGUUUACCCAAGCUGCGAAGUCAAAGUCAGAUACAAAGUACUAAUAAAACCAUGUGAUUAAUUAGGACAUUUACAAUUGAUCGUUCUUCCAUAAAUUACCCCAUAUGCAUGGAUUAUUUUUUCAAUCAGAGGAAAAUGCAUGGAGCUUGGUGCUUCACUUCUCCUAUCAAUGUAUUGUCUAGAAUUGAAGUGAAAAAGAGCAGUUGCCUGUUAUUACAUGGUGUAAGAAAAAAUGGUUGAUUUUUUUUGUUUUCUCUGCUACUUUUAAUUCAUUGAAAUCGUUAGUACUCAUGUCAUACGUAGCUGGUUCACACCAUUUUGAAAGGCCUCCACCCCAGCCCACCACAAAUAUCAUAUCACAUACGGUACCGGCGGCCAACAGGACAUCAUGCCCUGUGUCUCCAGCCGAUCAUCUUCAACGAAGACCAGCUAAACAUAGAGCCAAAAAUUGUGCUCCUGUUCUAGCUCAUGCAGGGAGUUGAAGGUCCAUCUACAAAGGACCACCCUGUAUCACAUAUUUAUAGCUCCUUCUUUAUGAAUUAAAGGGUGCCGUGAGAUGUUAGUGAUUUGCUGCAACUUUGUCGGUCAUUAUUAGCUCUAAAAGUCUACACUAUAUUACAAGACGGACGCUAUGACAUAGAGUAUGGUUAAGGAUGCUAACAAGUUUGAUCAAAUUGAACACCUAGUAUUUAAGCUUAUUCGAUUGUUUUAAUGAAUUCAAAAUUUUGUUUAAAUUUGGCUUGUUUAUUUGUAAAACCAAAUUUCAAGAGUGAAGUGAAAGCAAUGGUUAACCACUGGGCCAGGCCUCUGGCCCAGUGGCCACCAUCUCUUUGGUGGGGUCCACCAGAAAUACCACGUUUCAGUGGUUUGUCUCCAAAAAUUCAGGCGGAUGUACUGUGUACUCGUCUGGUUCGGUGGUGGUUCAGUCCUUUCCGGUUUAUCCCUGGGCCUACUUAGGUCCGCCUCCUUCCCCUUAGUAUAGGAUAAAUUAGGUUUAUCGUCUCCGAAAAAAAAAAAAAAAGUGAAAGCAAUGGUUAGAAAAGUGCAAACGCAUCCAGAAAUCGAGGAAUGCCUCUGCUGUGGAUGGCAAUGAGUUUCUGAUUUUUAGAUUAAUAUCUCAGACUUUUCCACAAGAUCGAGAUGCUUAUGGGCAUGCUCUUAUUUGUUUGUAGUUUCUUAAAUUAUUGCAAAUAAGUUAUUGGAAUUUUGAAAAAAAAAAAAAGAAGUAAUUUGUAAUAGAAAACUUAAUAAUUUACUCUAUAAAGUCAUAUUCUGAAGGUUUCCUUUUUCCUUCUUCCAAUAUUAAAGUCAUCAAAAUCAAGCAAAGGAUAAAGGUUGGAAAUAUACUUAAUUACUAGUAGAACAUAGUCCCUUGACUUGAUAGGCCUCCUCCGUAACAUUUCGUUGGAAGGAAAAAUUCCGCUGCCAAUUGCAAAUGUCAUUAACAUUUUUCCUUUGAUUUGUAUUAUAUUAUAUGCCUUCAAAUGGACUACUAAUUAGUAAUAUAAAUCAUCUUAAAUUAAAUCUAAAUCUACCGACUAUGACUCAAAGAAUCAGCCGAGGGCUUGCGUGACAAUGAAGGGCGGGGGAGGGGUGAGAAUGGCGCGUGGGAAACAAAGCAUGCGCAAUAACAGGACACGUCCAUGUACUGCAGAUCAUACCUGUUCUUUGUAUCCGUGGCCAUUGGCAUCUUCAACUUUCUCAAAAUUGGCUGCCUAGGAAUGCGUGUAAUCAUGUUUGGGGCAUAUCAACGAGACAGUUCGUAUCUGAUUCGUACAAUUAGUGUCAAUUUUGGUUCAGAAAUUAGCGUCAAAUUUGUUUCGGCGUAGAUUUAUUGAAUCGUUUAUGCCUUGCCUUCUUCAUCUGCGUUCAUGGAGCAUUACAAAUUUACAAAUUGAAGUUCUUGAAGGUUGCAUUUUCAAGUUGACCGUUCCUUAUAUAGAUUAAAGUAGAGUAAGAGUUGACAAUUGACCAAAAAAAAAAAAAAGAAAAAGAAAAAAGGUUCAAGUUCCCUACUAAACAUUAUUGUUGUUGUUAUUAAUCACAAAAGAGAAAAAGCAAAUUAAUGCUUUGAUGUUGUAAAGAGUGCAAUAAAAUUAGUAGCAAAGUUUAUAAUAAUGGUAAAUACUAGAGAAAUAAAAAAGGCUAAUUAAAAAGGUUUCUGUAAGGUAAACAAUGAAAAAAAAAAAAGAAAAGAAAAAUCCAAUCAUUGCAAACGCUCUCUGCAUAGGAAUCCUAUACAAUUUUUUUAUUAUUAUAGGAUCAAUGUUUUUACAUUAUACAAAAAUGCAGCAUCUAUUCUAGGAGUUGUUGAAUAGUUUGAGAAGACAGAAUAAAAAUGAAUUACUUGAGGAGUGACGACAUCCAUCUUCAGGAGAAAUAGGUAUAGAGCAGAUUAUUAUCGAUCGUCGAAAAAAAAUAAAUAAAUGCCCGUCAGCUCGGGGGAAUCAUUCGCUAAAAUUUUCGGUUGGACUUGCCCUGAUGGCGUUGCAGGAGUCGUGAAGCGCCGGGCCGUCAUGGAACUGAUGAGUACCACACUCAUUACUUGAGGAGUGAGGACAUCCAUCCUCAGGAGGAACAGUUAACAACUUACCACUUUUAUAUAUAUAUAGUAGGUGUUACUAUCACAAAGAUCCUAUACUUGUAUAAGACUAGAUUUCAUUAUAGUCUAACAAUUGAUAAAUCUUAUCCUUCUCUAAACAAAUUUACUUAAGAAGAGAACCUAAAUUCUUAGGGCUUGUUUUUUAACUGAUUCUGAUUUUAUAAAAAUUGAUUUUGUAUAAUUAAUUCUUGAAAAUCAUAUUUUUCAUAAUAACUCACGUGUUCUCGUUUAUUAGUUAAAAAAAAAACUAUUUUAAUGAAUGCAUCAGUGUUCUCAAGAAAAGUUAAAAAGUUGUUUUUGACAAAAAUAUUAUCAAUUUACCCUUAUAUGCUACAUAAAUAAAAUUUUUACUAAUUAAUUAAUUUUUAUGUAGAUAAUUACUUUUCUUGUGAAGAUUCAAUGUUGGAUAAGAAAAAAGGAAUUGAGGGAACACAGAUGAACUAAAAGUGGGGCAAAAAUUGGAGAAGAAUAAAGAGACAUGCGACAUAAAAAUUUAUCUAACCUUUGGGUAGUAAUUAUGUUAAAAUUUGAAAGGUAGUUUAGUUGAUGUUUAGCUUUGUUUUAUCCAAAAAUUUGAAAAUUAUGUAUUUAAAAAUCAGUUGAGAACACAACAAAAUAGCGUUUCGAAAAUCAAAAACUAUAAUCAAGUUUCUAAAAUGAGUUUAGAUCGGAUCAUAUUUUUGUCGUCUACUCUAAAGACGUUUGUGCCCGAAAAUAUAACAUUUGAUCAAAGUGAAGAAAACUAUGGCCCCGUUUGACAAGUGAAUUUUUUGGAUGUUUAUUUAAAACUUUACUGUAACUUAUUGUAGAAGUUGUAGAAAAAAUUUUUAAAGUGUGCAAGUUUUUGGAUAUUUUGAAGUGUAUAGUUUAAAAACUUUGUGAAGUUUUUUGAGGUUAUUAUAGUUAAAAUUGUUAAAAAAUUUGUAGCAGACAAACUUGACCAAAAACUUACUUAACAAAUAAAGGUCUAUAGUUAAACCAGCAUGUCCAGUAAUUUAAGAACUCUAACUUAUAGUAGCAUAAUUUUUUUUCCCCGUGUGGAUUGAAGGUAUAUUAUCACUAUUUUUACAAAUUGUAUUCAAUUAGGCCAAAAAAAAAAAAAAAUAGAGCAGAGAAAGGGAAAUUGACACACGCCUCUGAUACAGUGGCGGAUGCGUCAUCAGCAUCAUUUCUGUUUGUUCCAUAAUUGAUGCUUGAAGCUGGAUUGUACUAACUGCAUUACGAAUGCUCUGCGCUAUUAGACUCACCUGGCAAAACGCAUUUCUUUCGGCCUGCAAUUUGCAGGCUGAAUCAAUUGUACCGACCGGCGAGCCGGACUGGACUGGGCAGCAAGACUCGAAAAGCCAUUUUCUUGGUUAUCCUUUUCUUGUCACGUUCUGAUCUCAUUCUUUGAGAAACUGCGAAUAUUUACGGACAGUUUGAUACUUUAUAUUGUUCCAAUUCUUCUUUAAUCUGUUUAAAAAAAUGACUUUCUUGUUGCAUAGCUAUCAGUAGUAUGUUCAAAACAAGUCAUUUUGCCACAAUAAAACUGAAGUUUGUGAGUUGCCUCAUCAAUUUAGAGAUCCUUUCAUGAAUUAUAAUUUCGCUAAAGUUACCUCAGUUUAUGAUUCACUGACAAUGGGCAACUAUUAACAGUCCUCGUUCCUUAUUAUUUUGAAGUGACUUUUAUGCGGAAACUGAUCCUCGUUACAUCGUAACGGAAAUGGGGCACGGCCAUGAUGCGGCCUCAAAAAUUUGUGCGGUUCAGAUUACAGCAUGUAACUCGAUUUUCACGUCAUGUGUGUGGCUCACAAAAAAUUGUUCUAAAGUUACUCCAUGUGUAAAGAAAGUUACGCGAUGUCCAAAAAAUAUUACGCGCUGUUAGAAAAUGCACAAACCGACACAAACGGUUGCACCGUUUGUGCCCCAUGUCCAAUCGUAACGGAUAGGCUAAAGUAGCAGUAGUAAUAGCUUUUGCAUUGUUGACGUGAUCUACGGGUUACUUUUUCUGAAGAAAGCGCUACUAGACAUAUAAUCUCUAAAUCACCACAUACAAGACGUGCCAAUAUUGCACUCAUGAUAGUUAUAUUAAAUGUUUUUUCAAAAUUAAAUUUCUAUAACGUGGACCAUAUUCAAUGGACAAUAAUUCAAAGUUCAAAAUAAAGGCUGUUUAAAGAAAUGAAAUUUAUUAUUAUUAUUAGCAUAAAUCAUCAACCAAAAAAGGAUCAAGAAAAGUGCAGCAGCCCUUCUUAUGGCACGAAGCUUUAUCAUCAUCAAUGCCCUGCCCGUUUGGUCACAACAAACCCCAACGAUUCAUUGACUCGUGCGAGAUGGGCACGUAUUGGUUUUAGCGACACUUAUAGAGCUCAUGAUCGAGUUUGUUAACUGCCAUGGAAGAAGAAUAUUGUGUUAAUGGGUCUAAUCACAUUUUUUGAGAAAAAGAGAUGAUGCAGGAAUUAAGUAAGUGGAUCAUCAAUGUGCUGGAAGAUAAUGACAUUAUGUGUUUAGGUAGAGAAGUAAAGAGCACUUAUUGUGGUAACAAUUUGGAUUCAAACAUUUAAGUCGUAUAUUUCUGCAAUUGAGAAUUUCACCGAGAGCAUUUAUGCAUUAUGUUAUUUGACGAUGAAGUUUAAGAAUCAAAGUGAAAAAAUCAAAAGUAUAGUUGAGGGUGCAAAACGAAAUUAACACUAUUUAUUAUUUUUUCUCAAACCAUCCUAAAUAAAUCUUAGUUCCACCAUGUCAAAUUAGAACUUCAAUAUUGUUUGGAUCGUGAUUUUUCGCAGGAACACAAAAGUUUUGCGUCUUUCGUGAACACGUUUCUCAGUUAUCUUUUCAUCUCAGUUUCUGAUUUGUGUCGUGACAAUCUAGAACAGUUUCCUUGAAAGGCAUAAAAUGGUCCUCUGUCUUAAAAUUGAAGUUCAUAGAAGCCGAUUUAUGAUAUGAAACACUUUUAAAAACGCUACUUCGCCUAAAAGCCGCAUAAAUUUGCACUGCGCGACUUUAUUAAGGGCCAAAGUGGACUUGAGUAAAUUGGCCGCAUAAUCUAGGGACUAUAGUAGUAAAAGUGUCUGGUAUCGAACAAAACUAUGGGAGAACUGAAGUAAAUGGAAACCAAUUCAAUUCUACCAAAUUUAGACGAUUUGGUGGUGGUCUGCAAUUCAAGACAUAUUAUUGCUUGCUUGCUUGUUUGUUUAACUAAAUCCUAAAUCACAAAUUUUGGUGGAAAUGAAUUACAGUAAAAUCUCCCAUGCCAUGAGGAACAGUCCUAGAAACAGAAAACACCGCCUCUUAGUACUCGCAUCAAAGUUUGGAAUAAAGAAACAAAACUACGGAAAUGGCAAGAUUUGCAUGUUCCUUGUCCCUCUUUAUGUCUUCAUCCAUUCAUCCUUGUCACGCCUUUUCCAAUUUUCCCCCCUAACCUUCCAAUUAUAAACUUUGCCAAGUGAAAUCAUCACCUUCAAUUACAUUUUACAACUAAUUAUGCAAAUAGAAAUCCAUCCUUGUAAUUACUUCCGUCCCAAUUAAGGUCCAUCUAAAUGACAAUUUUUUUUGUGUGCAUAUAAUCGUAAUAUGUGAGCUGUUGGGCUUAACAAUAAUAUAGGUCUCCCUUGUACCAUUAUUAUCAUCAAAAAGAAAAGAAAAGAAAAAAGGGUUAAACUCAAGAAUUUAUAAUUGUCUUUUUCUUUCUUUUUUUUUUUUUAAUUUGUUUGGUAAAAAAUGAAAUAUUUUUGGGUGGAGUGUGGCUUUUUGGUGGAAGAAUGCUUGUCACCUACUCCUCUUAAGUUCCUCACUCCCACCGUACUUUUACUACUCACUUCUCCAAAGCUUAUAGGACAAGAGAGAGAAAAUCAAGGCAGCAGCUAUGUUGAGAGAGAAACUCAACUGAGCUGAAUAUAUAUGUACUGCUAGAAGUACAGAGCACACUACACAUUCACUAUACAAGAAAAUUAAAGAAGAUUACAAGAAAACCUCUUCAAUCUUUGGCGUUGUUGUGCGGUGAAAAAAGCCAAAAAAAAAAAAAGAAAAAUGGUGAGACCGGAGAGACACAAAUGUAAGCUUUGUUCAAGGAGUUUUCCGAGUGGAAGAGCUUUGGGUGGUCAUAUGAGGUCCCAUUUGGCCAACUUGCCGCUUCCUCCCAAGACACCGCAAAAACAGGAAGCCAGCAGCCAGCUCCCACCACAGCCCGGUGGUGACGCCUCAACCGAGUCAACAACUUCAUCUGAUUGUUCUUUGUCAGAGGAGGAAGUAGUAGUAGUACAAGUGAAGGAAUGUGCAGCUGAAGAUAAAGGGCUGGUUUAUGGACUCAGAGAGAAUCCCAAGAAGAGCUUCAGGAUGGUAGAUCCUCAGUUCUUGGAUGGUGGUUCGGUGGUUGUUCAAGACAGAGGAAGCGAGACCGAGUCAACUAGGAAACCAACUCGGCAAAGAUCCAAGCGAACUCGGAGAAUGCUUGUGUCUGCUGCUAAACAAGAAGGAGCUGAUGAGGCACUGAUUAAGGAGAAGAAAAUGAUGAAGACAACUGAGUCAUUGUUGGAGUUGGAACAACCGGUGAGUUCGGUCUCUGACACUUCACCAGAAGAAGAUCUUGCUUUAUGUUUGAUAAUGCUUUCUAGAGAUGUUUGGAGGAGGACUAGUACAACAACAACAACUACUACUACUACUACUACUUCAUAUGACUCCGCAGAAGAGUUGAAACUCGUGAAUAGUAGUACUAAAAGGAGGCACAAGAAGCAGAAGAAGAUCAAGAUUAAUAAUAAUGAUUCUUCAUCUGAUCAAGAAGGCGAGUCCUCAGAGGAAUUAGAAUUACCAAGAAAUGGUGUUAGUAGAAGUUGUAGCAUUAAAAAUGUGACGGUGGACAAAAAAGUGCAUGAGUGCCCAUUUUGUGGCAAAGUUUAUGGGUCAGGUCAAGCUCUCGGUGGCCACAAAAGAUCACACUUUUUGGGUUCAUCAACAACAUUAACAACUACAGCUACAGCAGCCACAGCGGCUGAGAGCUUGUUACUGGAAUCGUCAUCAAAUGCUGCUAAAUCUCAGCAAGGUACGUUGUUAAUGAUAGAUCUUAACUUGCCAGCUCCAAUGGAAGAUGAAGACAUUGACGAUGAUCAUCCUCAUGAAAGUGAAGACUUUAAUUUGCAUCAUAGAAGAGGCUUCUGCAGUUUCAGAUGCUGAUUUCACCAAUCCCAUCAACCAUUGACAAUCAACAAAUUUUAGAGAGCCUAUCAGUAUUCCUCCUUUGCUUUUUUAUUUUUAUUUUUUAAAAGCAUUUCCUAUUUUUGAGUUUCUUUGUGGCAAUAUGGUCGAUUCAGUUUUUAUCUAUUUGUAGGAAUGCAUUAACUUCAAAUUGCCAAUGUAAGCUUACUCUCCCUAGUAUCCUUCCAUUGGUAGUUGCAAACGUGCAAUACAUUGCUUUGUUUCGAUAUCUUCACAAGAAAUGUGCAGUUAGUCGCUGUAACUACUGGUGCGCCUGUGGGGCGCACCAGCUAGCUAGUGGGGUUACAGGAGAGCAAGAAAGACUUUGCAUUAUUCUACUGGUGAUUAAUUUCUAUACAUUUAUGUCUUCCCUUAAUUAGCUUGCAAUUUUUUCAGGGAUAUGUACAAUAUUGGUAGUAUUACACACUAUUAUCCAUCAUCCCAUUUUUCUUUCUUUCUUUCUUUCUUUUAUCCUCUGGGGACUUCAGUUUAUCUCGUAGUUCGAGGUUUGUGUGCAUGGUGGCAAUUCUCUUAAAGUUUUGCUUGUGAGACAAGAAUUUUGUUUCUGAAAAAAAGUAAGAGCACCAUAUUAAUUGUGUCCAGUGCUGCUGUCUACUUGUGAAAUUAAUCAAACUUAGUUCAGUUCCUGUUUACAGCUGUUGUUACCUUCGUGAUCUGUUCCCUUCUUUCGGUGUGGUAUAAAGAAUUCCAGAAAAUCCCAUUUCUUUUGUUCUCUCUCAUCAUUGGCUUGGUGGCUUUGUCUGCUUAAAGGACAGGGUUCCAGACUUCCAUUUCCUCCCUCCAUCCAUGUCCGCCAGAAUCUUGAUUUUAAAGACCGAAUUAACCUCUCAAAAAAGUGCAUGUGAUGUGAUUAAGUGCCAUUCUUGCAUGGACCCCUCCCUAGUCUCAUGGAUUAGCAACGUUGCUGGGAAGUUGACCUCAGAAUAUCCAAUCCUUCAAUCAAUUUUGGCUUCUCACAUGUAUAAACAAAUGUUUUUGGUGGCUUUGAAACGGUCCAAGAGCCCGAGAAAGUCAGUAGACUCAGUAAUAGUGCAGCUGCAGGCUUGCAGCUCAUGCCAUCAUGAUUGAAACCAGCCACUUUAUUGAUAUUAAAUAAAUUAGCUUCAAAUUCGGAUAUAUGCAUAGAUUGUUGUUCUAGUCACAUAAUUCAGAUUAUAAAUGCUACUCUUCACUUGAUCUUAGCCAAAAAUGCCGAGAAAGGUACUUGUUAAUGCUGCGACAUAUAAACACUGCAGUUACAGUUUUCAGCUGAAUACCUGGUCCAAGCUCCUAAGCUUUAACUUGGAGUUUGAAAUCAAUUGGUAUGAAUAAAGGUGAGAAAACAGGUUAGGCAGAGAGUAGAAGAAAAAAAAAAUCUGGGACCAUAAGUUACUCGUGUGUGUGUGUGUGUGUUAAUGAUGAUGCUCUAUUCACCCAAGAAAUUCCACUUCCUUUUCUUAUUCAGAUGAAGAUCCAACAUGUGAUUCAAGGUCUCGUUUUAAAAGGGACAAAAAUAUAGGAAAAACAGUAGUGAGAGGUCGAACAAAUUGACACUUAUUUUUACAGCAAAUUCAUAAAAGUGUCUAAAAAAAGUAUUUCGGCUUGUGUCAAUGAGCACCGAAAAUCAAGAAAUGCGUAGCUUCUUCAAAGUAAAAAUGAUAUUUCCUAAUGAUCGGCUCUUGCAGCAAGGGAUGAUUGGUUUUCAUUACGUAACAUCUAAUGAUUCAAUCAAAUGGUUACACCAAUUCAUUGAUCAGGCCCAAUUCACUUCUCAUGCAUGUGUUUUUUGACCCUAAGUGCUCAAAGAGAUUCUUACAAAUCGUCUGUCUGUCGAUAACGGUGUUCACAUCGGCACUGAGAUUUCGAAUACACGAUUUUUUGUGAGAAAGUGACAUGUUCCUAUCAAUUGAACCAAACCUGCGUCGUCGAAACCUGUGUCGACAGCUGCAUUUUUUCUCUUAGCAGUAUUACCAUGGAUAUCUAAAGGACAAAUAAUCUUUCUUUCUCCACAAUCCCCGUACCCCGCUGAUGAAGGGCAAAUUAAUAUCCCCAUUCAGCGCCAGAGUCACAUUCUGAUCUUCUUCUUUACUUUUUACGUGAAAUGGCCACCCCGAAUUUACUCAUGAGCAGCAGAAUAUUAUCGUCAUUUCUGGCCCGUAAUUAAUCUCCUUUUAUCUUGAAUAAACCAGUUGGUUGGAUUGGGAAUUUAUUGCAGAAUUUCUAUCCGGAGUACAAAUCCUGAAAUUUGAUUGCGGAUAGAAUUUAAUUGUUUCACAUAAUUUAAACCAUUUCUCCUACUCCUCACUCGGCAAUUUAUGCCUUUGGUUGGAGCCUAGAGGCGACACCAACUUUGAGUUUGCGGCAUCAAAGCCGCGAGUCCCUGUCCCAGCUCUUCAUUGUCAGACCUACAUACAUAUGUAUGUAUUUUGUGUGUUUGUUUAGACCAAGACCCACCUCGUACAGAUACCAAACCUAUCUCGUGGUACUUUAAAAUUCUGGAUCAAAGAUUAGGAACUUUUAACUACUCCCUGCCGCGAACGACGAUGGAUUGAGCAUUUCGGUUUUCCAAAGGUGUAAAUGUUUUAUUUAUUACACUUCUUGAAUAUAGGUGCCCUGUUGAAUAGAUAAGAGUUAAAGCAUCGUUUGUUCGAAUUUCACUAUCAAUACGAGGAUUAUGUUGACGGAUAUUCUAUAAGCAUCCGUGUAAGUUAUUCUCGGGACAUAUUGCGAAUCUGUAAUAGGAACUGAAAUAAAAAAACCACCCAAACGUCCUCAAAUUUCAUACAACAAAAACGUCUACACAAUUGUACUUUAUUAAGUAGUUUUACAAAGUUUCACCGAAUCAAUAAUAUGGUUAAGGUUCUCAGUGUAGCCUGAAAGUCAGCAUGCCUUUUGGGUUGGACUGUAGGUUUCCCUUAGGUAGUGUGUGUGUGUGUUAUUUGCGGUUGUUUGGAUAAGGAAAAUCAUGGAGUGGUUAAAAGCCGUUGGUGAGCCUUUGGCAAGAGUCUUGGUGUUUCCCUCUCCCCCAUUCCCUCUAUCCCACAUCGAUUGUGAGUGGCGUGUGUGUGUACUACUUAACGUCCUCAAUGUAGCCUGAAAGUCAGCAUGCCUUCUGAGUUGGACUGUGGGUUUCCCUUAGGUAGUGUGUGUGUUAUUUGCGGUUAUUUGGAAUAAUAUGGUUAACUAAACUAAAGUAUGAAAUCACACGAUAAUGUUUUCAACAUUAAGCAAUGGCAAUGGGAUUACUGUAUUAAUAUUGUUGACGUACUUAUUCAUUUAAUCUCAUAUUUAAAAAAUAAAAUAAAAAAAAGGGGGCACGGGAUCUUUGCAGGACAAGGAAACAAAUGUCGUGAAGCUUUCCGAAAGUAACAAUUUUGAGUUUCGAAUUUUCACCAGUGCAUAUUGCAAUCUGAGAAUUUCCAACUUGAGUUUCUCUCUUGUCUGCCUUUUUUAUGGUUCUGUUACUAAAAUAAACAGCAAUCCCUCUAGAUUGUAUAAAGAAUUUGGGGUGGAAACCUAUUUGCAAAAUCAAAGGAUCAUGUCAUAGAUUUUGUAAAAUUUCUAAAGAAAUCCGGUAUAUGCAUACUAUCUAAACUACGUACCUAGUCUGUGGACUUUGAAUCUUGGUCCCCGCACGAACCAAUGGGCAGUUCGGUUUAGCAAUUUUCAUCAUCAUUGAUGACUGAUGACCAUACUAGUAGUUUCCCACGGAAAUUCUUAGUUGCCUGUGAAUUUUAGCCUGCAAAUAAUCCUGAAGUUGUUGAAUGACCCCCUUGCAAAUAAUUAUAUCAAUUUAAAGACAUUUCUAGUCUGCAAAUAAUCCUCAGUUAUUGAAUGGCCCUCUUGCUGAAUUGAUUUGUUCACUUUCGUGUGUAUAACUAUACAAUGUAUAAAGUAUCAUACGAUAGCCAAAGUCUAUGCACAAUUGAUUCAAAUAACAUUUUUAGGUAAUUUGUGUUUGGAUUGCAUUUUUCAUGAUUUUUCAUGAAAAAAAUACUGUAGCUAUUUGAUGUAUGUGAGGGAAAAAGGUAAUAGAGAAAUGUGAUCACAGAAAACGACGUAAUUUUUUGACGAAAAACAGCAAUCCAAACAAGACUGGCAUAAGAAUUAGUGACUAUUGCGCUUCUUAUAUCAUCAUUACUAAUACAAGGUUUUAAAUUCUAAACUCAAAGAAAUCGUAAAAUAAGACAUACCGGUUAUGAUUAAUAGACUUUAAAUUAACUAAUUAGUCUUCAUCCAAUUUGGGCAUUCACAGUUUAAUUUGCUAAUUUGGGCUUCCCAAGGAAUCAACAGCUUUCCUAUGCGUCUAAUAAUGACUCGAUUCGGAUGGUCCAAAAUGGAUUACAAAGUAUAUGGGUUAACUAGAGACCUAAAAUGGGCUGAACCCUUGUCUUCCAUCAAAUUGUCACUGUAUAUAUGGCUGUCUUAAGUAACUUUUUCCAAUGGGGUUUCUACUCCUAUCAACUCCCCCUCCUCCUAGAUUAGGUUAUACCUAAAAUGGGACGUUUAAAACUAAAAGAACAUGAAAGAAAAUGAAAAAUUACCCAAGGGCCGUUUGGUAAUAAAACUACUGCUGGUCAACUUCAGUUGUGCCUUCUUUCGAAAAACGAAAUUUGACUAAUUAAAUCUAAUUCCAGAAGUCAACCCAAAAGCCGGCAACUCUUGGAUUGCUCCCAAGAACUUAACUACCCAAAAUUUGUGCCACUCAGUCAAAAUUUGGAAAGUGCAGAAAAGAACAAUCAAACAAACGCUGAGGUGGCGAGUACGACCUUUAUGGUCAACAUCCACAAAUCAUUUCUUUCUUUUUUUUUACAUCGACAAAUCACAUCUCUGAAAAAUCUCUUUGUUAUAAUUUGGAUUCACAUGAUGCAUCCAAAAAUAUAGUUCAAAAAAAAAAAAAAGAUUCCUUCAAUUAUAUUCCGAAAGCGUGAGGUAAAAAAUUCCCAUGCUUCAAGUUCUAAGCCAUCUAAAACCAAAUCCUUAGCCAAAUAAAACCAAGUCUACCGAGUAAAUAAAACUAAUUGUGUAAAAAGAAAGACUAAGUACUCCUGCUAAAACUAAACUAAAUCAAGUUAUUAGACUUAGUUCCAUAAUCCACUCAGAAUUUUGUGAACAAAACCUUGACAUCUUCUCCAUAAAUCUUUUCAUAGAGCUGUAGUAAUUCUUCUAAUUCCCCACAGGUAAAGUGAACUCAACAAAACUUCUAGCUCAUUUUGGAACAAUCUCAACGUUGUCAUCAACUCUUUCUUGAUUUCUACUAAGAAGUCGCCUCAUCAAUUAUCAUCACCUCUUUCUGAGCAAUCAAGGCACGCCGCAAAUUCAGGCUUAAUCUUUGAUGUAUUUGUCAGCUGCAAUCCGAUUUUCUUCACUUCUGGGAAACCCGUUUAUGAGAAACUUCUUGGUUUGGCGUUCCCCUUAAUAAACUACGACACUUACGUAACCAAAGCAUAAUAACAGUGCUGUAAAAAGGAGUUUCCAGAUAAGGUUUAGAAUUUUGUUCCGCACAAAUAAUACACAAACAAAUAAUUAAAUAAUUAAUUAGGGCGGGAGAGGUUAUUGAUAGACAACAGCAAAAAGGAGCAAACACCUGUUGUUAAAUUUUUCAUAUAUAUAUAUCUAGCGAAUCUUGCAUCAAAUUAAAUUGCGCGAAAAUCGUUCAAAAAGUUGCUUGCAUUUUGUCAAAAGAAAUCUUUUAGUAUUCACUUUAAAAUAUUGAUUUUAUGUUCUUUACAAAUUCAAAUUAACAAAACUUAUUCUCAACCUAAGUUUCCAUGAAAUCACCCCACUACUUGCAUGCAGUCAUCUUUUAUGCACGAAAAAGGUUUGCUUCUACUCUUUUUUAGUGAAAAAAUGAAUAUGGAUUGAGUCCUACCUCACUUAUUUAGGGGAAAAAAUGAAUAUGGAUUGGAUCAGAUUCUACAUUUUUAGGGAUAAAAAUAGAUAUGGAUCGGGUCUUUAAAAAAAAAAAUACAAAUGGAUCUAACCCUUUUUCCUAAAAAAGGAUCAUAUAUGGGUUAUGUGAUAAAUUUAAGAUAAAAAGUGGUCGAAAAUUUAGAUUGGAAUCAAAUUUUACUAAUUAAAUUUGUAAUAGACAUAAAAUUAUUAUUUUAAAAGCAAAUAAUAAAAAAAUUAUUUGACAAAAUGUGAUGGACGUUCUGAAUGAUUUUUCUUUAAAUUGUCUAAACAUGUCUCUGUAACUUGCUUGGACCUACACAAAUUAAAAAGAAAAAAAAAACAGAAAGAAACAAACAUCUAGACCUCACGAGGUCCAUGCUUAUAGAUUGGAUUCAAUUACGCCACCUAAUAUUCUGCUGUGAUAAGAAUAGGAUUUGGUUGGCUCUUUCUUCAACUUUAUUGAAAAUGAAGUAAAUAAACUAUUUAGGUUGAAGUUUCAAUGAAAGCCGUUCAUAUUUGACCAACCAAAUUAAAUUCUUUGUGCUUCAAAGUUCAAGCUAUCCACAGAUAAUUAAUGUCAUAGGUUUGGUGAGAUAUAGAAAAUUUAAUAGUAUGACAACUUGUCUAUGUAUGUAUGUAUAACUAGUUGAGCUACGAUGUGUUGCGCACGGCAAGUGCCCACCGAAGAGUAUUCAAUGUAUGAAAUGAUUCAAUAUUAUAUUCGUGGUAGUUGUAAUCAUAUUUUUUGGAAAAAAUAACAAAACGUAGAAGUGUUUUCAUCAUUUAGAGAUGACAACGUAAUUGGUGUUUAAAAAGAAAAAUGUGCAUAUUUUUUUCACGAAAAACAUUAUUUUAGUAGUAUAAAAGAAAAUGUGCAUGGUUGUUUUAAAAAAUAUACCAAUUCCGUUAAACUCUAAAGAAGUAUUUAUUUUAAACUCUUUAUAUAUGAAAAGGUAGUUUUUAUUUCUGUUAGUUUGGAAUAGUAUAGUUCUUUUAUUUAUUUAUUUAUUUUUUGCAUGACGUUGCACUAUUGAAUUAUAUUGUGAAGAAAACAAAUAAUUAGAGGACUGGAAGCUCAUUGUUCGGAGAUUUUCUUGACUCGCCUUGCGGACAUUAUGUGAUAGAAAUCUCUUUAAUUUUCAUCUCAAAUAAGCUUGCCACCUAUAUAUCUAAAAAUCAGGGACAAUAUCUAAAAAAUAAUGGUAAAAGGUUUUAAACUCUGGCAAAGUACAUCACAAAGUUAACAAUCCCCACGGUAACUAAGAGGAGAACAAUUGAUAAAUUCAAAUCCAACAGCUCAAAAUUGACAAUAAAAAAGUAUUCAUUUAAUAAAACAAAAUAAAAAUAAAAGAGUUUUGUUUCUCUUAUACUUUUUUUUUUCAGAGCCAUAGUAUAAGUUUUGGUAGAUUUUUUUCCCUCUAAAUCCCAAACAAAUAGAAAAACCUAAAAUACAAAUUCAAACACAUGAUAUAGUUAUAUUUACUUUCUAAAAAAAUAAGCCUGCAUUUACACAUAUAGUUUGUAGGCUUUUUUUUAAAAAAUUUUAAUACUAUAAAACAGAUUCAAGUCUACAUUGGUUUUCUUUUUCUUUUUUUUUUUCAUAGCAAGUGGCUGGACUGCCCUUUUCUUACCAUACUUCAUAUCAUAUCAUUAUUCCAUGACCCAAAAUUUGCAACCGGUUAGAUUCUUAUAAUGGCAGAACAAAAGGUCAAUGCAGCAAAAGAAAUGCAAACUUCACCUCCCAUAAUGCUAUACGGAAGUACCUGAAGGGGCUACGGUAGAACCAACUGGUUCUUAUAUUGUAAAUAGUUAGAUAGUUAGAUAUGCUGGAUGUGAAAGCAUUAGUUGAUUUGAGAGGUAAUUUUUAGGCACCUGUUGUUUCGCAAACAUUUUAUAUGUGUAGAACGAUAAUGACUCUACUGCGACACAUUACUGACAUUCAUAUGUCUAAACCCAUCUUUCCCUAUACUCUUUUUUUUUUUUUUUUUUUUUUUUUUUUUGACACAAGGGUGUCUGAAUCAACUUUUAUGGAAUCCGAUUAAUUUCCUGCGAUCCAGACCCGACGCCACAACUCGACUCGAACGCGAUAAGUGUUUGGAGGAACCCAGCGAAGCGGAGACUCGAACUUGAGACUUUAAGGAUCACCGGUGAGAGGUGCUACCGCUAGACCAUUCACGCGGGGAUCCAUCUUUCCCUAUACACUUGAAUUUCCAUGUGAAUUUCAAUAUUCUAUUCAACAACUGGAGGGGGAAAAAAAGGAUACAUCAUAACUACAGUAUGAAGGACAGUAAUUUUUCUGGCCCCAAUCAAAUACGGAUGGGGAACAGCUAAACUCAUUAUUCUUACUGAUACAUGAAAUUUCCUUCUCAUUUUCUGGUUGCUCAUGUGACCCUUAUAUGAUACCUUAAUUUCUUUGCAGGAAUAAAGUACUGGUCAGAAUUCCAAGCUUGAUGUUGUCUGCGGACAUCCACAGAGCGAAAUUUUAGGUGGAGGGGCGGAACGGUUGUCAGAUUAGGCCAAAAAAAUUUAUGCAGUUCAAAUCACUCAUUGUAAUUUGAUUUUUAUGCCGUGUGGGACCCACAAAAGUGUUGUUCUAGUGUUAUUCGCUGUUAUUUUAUUGUUACACUUUGUACAGAUGAUAUUACAUUGUGUGCGAAUGGUGUUACACCUUCCGAAACGGUUACUUUGACAAUCGUUCCAGCCCCCGAAUCCAAAAUUUUAUGGAGGCAUAUGUAGUAAUCGAUUCAGAAUCAAUCGAUAAACUUUACGCGGAUACAUAAGAACUUCACUUGCUAAUUCACAGGUUAGGUGAAGUUGAUUUUGGCAUGUUAAAUGAAAGCAAGUGUUAAUUGAUUCGGGACCAACUAACUACCUGGUAAUUGUUUGGGAUUGACAUAAAAUUUUUUCCAAGCAUGAUCUUAUAGUGCCAGUUUCCUUUUACAUCCUUGCUUUUGGGAAGCUUGGAUACUUCUACAAAAAGAUCUGUGCGUGAUAGUCAAGGGUAAAAAAGUUUUUUUUUUUUUUUUUUAAAAAAAAAGGGGAGUAGUCCAGUGAGGUGCCAGGGAGUAGUACACUAAACGAUGAAAUGCCCGCAAAUCUAGACAAAUUGUAAUUUAUCCAAAUCCCAUAAAACUACGAUAAAAUACAACAAUAGAAAUACCGUAUUUUCGUAACACUAAAAUAAAAUCACAGUAAAAAAACCGUCCCCAGCUAAAGCAAAAGCCAUAAAUUUUAUUAAUAAUAAUCGAGAAUUAUAAGGAAAAUUUAAAUGCAAUGCCAAAUUUGGCCUUGGUAGGUUGUCGUUGAGAAUUGAGGAGAUUUGAGACUAGAAAGCAGAGAGACUUUCCUCUGGUGCGCGAAAUCGAGAGUUUGUCUUCUCUAUUAUUCACGUACACCCUGUUUCUCUCUCUCUCUCUCAUCGUUAUUUUUUUUUUAUUUCUCUCUUUCUCUCUCUUUCUGUGUAUACUUAUAUUUAGGGGACUUAUAUAGUUUUAUGUAUAAUGUGCAUCGGCAAGGGAUUUUGCAGCUCGAUCUGUAAGUUGUUUUAAUCAGUUUUUUUGCACGAAUUUUCGGUUGAAUUUUUUUAUCUGAUGCAUUGAAUUACAGCAGAAAUUUGGGGUGAAUUUGAAAGCCCUAGAUCUUACUUGAUUCGCAGUUUGAUUGGAUCGAGUAGGGCGAUUUUGGUUUGACCAAGUGGGUUUUGUAAUUGGAUCUGGAAAAAUUACUAGCUAGAAUUUGAUAGGGUUUUAAUUUUGGUAGCGGUGACUUUCUUUUUAUUGUUUUAGUGAGAAGUAUUCUCUAGGGUUUGAGUUGAUGGCUUCGAAUCCUCCAUUCCAAGUGGAGGAUCAGACUGAUGAGGAUUUCUUUGAUAAGUUGGUGAACGAUGAUGACGAUGACGUUGAUCUUAAGGUCACUGCCACGUCAUCGUUGGCUUCCACCGCCUCAGGGCCUGUUUUCACGGAUGGGGAUGAGUCUGACGAGGUUAAGGGCUUUGCGAAUUUGAGUCCAAAUGAGGCCGAUGAUAGUGAUAAGAAUGAUAAAAAGAUGGGAAUAGAUGAUUUGGGUGGGAAAUUAGAGAGGGAGCCGAAUGGCGUGGUUAAUGAAGUUGUUGAGAUUGAUGCUAAAGGGGCUGUGGCGGUGGAGGGUGUAGUGGAGGAGAGUAAUGGUGUUUUGGAAUCAUCGAGUUCAUUUGAGUUUGCAGGUGUAGUUGAGGAAAAUAAUGAAAAUGUAGGUACUGAGGUUUUGUCUGAUGCGACCACCUCUAGUAAGAGUGACGGAUCUGGAGCUUUGGGUGUGAAGGAGGUGCAAUGGAGUGCCUUUAAUACCAAACAGGCUCAGAAUGAUAGUAAUGGGUUUGGAUCCUACUCAGAUUUUUUCACCGAGUUGGGAGAGAAAGCUGGCGAUUCAAGUGCCAAUAUGCUGAACAAUUUUGAUAAUGAGAUAAAGGGUAUAUCUGCCAAUGAAAAACAUGAAUCUGCAUAUUUGGAUAGCUCAAAUUAUGGGGAUUUUCAAGAUAGUUAUAAUUAUGGUACAGCUGCACAUAAAAGUAUAGAGGGGCAGGAUCUAAAUAGCAGUCAAUACUGGGAAAACCAAUAUCCUGGGUGGAAGUUUGAUCCAACUACUGGUCAGUGGUAUCAGGUGGAUGGCUACAAUGCGGGUGUAAAUGUGCAGGGAACUGCAGACUCUAACCCAGCUGGUGAUUGGACUGCUUUUGAUGGAAAGACUGAGGUUUCUUACUUGCAGAACACUGCUCAGUCUGUUGCUGGAACGGUAGCUGAGAGUGGUACGACUGAGAGCGUCACUAACUGGAAUCAAACAUCAUAUCUCAAUGAUGCUACUGGGGCUGAAUCAAAUUGGAAUCAGGUGUCUCACGUGAGCAGUACGGGUGGAACUACAUCAGAGUGGAAUCAAGGAUCACAAGUAAAGAACGAGUACCCAUCACAUAUGGUGUUUGAUCCUCAAUACCCUGGUUGGUACUAUGAUACAAAUGCCCAAGAGUGGCGAUUGUUGGAUGCAUAUGUUUCAUCUUCUCAAUCAACUACUGGAGCUCAAGAUCAGCAUAAGCAGAAUGUGUCUAUGACAGAUACUCUCUCUCAGUACGACGAUCAGAAGACAUUUGAUACAUAUAAACAGAAUGUCUCUAUGACAGAUACUUUCUCUCAGUAUGACAAUCAGAAGACAUUUGAUACAUAUAAGCAAAACCUGAAUUAUACUUCAGAAGGAUUUGCUGCCCAAAGCCAAGAUUACAACUGGGCUGGAUCAUUCGGUCAUUUCAACCAUCAAAAUUCAAAUAUGUGGCAGCAUGGAACUGCUGUUAAUCCUGAAUCCAGUACAGGUUAUGGGCAAAACCAACAAUUGAAGAACCAUUAUGGCACAAAUGUUUUGGGAAACAACCGUGUUAAUCAACAGAACUCUAGCAAUUAUGGGGGAACAAUUCCUUAUCAUGAGAGAGGAAGUCAAAGUCAGAAAGAGUUUUCAGCAGUUGGUGGCUCAAAAAACUUUGUUCAUGCGCCUAAUUUUAGUCAGCAAUUUUAUCAGGCAAGUAUUGAGCAAAGUGAACAGAAGCAUGUCUCUGAUGAGUAUUUUGCCAAUCAGAAUUCAAUUAAUUUCCCCCAGCAACAGUUUAACGGUACCCAUCAAUUCUCUUAUGCUCCGACCGCUGGAAGGUCAUCUGCUGGCCGUCCUCCACAUGCAUUGGUUACUUUUGGUUUUGGCGGGAAACUUAUUGUGACAAAAGGAACUGAUUCUAUUGGAGGCUCAUCUUAUGGAAGCCAGGUUAGCUGCAUAAAAGUUUUUUUUUUGAAUUCCUGUUGAUUGAUGAUGCUUUCUCUGAUACCAAAGUUUUUUGUGUAUUCUCUUUAAAGAAUCCUGUAGGAAGCUCCAUAUCCAUUCUUAACUUGAUGGAAUUAGUAAAUGAGAAAGAUGGUGCUUCUGCCCGUGGAUUUGGUGUUUCUGAUUACUUUCGUUCUCUCUGUCAACACUCCAUCUCUGGUCCACUUCAUGGUGGGGGUGGUGGUAUCAAGGAGUUAAACAAAUGGAUUGAUGAGAGAGUUGGGAUCUCUGAUACUUCUGAUUUGGACUCCAAAAAAGGGGAAGCUUUGAGGCUGCUUCUGUCUUUGCUAAAGAUUGCCUGUCAGCAUUAUGGAAAACUACGUUCUCCUUUUGGUGCCGAUACAUUGUCAAAGGUAAAACUAGAUUUUGAUUUGUUACAAAGUAUUUAAUAUUGAUUGAAUUUGUGGGAAAAGAAUCAUUACAUUUCAAUGUCUGUUGACUAUAAUAUUUCAUGAAAUGUGGUUGGUGGACUACUGCUAGUUUUGUUUCAAUUGCUUUUUGUGGUGAAACUUCUUUGGACCAAGCAGAAACCUGUGUUUUUGGUUUCCCUGAACUGUUUAACGAAUAAAAUCCUGAGUUGGAGUUGUCAAAAUAAUGGAUAAUAAUUUGUGAUAAGAUUGAGGAAAAAAGUCUGAAUUUAGAUGUUUAUUGAAUGUCUCAAAAGGGGCAGGGGUUGAAAAAGAUAAAGUAUCUACUUUCAAAAGUCAAAGAUGCUAUUACAUCCUGGUCUGGUGGUAAAGGGUGAAUGUUGGAAGAAUAGGAGUACUUGGCUUUGAGUUAUCUGCAACAGUAAAAGAAUAUGAUAUUGGGCGCCAUUUUGUGACUGUUUUAGGUUUUAUCAGUUAGGCAACUAGUUCAUGGUAAGCACAAUGUAAUUGGACAGUGGGAAGCCACCAUGUUUUUUCCUCUCAAAAUCAUUGCUUAUUCAAUUCUUUCCUCCCACCCCCAACUUUCAGUGGCUUUAUUUCCUUCCUUGCAGUUUUGAUGCCAAUCAGGUUGAUUUUCCUGGAAGUAUGAGUUUUCUGUUAUAGUUUUUUUUCUCCCUCCUUUGAUCUCCGAUAUUUUGGGGUAUGCCUUCUCUUUCAUUGCUGGUGAUUGUAGGACUUAUAGCUGCCUUUGGUUUCAAUUUGGGCCACCUCAUCCCUUUACGUCAUGCUCUAGAGCCUCUUUAAUAAUGCUCAUGUCGUUUUUCAAGAAACACAGUUUGGGCAUAUUCAGCUGCUGUCUAUUCUUGAUUUGAAAAUAUUUCAAUCCCUUUUUUUGAUGUUAUUAACUUAUCUUCACUAAUCUUGGAGAUUAUGCAUAGGACAUAUCUUUAUCUGUUGUGUUUCAGAAGUUUAUGUGAGGGUUUCUUCAAUGGAAAACAAUCAUAUUGUCUUUUACCUGUACCAAACAGUAUUGAUGACCAUGGAAUGUUCUCGUCUUUUCUUUCUGGAUUUUUAUUCUGUGGGUGAUGGUUGGUUGUGAUUCAGUGCACCGAUUAGAUGUUAAAACUUAAAAUGAGAAUCCUUGAGAUUGACAAGUGCAAGGCAACUGUUUGUUGGCUCCUUUAGCUCUAGCUGAUUAAUCUCCUGGGAUUGGGAGCCUUGUGGGGAUUGCUGUUUCUCUUAUAGUUAAUAAAGUUGUCUAUGAGAAUUGGUCCUGUGCCUUUUUGCUAUAUUAGUGUCAUCUUGAGAUUUACAUGGCUUCUCUGGCUCUUUUGGCUCUUGAAAUUAACAGGAGAAUGAUACUCCAGAAGCAGCAGUUGCAAACCUUUUUGCAUCUGCCAAAAAGCUCGGUGCUCAAUUCAGUAAUUAUGGUGCGAUUGCCCAUUGCUUGCAAAAUUUGCCUUCCGAAGGGCAAAUGCGGGUAUGUGUGUGGUACCUUGUGGUUGUGAUUAUCACUUAUCCAAAGCACUUAUAGAUCACAAUAUUUGUUUAGGCCACUGCUUCUGAGGUUCAAAGUCUCUUGGUUUCUGGGAGAAAAAAAGAGGCCCUGCAUUGUGCGCAAGAGGGUCAGUUAUGGGGUCCAGCCCUUAUUCUUGCUGCACAGCUUGGAGAUCAGGUUUUGUCACUUGGACACUGUCUACCAUAUGAGAUAUUUCAGAUUGGUUCUUCGCUAUCUAUAUUCUUUGCAGUUUUAUGCUGUCUGAGAUUUGUUCUUCUCUGUGUAUAUUAUUUGCAGUUUUAUGCUGAGACAGUGAAGCAAAUGGCACUUAGGCAAUUAGUGGCUGGCUCACCUUUGCGGACCUUGUGCCUGCUAAUUGCUGGACAACCAGCAGCUGUUUUUUCCACAGAUGACUCAGCUUAUAGCAGCAUGCCUGGUGCUGUAAAUAUAGCUCAACAACCUGCACAGGUAUCGGAUUUAUGAAUGUGAAGUUUUGAUUUUUCUUUUGGGACUAAAAGCUCAUUCUGUUUUUGCAAUUAAAUAUAAUGGAAAUACUGAUACCUGAUGGUCUGAGUAUCUUGCGAUUCUAUCUUAGAUCUAUGUUGUUUGAGUAUUCUGACUUGAAGUAUUCUUACUCCAUAGAUUCCUGAUUUUUCUGUAGUUUGCUGCUAAGGGCAUGUUGGACGACUGGGAAGAGAACUUAGCUGUUAUAACUGCCAAUAGGACAAAAGAUGAUGAACUUGUGCUUAUUCAUCUUGGAGAUUCUCUGUGGAAGGAAAAGAGUGAUGUAUGUAUGACCAGCUUGUUUCUCCGUGUGGCUUCUGCUUCUUUUUUUUUUUGUUUUUUAAAUUUGUAUCAAUGUUACUGAGCUUGGUUUUUCAUCUUGUGGAUGAUGAAUGACUCAGGUUGUUGCUGCACACAUAUGUUAUUUAGUUGCUGAAACAAGCUUCGAGCCAUACUCAGAAAAGGCUAGGCUGUGUCUUGUUGGUGCAGACCAUUUGAAAUAUCCCCGAACAUAUGCUAGUCCAGAGGCUAUUCAGGUGCGACUAAGCUGUCUAAUGAAUAUGAAAUGCGCUACUUGAUAUAUAACUUCUUUGAAUCAGGUACCUAAUACCAAUUGAGUGUGUUUUAUUUGACUGACUUUUUGCAUCUGGACAGAGGACAGAGAUAUAUGAGUACUCAAAGGUACUUGGAAACUCUCAGUUUAUCCUUGACCCUUUUCAACCAUAUAAGCUCGCAUAUGCACACAUGUUGGCUGAAGUUGGGAGGAUAUCAGAUGCGUUAAAGUAUGGAAGGAAAGCUUUGAAUUUUAAGUAAUAGUUUUGAUUCAUUACUUCUAGUCUUCUUAAGAAGAAUAAAUUUUAAUCCAGGUACUGUCAAGCAGUUUUAAAAUCACUCAAAACUAGUCGUUCUCCUGAGGUAGAGACAUUGAGACAAUUGGCGUCAUCUCUCGAGGAACGUAUAAGAAGUUACCAACAGGUACCUAUCCAUCCAUGGAUCUUCAUCUUAUAGAUAUAUUAUAGUUACUAAUGUUGAACUCUUAAAUCUAGGGAGGGUUUUCCACAAACUUGGCCACAACAAAAUUGGUGGGAAAAUUGCUCAACCUCUUCGAUUCUACUGCCCAUCGCGUUGUGGGGGGUAUGCCGCCUCCUGUUCCUCAUGCACCAGGUGGCAGUAUGCAAAGUCUGGAAUACAAUCAACAGAUUGGACCUAGAGUCUCUACAAGUCAAUCAACAAUGGCAAUUUCUUCAUUGAUCCCUUCAGGAUCAAUGGAGCCCGUAAGUGAAUGGGCAAGUGAUAGUAAUAGGAGGACAAUGCAUAACAGAAGUGUUUCAGAGCCUGACUUUGGAAGAAGUCCCAGACAGGUUUGUUGGCCGACUUCUGUGUACAUUCUAAAGAGUUGGAAUUUUAAAUUUUAGGUGCUUAAUUGGUUUUGACAAAAAUAUUGCUUCUGGAGAUAAAAAUGCAUAAGAUCUUGCUAAAUCAUACAGGAUCAGGUCGAUUCGUCGAAGGGAGAGAGUUCUUCCAAUGGACAAGGUGAAACAGCAGGUGGAGUUACAUCCCGGUUCAGUCGUUUUGGUUUUGGUUCGCAGCUUCUUCAGAAGACUGUAGGUUUAGUCUUAAGACCGCGACAAGGCCGCCAAGUAUGUCGUUCAUGAUAUUCUGUUUUGUAAAGUUCUUUUGGUUUUCUCUGUGAUGGGGAAAAUUUUCACUUGAUUUUUUGCAUAUAAAUUGUUCUUUAUGUCCUUUGUUAAUUGUUUAGGCAAAGCUGGGUGAUACAAAUAAAUUUUAUUACGAUGAAAAACUUAAGAGAUGGGUAGAGGAAGGUGCUGAACCUCCGCCAGAGGAAACUGCCCUGCCUCCCCCGCCAACUGCAGCUUUUCAGAAUGGGACAUCUGACUACAACCUCAAGACUGCACUAAAAAGUGAAGGUUCGCUUGGCAAUGGAAGCCCAGAAUUCAAAAGCCCAACUUUGGACCAAGUUCCAGGGAUUCCACCGCUUCCACCCACCUCCAAUCAAUUCUCUGCACGUGCUCGGAUGGGUGUUCGGUCAAGGUAACUGAAGUCUAGACUUUGGUAAAGAAGCAAAAAUAAUUCUGAGGCUGGAAGCCUGGAAAACCAUGUUCUCGGUCUCGCUUCAGCUAAGCAUUCAAUUUGAUUUUAUUUUUGUUGUGGUCCCUUUGGCAGGUAUGUCGACACCUUCAACAAGGGUGGUGGGAACCAAACAAAUUUGUUCCAAUCCCCUUCUAUUUCUUCCACUAGACCUGCUGCCAGUGCCAACGCAAAGUUCUUUGUUCCCACGCCAGUAUCCUCCGUUGAGGAUACAUUUGACAACAGUUCUGAGAGCACUCAAGAUACUACAAUUAGUAAUGAGAUACCAUCAAGCUCGGCUGUAAAUGAUACAUUCCAUUCCCCUGCACCAUCAUCCUCCAUGAAUAUGCCGAGAUUUGGAAGCAUGGGCAGCAUCUCUACCAAAGUGAGAAGUGCCAAUGGAUCCUUCUCAGCUCCUUCGCGGCGCACAGCAUCAUGGAGUGGAAGUUUUGAAGGAAACUCCAGUCCUCCUCAGAGGGCUGCAGUGAAACCUCUAGGAGAGGUAUUAGGCAUGCCGCCAUCGUCAUUUAUGCCGAGCGAUUCCUUGAUGCACUCAUCAGCAAGUGGUGGCAGUUUUGGGGAUGAGCUUCAUGAAGUCGAACUCUG